RNAcentral lists this long non-coding RNA (90629 nucleotides) under Xyrichtys novacula (pearly razorfish). Lineage: Eukaryota; Metazoa; Chordata; Actinopteri; Labriformes; Labridae. The record is from RNAcentral.
UGUGGGGCGACGUGCUGCCCGGCCACGGGGAUGUGGUGCACGCUGGUCACAUAGUGAGUCACCAAACACCGCCACACAGCGUCGCCAAAGUGCGAAUCACAGUCAACGCAAAUAUCCAGCUCAACGCCAAUUUCUACACCACCUCCUGACUUUGCGUUGAUUAGCGCUGGAACCGACGCUCGUUUCGCGAUGAUAAAUCUGGACGUGUGCGCCGAUUUUGGCGUACGCAAGGUUUUCUUGCGCCGCAAGCGUUGAUACAUGAGGCCCCUGGUAGCUUCGGUUUUUUACAAGCCUCGAGUAUCCUGUAUAUGUCCCUCUGUGUUAAGAAUAAGAAGAACUUUAUUAAUCCCCAAAGGGAAAUUCAAUAUUAAAAUUUUGAAAAAAAUUAAAUGUUAGUAAACUAUUGAUAGCAGGCUAUCCUACAAUUCCACAUAGCACAGUGAUUCUAAACAUUUUUGAGCCUGAACCCCCAUUGUAACAUGCACUGGUGUUUGUGAACCCCCCAUGAUGGUUUGCAUGGAUAACAGAUAGAGCUCUGUUUAUGGUGCUGAAGCACAUGCACUCAAAAAACAACUGAAUAAUGUGCUUUGAGUUCUUAUUUGACUCUCUUAAUUAGUUGUCAAUAAAACUCUGGCUCUGAUUUCACUUUAAUGCCAGCGGGGGAAUCAAAAGAUAGUGGAAACACAACAAAGUGAAGUGAUAGUAAACAUGUGAGGGGGAGAGACCACAGCAGCUUUAUCUCUGGAGAUGAGCUUCUGUUCAAGAAAUCUAACGUACAUACAGUAAAAAACAGAGUGUACAACAAAGUUAAAUUUAACUCAAUUUCGGUAAUAUUUGGUCCCACUCAACAUUAGAGUAAAAGUAAUUCUAUGGCCAGUGUCACAUUUUCAGUGUUAAUUCUACUCCAUUCAGUGUCAAAAUUAACAAUCAAUUCACUAGCAAUGACCACGCCACAACGAUAUAAGUUUGAAUAUUUAAUACAGUUUCAGGAGUGUGUAUAUCUUGUCUGAUGCGUGAAUGUUGUGAUGGAUAAUGACGUUGAUGAGAAGUGUUGCAUGUCUGGUUGGUCUGGGAGGUUCUGUAGAGGCCCCGCAGUGAGAGACUCAGGAUGGGGGUCUGUCUCAGGCAUAGCUCUGCCCAUGCUUAGUCCGACCCCCAAAGAGUUAUAAUGAAAGGGAGACUUAAAAACAGGCAACUGGACUGUGUCGAGUUGAGAAGACGUUUCGCCUCUUAUCCAGGAAGCUUCUUCAGUUCUAAAAUUGCUAGUGUGAGGAGCAGAUAUUUAGCUUACUGGAGAAGGGGACAGACAAAGACUGGGAGGAGUUGUAAAAGAAUGGGUCAUAGAAACCCAUCUCUGGGUGUGUGCCCACAUGACUCAUGCCACACCUGGGUCAUGUGGUUCCAGGUGUGAAUGUUUGUGGAGCUUCCUGGGGAGAGAGCUGAGAACUGCAUUGUAUGUGCCAGAGAGAUUGUGCCUGAGUCCACCCCCUCUGUUCAGAGAAGGUUUCUCCAGCCUGGUAAAGAUGGCUUCUUUAACUCCUCUUUCAAACCAUCUGUCUUCUCGAGCCAACACCUGUACAUUGCUGUCCUCGAAAGAGUGACCUGUGUCCUUUAUGUGAAGGUGGACAGCUGAGUCCUGACCUGAAGAAGUGGCUCUCCUGUGUUGAGCCAUGCGCUUGUGAAGCGGUUGUUUAGUUUCCCCAAUGUACAGGUCCAAGCAUUCCUCGCUGCACUGGACAGCAUACACCACAUCACUCUGUUUAUGUCGCUGUGUUUUGUCCUUGGGAUGAACUAGCCUCUGCCUUAGUGUGUUACCAGGCUUAACCUUUUCAUUGCAGGUCUGCCGGAUUUUACACUUACUUUUAACUAUAUUCUUGGAGUUGGUUUACUCUUCAUAUUGUUGAAAAUACUCUAUCUAGUUUAAAAUAAGUUUACACUGAAAUAUUGACACAUUUUUUACUGUGCAGGUAAACAACACUGUCAUGGUAAAAAAAAUGUUUUAGGUUGGCAUCAGUUGAUGUGAGGACAUCCGUGUAGUGUAACCCUGGCCUGUAAUAAGUCAAUCACAACAUUAAGACUGUUUGCAGACAUGACAACUCAGGGUCAGAGGUGGGAGAUACAUGCUUUGAUCAACACUUCUGACACCCAAUAGAGAUAAAUGUUGAAAAGAUGAUGAAAUAAAACAUCUUUCCAUUGGCCAUUUGGAUAACCAAAGCUACAGGCUGUUAGGGAACAUUAUGGACAAUGCAUAUAUUGAAAAAAGUCCAGAUCACCAUAAGUGGAGAUACAUGUUUUUCUUCGGACAGUGACAAUAUGAUUUUUUAAAUUUUUUUUUUUGUAUAGAUUCUGACAUGACACAUACAGCAGCAUCAGUCAUUGACAGCUGUGGCUGGUUGCAUUGAGUCUAAACACCUGACAAGCAGAAAUCUAGAAGACAAAUCUAUAAAACCACAGCCAAUUACACCAGAUUAAGACUUGUGGAAGGCCCUGCUGCAGCCAAGUAUUGUGGGAGGAGGGGAAAACUAAUCAAAUAGAUGAAUCAACAAAUUAAACUUCAACAUAUUUCCAUAUCUGACCUUGUGCUUUGAAGAUCCUCUACUUACAUGGUCAGUGAUAUUUCUUUUCUUAAUUUGAUUAUUGUCUCUGUUUUAAACCAGUUGGUACAGGGCAUGGCAUGUGUAGUGCAAAAUUUCAUUUGUAAUUGCUCUGAAGUUAUUUGAGUGUUUUAAUGUAUCUUUUAUUUAUGAUAUGCACUUAAACCAACACUAAUUUUACUCAAAGUUGGCUUUUGUAGGAUAGUAUUGUUUUUCACUGCUUCUCCAAUAAUGAAAUAACUAAAAAAGAGAGAGCUGUAUAUUUGAUGAUUAACACAAUGCAGACUUGUAUCUUGUCCCUCAGGGACGGACAGUCUGCACAGUGUGAUAGUGUAAACACAACACGUGUAACAAAUGUCAAUAGUGGCUCUCACAAAUCAAUGCUUCACUCAAUGUUCUGAAAGGUAAUUGCAGGAGCAAGCGUUGUGAUUAUUGGACUCUGUCAGUAAAGUUGAGCAAUCAACAGCGAUCGCUUACACAACAGGGUGCAACACUUUAACACAUGUGCAUGAAGUGAUCAUCAGCAGAAGUUAUGCGAAAAUAGAAAAUUGCUGAAGAUGAUUUUAUGUUUGUGCUUUAAACUUUGUGCUAUAGCUUAAUGUGUCCAUUCUAGCAUUAUCCAUGUGUCCGAGAAUUCAGCCUUCAACUGUCACACAAAAUAAAAAACUAAUCAGGAUAUCCAUGCCAAAUUUUUUCAAAGAGGUCGUUACAUUUUUGUAAGCUCUUAACGAUAAGACUCCAGGACACUCUGAGUGUAACAUCUUGCAUUAUUCCGAAAGAGUGACGCAGUUUGGAUAAAAUGCCUAAACUUUUAAUGAGGCACUUUAUUAGUCAAAAGGCCACAUUGGUUGUGUGUCAAUGCAAAGGCUUGUGUCAAUGUCUGUGUGCUCUUAUCAAACACAGACUAAAGGUCUUUUGUCUGGGUAACGUAGUGGCAGACAUUUCUGCAGCACAUUUUGUCAUUCUCUGUCUCUCUCUGCCGCAGGUUGUGUUUGGACCGGUUAAUUGGCCUAGUUUGAUUUUUAUGGCCUCCAGGGUACUCACACACACACACAAUAUAAAUGCAAAGAGUGUCACUGAUGCUGGUCCGUUUUAUGUAAGUGGGCAUUAAGAGUCAAUUAGCACAAACUCACACAGGUGUCCUGCUCUUUGUCAUGCAAUUGAUAUUAGAUGGAGCACAUGCAUACAAAUGAUACAACAGUGGUGGGACUGAUUUUGGACAAUUAUGAAACACACUACAGAGAGGAAAUAGACAGGCUGAUGGACAGGUGCACAGACAGCAACCGUACACUACACAUCAAAAAGACCAAAGAAUAGUGAUGGGAAGAACAGUUCUUUUGACUGUACUAAAUCUUACGAAUCCAUUCAUUAAAACAAUUUGUUCAAAAGAUUUGUUCACUGAAUCAGUCAAUGCUUCGGAGCCCCAUCCUGCCGGUGCAGUACACGAGUGAGUGACACAGCCGUGCUGAUUGGGAGUUUGUUCACCAAACCAGCCCCUCCCCUCCCCUGCUGCUGAAGUCACAGCAUUGUUCACUGGGUGACACAUAUCAAUUAUUCAUCCGCCAAAACCCCAGGAAAGAAUCACUCCCCUGCCCUGAAAAACUCACCUCUCGGUGUUCCCCCAUCGCCGGAAACAACACAGCAGCAAGCAGCACGCCCACUAAACGAGCACAAGUCAUUCUUUUGUAUCGCGGAUAAGUGGAGAGAUUAAAAAUAAAUAAACAUCGCAGCUGUAGCGGGGAUAUCAAAUAGCAUAUUGCUUUACAUCGGCUGAAAUAAAAUCCUUCUUGCAGGAAAGUUUACAUUACAUUUACAUUAAUACACAGUUUAUGUGUAUUAAUGUAAAGGCACUAGAAUUCACUGUUUUAUCUCAGCCUACGUUCAUCCUCACAGUGAACGACCUGGUGCUUGGCAGUUCGUAAACGUUGCUAUGCCCUUCCCUCCUCCGCCUGCCUCAAGUUGCUCAGAAGUCGUUUGUUUAAUUCACAGUCUGACUGAUACAUAUCGUUCACUCACUGUGAGCAAAUCACGAAACUCGGCCCGCUCGCUCACUCGCUGACUGGCUGACUGGCUGUGUGCCAUUCGCCAAAGAGUCAAAGGUGGCAGUUCCACUCCUGACUGGCAUGCCAUGCUGGCGGCUGAGCUCAACUAAACUGGGAAGAGAACGAAUCAGGUCUUGGACUGAUUCCAUCCACGUUGUUCACUCAGCAGUUUUUUUUUUUUUUUGAAUAAGACGUUCAUGAAUGACACAACACUACCAAGGAAAUCAUUUUUGAUUGUGAAGACCAUGUCUCCCUAACCAUGAAGAGAAAACAAGCGGAAUGGGUCACCAACUUCAAGUUCCUCAGAACCAACAUGGUCAUUCAACUUCACUCUGGUAAGAACAGCUCAACAGUGGCUAUCCUUCCUGCAGACACUAAAAAAAAAAAAAAAAAACCUUGUCUGCUGAGCUGCUCAGAGCUUUCUACCUCUGCUUCAUCCAAUAUUCUGACAUACUGCUUGAAAGCUUGGUAUGUGAACUGACCAGAAAGGUCUGCAACGAGUCAUAAAAACACCAGAAAAGAUCAUCAGACUCAGUCUGCUCUCACUGGAAGACAUUUUCAGAACACUGCCUUCACACUACCACCAACAUACUCAGAGAUCCAAGCCACCCGAGUCAUCACCUGUUUUCUCUGCUACCCUCUGAAAGGCACUACAGGGUGCUCAGUGCCCACACCUCCAGACUCUACCAUAGAGCCAUAACUGAACUGAAAAAAGCCAGCCAACAAGCACAAUAAUCUAAAAACAAAAACAAUCUACGUCUUCUGAGGCCUAAGGUCUAAGACAAACUGGACUCCCUGCAGUUUGCAUACAAAGAACACAUUGGAGUGGAUGAUGCUGUCCUCUACAUGCUUCACCGUGCCCUGUCUCAUCUGGUGGAACCUGGGGUUUAUGUGAGGAUCAUGUUCUUCGACUUUUCAAGUGCAUUCAACACCAUCCAACCCACCAUACUCAAAGACAAGCUCACAGAGAUGGGAGUGGAUCCUGCCCGUGUUUCCUUGAUCACAGAUUACCUGACAGGAAGGCCACAGUUUGUCAGGCUGGGGAACUGUGUUUCUGGGACAUUAACGAGCAGUACAGGGGCUCCACAAGGGACAGUGCUGGAGCCAUUCCUGUUCACACUGUACACGUCAGACUUCAAAUACAGUACUGAGUCCUGACACAUCCAGAAAUAUUUAGAUGACACCGCUAUUGUGGCAUGUAUUGGAAAUGGACAAGAAGCUGAGUACAGAGAUCUAAUAAGAGCCUUCAGUGACUGGAGUCACAAAAACUGCCUCCUCCUCAACACAGGUGAUGGUCAUAGACUUCCAUAGAUCCAAACCCCCUCUUCAGCCAGUGAACACCUGUGGAGUGGACAUUGAAGUGUUGACAUCAUAAAAAUACAUGGAUUGGUCUAAGAAUAUAGACUACAUCUACAGAAAGGGGCAGAGCCGCCUCUUUUGCCUGAGAAGACUCUGAUCAAUAGACAUCUGUAGUAAGAUGCUGCAGAUGUUUCAUCAGUCUGUGGUGGCAAGUGUUCUGUUCUAUGCUGCAGUCUGCUGGGGAGGAAGCAUCAAACACAAAGAUGCAAGACGUCUUAACAAACUGGUGAAAAAGGCUGGCUCUGUGGUAGGACUCAAGCUGGACUCAGUGGAGGAUGUGGUGGAGUGAUCUACACUGAGGAAGGUGGAGACUAUUCUUAAGAACAUGGAUCACCCACUUCACAACACCUUGAUGGACCAAAGGGCAAAUGGUGGUGGACGGCUCCUCUCUCUUCACUGAAGGACAGAAAGAGUCAGAAGAUCUUUUGUACCAACAGCCAUCAGGCUUUAUAACUCUUAUGUAAAUACUAGAUAACUUAUACAGAUAUGUUAUGUGAGACAACAGACAAUUGAAUUUCCCUUUGGGGAUCAAUAAAGUUCUUCUUCUUCUUCUUCUUUAAUAAAUAGGACAUUUUCUUCCGGUCUGUUGGUGCAAUCUUGCCCUCUGGUGGCUUGGUGCAGGGUGGCAAACCACCCACAGUGGUAAAACCGUGCAGCGCAGUCCUGUGCGCAGACAGUUUGGGAAAUUGGUAAACCAAGGUGCACAGAGAUGUGCCAAGAUAGGCAUGGAAGUGCAGUUAGGGAGAAAUAUCUACAGAUUCAGCUGGCGUAAAUUGUGUUCGCAGGCGGCACAGAGAGUGUGCUGAAAACUCAGUCAGCUUUAAGAGCAAUUGGAGCACAGCUGGUCAACUGGAUUAAUUUGUGGACUGGCUGAGCAGUACACACAUGUCAUCAAUACCUCACAGGCAGGUUUUAAGCAGUGCACAACCUAGGUGCAAAGUGAGACACAGGACGCAUAGAGGUUGGAUUAAAUCCCUCGGUUAUUUAAAGGUGUGUUUUGGGUGUAAUAUAAAGCAAACUAAUUAGAGUGUCUUUUCUCCCUCCCUUUAAUAUAGGUGGAAAUAUAGAAGUCUCUUAUUAAAAUACAAACAAAUGCAUUUGUCCCUUCUAGGAGUGCACAUGUACUUUAUUUAUUCCAUUGCAUGAUUUGUUUAAAACCCUUAUUUUGUACUCUGUGCACCGUAAUAGUCAAAUAUCUCUGGUCAGGGCCCUGCUUUCUAUAAGACUGUUUGCAAGUGUUUUAGUAUGUGUCGGUUUCAGCAUGUGUCCUGGCACCCUCAGUGAGGCCCCAUACCACCUGCAGUAGAAUAAUGGAGGAAUACACUUCCUGCAUUUCCAAGAUGCAAUGAGGCCUUUAGAUUUGAUCCUGCUGAAGGGCACUGAAGCAUGUUCUUCAGGAGUGAGUAAAAUGACUUAAAAUGUAAGGACUCAGUUAAGAAGAACUUAUUCUACCUUUGGACAAGGGAAGAGUAGAGCCAGCAAAUGGACAGUUGAAACAUGUAGUUUUCGGCAGAGGUUAAUUUAUUUAAAACAAACCAAAUAAAUGCAUCCCUGUUUUUUACAGAACAGUGGGAAAGUGGAGUGGUCAGCUACUUGAGUUCUUGGUUCAGUAGCUGAGUGGGAUUUGAAGUUGUAGCUGGAGAUUUGUGUACUUUAAAGCAGAACUGUGUACCCAUGCUUGUAAUUUACUUAAGGUCGAGGGGUUAUUGUCAGGGAAUGAAGAAAGGGUUUUUUCCCCCUUUUUUUUUUCCUUUUUGGUCAGACUAUGUUCUUUUUUAGUCCUCUGUAAUCCUUGAAUUUCUUAAACCCAUAUUUUUUUCUCUUUCCAUCCGCUGGUGUCUAUCCAUCUUUAUUUUUCUCUCCUGCUCUCUGCCGAACACUUCAUUCUCCCUCCUGUUUUUGAUUACAUCAAUAUUUGUCUUUCUCAGACCAAUCCUUUUUUUUCCCUCCUCUUUCUUCCUCUGCCCAUAGCUUGUCUAUUCCCAUUUAUUCUCUUACAAUUGAAAUCCAUUCCCUCUAAAUGGAAAACAGACUAACUGCAUUACUGUAGUGUGUUAACCGAGGUAAUUCAACAUUACUAGAUGCUAGAUGAAUGAGGAUAUGAACAUUUAAUCAUGAGAGUGAUCAGCAAUGCAGUAACAAUAUUAUGAUUCUUCUUCAUAAUUAUUUGAUGUCCGAUGGAGAUAAAAGUUACUUUAUCAAUGAAAUAGAAACACAUUACUGGGCUGAUAAAACAAAGCUGGCUGCCUGGGUGUUCAUUUAGUCUGUUGAUGGACCUAGUUAAAGGGAUAUUCUGGUGUAAAAUUAAGUUAGGGUCAAACACACUGUAACACUGAGUUAGACAUCCCAUCGAGAGACGAAUGUUGCUGACCGCUUGCUUCUCUAGUUCUACCAACUUUAGUAACGACCGCACAAUAGCAAUACAGAGAGCCACAAGCUCAACCAAAAAGCCACUCUAAAGCCACAAAUAAUGCUCAGAACAGCACCUAACUUCAUCAACAGUACAUACAGGGUCCCAGCCAUAAUACUAGCCACCAAACAUCUUUUUAGAUUUGCUUGAUUUCUUUAGCAAAGAGCCUAAACACAACUCACCCACUCUCCUCCAGCAGCCGCUUGUUUGUAUGGAGACCUCUGGGUGAGUCCAUUGACUGCAGUGGGGGGACGCAGCUCAAAGCAAAACAUUUAUGAUCAUUUCCUCAUGGAAAUGCAAUCAGACCAAGACGCUAAGGCAGAAUAACUUUUGCGUCUCCAGUGCAAAAUGAUUAAUAUGGUGAUUAUUACUUCAAGGAAAUGAUAAAGAAAUAAUCAUAAAUGUUCUUCCUUGAGCUGCAUCACCAUGCUGUAGUCUAUGGACUCACCCAGAGGACUCCGUACAAACAAGCAGCUGCUGGAAGAGAGUGGGUUAGUUGUGUUUAGUCUCUUUGCUAAAGAAAUUAGGCAAACCUAAAAAGAUAUUUGGUGGCUAGUGACCCUAUAUGUACUGAAGUUAGGUGCUGUUCUGAGCAUUAUUUGUGGCUAUAGAGUGGCUUUUUGGUUAAGCGCAUGGCUCUUUGUGUUGCUAUCGUGCGGCCGUUAUUAAAAUUGGUGUAUCUUGAGAAGCAAGCUGUUGGCAACAUUCAUCUCUCGACGGGUGUCUGACUCGGUGUUAUGGUGUGUUUGACCCUAACUUAAUUUUAUGCUGGAAUAUCCCUUUAAUAGUGUUGGCUGAUUGGCUGGUCUGUUAAUUGGUUGGUUGGUUGGUUGGAUCUGUGUCAAAUCUGAUCCAAUCCACUUUAUUUAUAUAGCAUGUUUUAAAAAAAACAUUCAAGUUUACCAAAGUACUGCACAGUAAAAUAAAACACUGCAGAAAACAUCAAGAGGAAAUAAAUAAAAGCAGGUAAAAACCAUUUAAAAUGAAAUAAAAUGAAUGAAAUAAAAAGACAAAAGCAUAAAAGGAAUAAAAGUGAUAAGAGGACCAUAAAAGACAUAAAAGGACAGAGAUCCCACAACUCUCAUGCUGAACUAAAAACCAAGGAACAAAAAGGAGUUUUAAGACAUGAUUUAAAACUAUGGAGGGUGGGGGAUGUUUUAAUCUUGAGUGGCAAUUCGUUCCACAAUUUGGAAGGCACAGCUGAGAAAGCUCAAUCACCUCAGGUUUUUAAACGAGUUAUUGGGACAAGUUGAAGCUGAUCAGCAGACCUCCAGGAAUGUGUGGGGGUUUUAACAUUUAAGAGGUUGGAGAUGCACUGUGGUGCUGAUCCGUUUAAAAAACAAACAAUAACAUUUUAAAAUGAAUACUAUGUUUUCAUGUUUUCUUUUACCUGUUAAAAGACAAGCAGCAUUACAAUCGUCCAACCGUGUCGAAAUAAAAGCAUGAAUUACUCACUUAAAAUCAUCAACAGGUUAAACUGAUUUAAAAAUAUUCACUCAAAAUCCUCAGAUAAUAAAACUGGAUUUAACAACAGAGUUAAUUUGUUGAUCCGAUUUAAAAUCAUUGUCAACUUUUACACCAAGAUUCAACCCUGUAAGACACAGUGUUGCAGGAUUACAACAAUUUUGGUUAUCCCCAAAAAAACUCUAAUUUAUAAUUUUUUUUUUAGUUCAACCAAAUUUACAUGAUCAUUUGGUCCUAUUGUUUGUUCUCACAAUGCGAUUGGAUCCAACAUUUUUAUAUAAGGCCCGCCCUCAGGUGAAGAAGUCACACAACCUCAAUUUUUUUGAUCGAGCAACAUCCCUUCGAUUUACUGGACUGGAUUCAUCUGAAUCAAGUAAGUAAAAUGCUUUGAAUAUUUUUUUGUGUUUGUUACAAUGUCUAGAACAUGAACAUAUGUAGUUGUUGCAGUAAAUAUGCCCUACAUUUUAUUUAGAGCUUGUUUUAUAAUUGUUGCAAUAUUACAACGUUGGGUCAAAGUGGUAGCCAAAACAGCCCUGUUUUUGAGAGGAGUGUCUUGAGAGGAACUUCAAUUAAAACGUUCACAAUAUAUCUUUAAACUACACAUGAUUUACAUAUUCUAGCCUUAGCCUUAUAUUGGAUUACAUAUUUUAUUGUAUUAGAAACUAUAUAUUAAUAUAUAUUGCUGUAUCUAAACAUUUUCAUUUACUUAUAAUGAUUUCUAACCACCUUCAACACUCUCAGUAUUUUCUCCUCAUCACAAAAUGCAGGACUUUCUAACAAAGAAAUUCUGUUUGUGCAUGUCUCCCCUUUGUUUUAGUCUCUAUUGAUAAGAAAAUGCUCCUAUCAAUUCUAAGUCAAAGCAGUUGUGGGGGAUGCUCCUGGUGCAUUUGUAGCAUUGUUCUGGAACAGGUGUUAAUUAAGGUGUGGUUGUAAGCUGUCUCCAGUCUCCAAUAUGUCAAUAGGUCAGUAUUGUGUGACCAGUGAAAUGUGUGAACAGGCAACUUCAGUGCAAUGUGUAAACACUUCAUAAUGAAAUCAGUCUCCCCACCAUCCCAUCUUUCCUGUUGGCCAUCUAGAAUCUAGUAAGCAUGGGAGGUAGUUCUGAGUGUCGUCUGCAUACAGAUGGUAAAAAUCAAGCCAAGUGGGAGAAGGUAUAGGGAGAAGAGGAUGGGACCAAGAAUAGAGCCUUGGGGUACUCCACAGGUAGGGGGGCACAAGAAGAGACACAGUCACCAAAGUUCACUUUUAAACACCUCUCAGACAAGUGGGACCUGAACCAGUUAAGAGCUGUACCUGUUAAACCGACACAGUGUUCGAGGCGAGCAAUGAGAGUUGUGUGAUCUACAAAUGCAGCUGUUAGAUCUAAAAGCAUUAAGAGUUGAGUCACCAGAGUCAGUACAAGAUAAUUAAAAACCUUUCAAAGUGCAGAGUCAGUGCUGUGAAAUGCCUUAGAACCAGAUUGAAAAAUGUCAAGAAUGCCGUGAUCAUCUAAAUAAGACUGGAUUUGAAGGAGCACUGCUUUCUCAAGGAUUUUUGAGAUAAAAGGAAGCUUCAAUAUAGGUCUGAAAUUAGACACAAUAGAGUGAUCUAGAUAGGAUUUUUUAAUUAAAGGUUCCACUACCGCUUUUUUAAAAUAAGGAGGAACACUGCCUGAAGCAAAACUGCAGUUUAUAAUUUGUUGGACUAUAGGAACAAUGGUAACCCAAACCUCUUUAAAGAGGCGAGGGGGGAAAACAUCAUUGGGACAUCCAGCAGGUUUACGCUGAUUGACAAUUUUGUGAAGAGUGGGCAGAGAGUGGGCAAGCAACAUAAGGGUCAUGCAAAGGUGGGGAUAUGAGUGCUCUGAUAUUUCUGACUUUAUCAAUAAAAAAGCAAAGACAUUUUUCACAGACCUCAGGUGAAGCUUCAAGAUAAUUGGACUGAGAGGCAUUUAAAAUGGAAUCAAGUUUUAAAAGAACGCGUGAAUUAUGAAGGUUGACUGAAAUUAUAUCAGAAAAAUGUGUAGUCUUGUGUUCUUUAACAACUCUGAUAUUUUUUUUCCAGGUGUCUCUCAUGAUUUCAUAAGACUCUUGAACCUUUUUUUUUUUCCACUUGCGCUCUGCCUGUCUGCACUCGUGUCUAGCAGCACGAGUGAUGUCAUUCAGCCACAGCUUGGAUAUGGGAUUGGGGGCAUCAUUAUAAGAGGAGUGACAUCAUCAAGAAUAUUACCUCAAGUGCUAAGGAAGCAGGAGAUUAACUGUUCAGUGUUUGGUCCACUAAGUGGCUCAGUGCCAGACACCAUUGCAUUAAAGGCAGCAGAAAAGAGAGCCGCUGUGGAAGGAUUGACUAUCCAGCACCUGUAGGAGCACACGGUUUAGUCACCAGACCAGGUGGAAUAAAUUCAAAAUAUACAGGCAUAUGGUCAGAAAAAAAGGCAUUGCAUACCUGAAGAGACAUAAUCGGUAAACAACACGAUAAAACCAGGUCUAGUGUGUGCUCUUGUGUGGCUCCAGAAACAUGUUGCACAAGGUUACAAGCGUCAACAAUAUUUAAAAAGUCUUAAGCCAGCAGCUUCUGUGGACAGCAGACAUGAACACUGAAAUUUCUGACAAUCAAGAUAGUGUCAUAAUUUGGCACUACCAACCAAGAUGUCAGAGAAUUGAUCAAUAAAGUCCUUAUUGUACUUUGGCGGCCAGUAAAUUACAGAACAGAAAAUCCAGGGCUGGCGAGGUGAAAUAAUCCUUCAGGAUGAAAGUCUUGUUCAGCAGAGACCUUGGUGCAUCUGGUGGAAGCCGACCCAGACCCAGUUAUUUAGAAAUACAAAAAAAUAUAUCAGGUAUAAAAAUCUGGAUCUCACCAGACUCAAUAUCAAACUCAAGUGUUUGAACACUAGAGCAUACAGUACUAAAACACUGCUUUAAAUAAGACUACAACACCAACACAUAAGAACUCCUCUGUAAAAUAUGGUAUUUUUAGUGAUGCCUUUUUUUCUGGCACUCUUAAAAUCAUGUUACAAUUUCUAUGCAGUGUCUUUGUCCAUAUCCUUUUCACCAGAUACAGUCAUUUGAAAACGUUAUUACAGUUAUGAUUAUCUUUUUUACCUGCCAGUUGCAGAAAUAUCUCAACUAGAUGGCUGAGAAGUACACCAGGAAUAGAUCAAUCUGAAUUUCCUGUUAAUUGCAAUUUUGUAGCUUUUUUGACUGCUACAGUCAGUAGUCUUAAUUUAUUUAUUCUAUUUUUUUUUUACUUGUCUUUCUUUACCUGUCCAUUAGAUGUCCUCAGUGUGUCUCCCUGUCUCUCUCAGCUUUGGCUCAUUACUUUGUCAGCCCUUGUUCUGUGAUCCUAGUCUCAGGAGCUGCACCACAUCAAUAAUUAGCUUCUUUGUGUCUGUUGUCAGCUGUGGCUGUAUCAGUUUCACAGGUUUGAGCUGCUUUUGUUGCGGUACUAUUCUAGUUCUUACCUACAGUAUAGUUUACCCGUCUCUUGUCCAUGUGCUGUCAGCAGGAUGUUGAAGCAACCCUCUUUUGAAUUAUUAAUAUCAUACUGCUAUUACUGUUAUCCUCAGUAUCUAAGGCUGUUCAGGUCACAGCUGGUAAUAAAUGUGUGAGGCUUGAAAGCAUCUUAUACACACCAUUUUUCAAAACUGGGCAGCAGAACCAUUGAACUGCAGGGUAAGGAUGUACAACAGAGAGACAGAUGGACCAAACAGCAGCUGACAGUCAGAAAGAGUACAAGAAUAAGAAAGCAGGGGGAAUGGGUAACCCUACAGUAAAAAAACAGCCUUAUUCAGACAAGAACAGUCUCAUUUAAAAUGGUAAAUUUUGAUACUGUAUAAGCAUGUUUCUAGUUGGCACUUUGAUUUGAAACAACAAUGAAGAACACCUUUUCCUGUGCAUAAAGGCAUAUUUCAAUGGGACUUAAAGUACAAACUACCUGACUGGCUGCACAUUCAGCCACUCAAAUACUGUUUAAUGAAAACAACCAGCCACGAAAAGUAGUAAUAAAGUUUGUGUUUCAGUGUAAACAGCCCUUAAGUGGUUCCACAAAUCACUGGCAUCAAGGUAAACUUAGACUGAUCUAAAUUGAGCAACAACAAAACAGCCAAGGAGAAGAGCCAAAGGAAUCUGAAGUCACAGAGGCAGAGCUCACAGUCUGUGAGUUAAGGCUGAGCCACCUAUUGGACUAACUUUGAUCACAAUUAUGCAUAGAAAGAAGUAAGAAUAUAAGAAUAUUCGGAUGAAAAAAUGGGGGCAGUAAAGGAAAGACAACAAAGGUUAAAGAUGGAAAACUAUUGGCUAUGGUAGAAAUUGAAAAUGGCGCAUGAAGUGGAGACAGAACAAGUUAAUAACACACACACACACACACACACACACACAUAUAUAUGUAUUUAGUCAAGCAGGUAGGGGUUCGACUCCUGCAUGACACACAUCUGUAAGAAACAAGUUACAUCAACCAGUGUCAACCGCAGUCAUCAACCGCAGUCAAUGCUAACACCGAAACAGCUCAUAGCUCAGUGUUCCAACCUCAGCAAACAGCAGCUGUUACCACGACUAGAGAUUGAGGAGAGACAACACGUUUUUGCUAUGGCAACCUUCUUUGUAAAUAAAGCAACAUAUAGUAGCUAUGGAGUAUUUCUUUGGACUGUGUGUUAGACAGAUCUCCCUAUCAGCCUCCCAGCGGCAAAUCGCAGUGAGGAAAGCAGACCCUAACCCUAUGCAGGCCCACAGCCUUUCUUACCCAUGAUUGAGUGACAAGGAAGCAACCCAAAUACAUGCGCACUCCCACAUUAUAUAUGAUAUGCGUUUUGUGACAUAAAAUUCCCUUAAAUAUUACAGAGGAGAUGAGCUAGCUAAGGAUCCCUGUGCAUCUAUAGGUGUUUCAUCCUCCGCGAUUGCAACUUUUUGACUCAAUGAAGGCUUGAAACAUCCAGUUAAUUUAAGCUCUUCAUCAUGUUGUUCUUUUGAUUGUUGCUGUUUUUGUUUGGAGGGUCCACUGUCAUACUUUCUCUCUGUCAAAUGACAACUAAAAAUAACUGACAUGCCACAUGAUGUGACCAAUACAACAGAUUGGAUAGAUUUAACACUUGGGUCACAUCCUUUCAAUCAAUUGUUUAUUUAUUUUAUGGGCCAAUACAGGUCAUUUUUGCUGUUUCUGUUUAGGGAAAAUGUAAAAUAGUGAAGCCAAUCUGGGACUCCUGCACAUGUGGGGCCCCUGGGCUGCAGCCUAGGCCAGCCUGUGCAUAAAGCCGCACCAGCCUGGGAAUACAAUUAAGCUCAUGUGUGUCAAACAGGACAUAAAAUAUCGUGAAAUAAGCUGAAUUUUUAGUUACGUUCAUUGUAUUCCUCAGGUGAUAAACCUUUGGUGAUAUCAGGCAUUAAAGUGAACAAGAAAUUGAGGAAAACACGGGUGGGCUAAUCAUUUGACCAUGACUGUUCACACACACACACACACACAUACACACACACACACACACACACACACGACCCUUCAUAAAAAUCACAGUCUUUAUGCCUGUUGUUUCGAAAUUAUCCCUCUCUGCAGCCUGCUCUUUCUUUUUCUGCCACCUACUUGCUUUUCUCUUCUCUUUUCUCUGCUUGUACUCUCAUGCAGUGCUUUGUACAAUUGAAUUUACUUUAUACAGAAUUUCACGCCUAACGCCUUUUUCUCUUUAACUCCAAGGCUGGCUGAAGUGAGUUUUUUUUAUUUUUUUUUUAUUUCAUUUCUCUGUAUAAAAUCUUGAUUGGUUGAAAGCAUAUGUCUGUAGGAACAGGACACAAAAGAUUAGUACCACACGGCAGUAGUGACAUGCUGAGUUUAAAGUACAGGGUUGAAUGAUUCUUGUUUUGUUCUAUUUUAGUCCAGAACAGUUUUAAAUUUGAGUCUUUUAGCACUUGUUGUGCUGGCCUUUGGGAAGUAAGAAACUGUAUGUACUUGUUUGUUAUUCAGCAAAGUAAGAUGUUCAGAAAAAAAAUAAAAAAAGUUAGGGAGAAGUUUCUUCUGAAUGCCACUACUCCCGGCAUCCUUUUUCAGGUAAGAAGUAUGUCUCUUCUCUGUAAAGGUUAGCACAUCGUACAUAGUGAGAGACACGUCUGUGGAAAGUUUAAAAAAUAAAAAAAACAGUACCUCUGUUUCAAAAAUGCCAGAAAUCUGGAUGCAGAGAGCUGUGUUGCUGCAUUGCCAUUGAAUACAAUGGUAAGAUGACUUUGAAAAGUACACUCUGAAUAAAAGUGUGAGACCGAGGCAGGAAAGAGAGGUAGAAGGUGAUAGAAACAAUGUGCUUCAGUUAGGCAGAGGGAAGGACCAAACAGAGGGUGCAAAAAAAGAUAGAGUCCCUUAGGAGAUAACACUGAACUGAUUUGUUUUCAGCAAGAGAUGGAAUUAAAAAAAAGGAAACUUUGUUAAGAAAGUGCACUUUAGUCUUUCCCAAUUAAGUUCCCUUUGUGUGCAUGCAUCGUGAUCAGGGAUUCAAAAUCAAGACAUUCUCUGUAAAUGCUCCUUGGAAAUGGUAAUGAUCAACUAUCUAAAUUAUUCUACAACACACACGUACACACACACACGCAUGCACACACACAUGCAGACAAACACACACACACACACACACACACACACACACACACACACACACACACACACACACACACACACCAUCCCUCUGCAGUGAAGCCAAGUUCAAUGAAAACUGUCUGCAGGAUCUUAUCAAAAAUAAAAUAUGUAAUUUUUUACAGUUAAUUGUAACCCAGGUUACAAAAUCCUCAUAUCCUCAUCCUCAAUCCACAUAUUUCUGCUCCCUUUCAUCCCUUCACCCCCCAUUGGACACCUUCCCUGUCAGUCAAACCCAUAGAGCACAAAUCACAACCUCUCACCAGUGAACCUCCUCGUUCCCUCUGUGCAGCAGCUCACCAGCUCUUAACCACCUCCCUGAUCAGUCAUUCACACCAACUCAGUCUGUGAGCAGCAGCAGCAGUAUCUCAACAACGAGAUCUCACCAAACUUUCCUCCACAAUUUUUCCCAACUUGGGGAAAAAAAAGAAAAUGAACCCACAGGAAACUGGAUCUGGACAUUCUUUACUUAACCUUGGACCUAGUGAUGGGCACGGCAGUUCUUUUGGAUGUACUGAAUCACUAGAACCAGUUCACUAAAAAGAUUUGUUCACCAAAUCACUGAAUCAUUUUGUUGGAGAAGUCUGCGACUCUGACCUCCUGAACUGAUACACAGCUGAACGUUUCAGAAUUCGGUUCAAUUCAUAGCUUCUGGGACCAGGACACAAGAGUGUUUGUCUGUGUUGCUUUGGCAAACAGGUUUGUAAAAAUGAACUUGUUUAUGAGGCAAGAUUUUUUAAAUGUACUGCCCUAUGGUAUGCUAUUUAUUAGGUCUGCUCAGUAAAUUGGGGUCAGUGAGUUGAAUUGAACUGUUUUUUAUUAAAUGUGAAUUUUGUUUAACUGAAAAAAGAUAACUGGUCUAACUUAAAAGGAACUUUUUGAUAUUUCAGUGCAUUUAAAUUGAAAUUUGAUUGAUAUAUUUUAUUUGCAUUUCAAAAUUUUGCUUUAUUUUUAAUGUAUUUUCCUGGUAUUCUAUCAAGUAUUUUGAGUUUUUCAAUACAGUUGGUAUAAGUCACAUUUUUCAUUUGUGUCUAUUAAUUUCUACCCAGCUCCAGAGCCAAACCACUAGCCCAAAUCUUACCUUGUGUUAUAUGUAUAAUCAUUUAUAAUUUAAAUUUAAAAUUCAUAAAGCAUUAUCUAAUAUAUCAUAAUAUAAAUAUAGUAUAUAUUUCAUAAGUGUUACAUAAAUUGGCAAGCUAGCCAGGAGCUGGUUUUGAAAAUUAAUAGACAUAUUACGUGUCAAUCAUGGAAACUGUGAUGCAAGAGUCCAUAAACGUGCCAAACUCAGUGAAGUACUUAGAAAAGUACCAAGUACUUGGUUUCAUUAAUAGGGUUUUGCACAUUGAUAAUCCCAAGUCUGAGCAUCAUGGAAGUGCAAUCGUAGAGUUUAAUUUUGGUACUGCAAUGUAGUCACUUUCAUCUUUACUGCCUUUUCCAUAGUCUAUCUAAACUAGAUAUCACCUUCAAGAAUGUUCAUUAGCUGGUACUUACAGUCCACUUGCUUGCACAAGGGCCACCAAGAGCUGCAUUGAAGAAUUGCAGGCAAUCUCCAAGUUAACAGAAAAACCCCUAGAGACUUUGCUUCAAGAGGAACUUGCAAAGCUAACUGUUAUAACCCCUUCCUCCAUGGAGUCAAAAGCUGAUCUCAAACAGGAAAAAACAUCUCCCAAUAAAACCUGAAAUAAAACUUCCAGUGCCAGACCCUCAAAUUCAACCUCAACCAAACAAACCCCAAAAAAGUCUGACCACUGACUUUGCUUCUUUCUUUGUGCUUCCUACCACAGAAAAAUGUCCUUUUACUCUCCCAGGAGAUGCAGUUAGCCCACUUGAGAUCCAGAAAGUUGUUAUAGAGCACAUUGUCAAGACUGAUAAUGCUAUGUCCCAUGUCUAUGGCUUCUCCCGCCUUAGAGCUUUUCUGGAAAAAUCACACGUCAGUUAUGAAACUGAUUAUGAUACCUGGAGAACCAAUGUGGAUUUGUUUCUCACUGAUCCUUCUGUGUCCGAUUUGGAGUGUUCACGGCAGAUUGUAUAUAGUCUGAUGUCACCUUCUGCACCUGAUGUCUUCAAACAACUUGGUCCCCAAGCUUUGCCCAAAGCUUACCUUGAGCUUUAGACUCAGCAUACGGUACUGUAGAAGAUGGAGAUGAGUGUUUUGCAAAAUUUGAACACUUUUCAGAAUUCUGGUGAAGAACCUUCAGAUUAUUUGCAUCGUCUUCAAGUUGUUUUGAAUGCUGGGGCAGUGCUCUCAUCAGUGACCUCCAGCUAGAGCAGAGAAGAGACAACCUCCCUACCCUCGCAGAUCUUCUUCUCUUGCUUCAAGUUGAUGAAGAUAAGCAAGCAGCUAAAGCCUGUCAUAUGAAAAAAAAAAAAAGUAUAUAUACAAAACCCAAUUCCAUUAAAGUUGGGAAAUUCUGAAACAUAAAUAAAAACAGAAUACAAUGAUUUGCAAAUCCUUUUCAACCUUUAUUUAAUUGAAUACACUACACUAUUUUUUUGCAAAUAAUAAUUAACUCAGAAUUUCAUAGCUGCAACACGUGCCAACGAAGUUGGGAAAGGUGGCAAAAAAUACUGAGAAAUUUGAGGAAUGCUCAUCAAACACCUAUUUGGAACAUCCCACAGGUGAGCAGGCUAAUUGGGAAUUCCCCCAAAUUCUCAGUCAUUUACAAGCAAGGAUGGGGCAAGGUUCACCACUCUGUGAACAACAGUUUAAGAACAACGUUUCUCAAAGUACAAUUGCAAGGAAUUUAGGGAUUUUAACAUCUACUGUCCAUAACAUCAUCAAAAGGUUCAGAGAAUCUGGAGAAAUCACUGCCAUAGACCGUAUAUAGAAUGGACAGCAUCUGCCUCCUUGCUGGGUGAAGCCACUCUGAGAACAGCACCCUCUGUUGAUGGGCUGCAGUAUAAAUCCCGCCUCCGCCAGCAAAGCUUAUGGGACUGUGGACAAACUUUAGAAAUUUAUUACACAGAAUAUACAUUUUUCUCCCCCCUGCUUGUGAUGUUCACAUGUAAUUAUUGUAAGACUGGUUUGUGCUCAAGUCCUCUUUUUUUCUUUGAAGCUCAGUUUUUAAAGGUUAUUAGGGGGUUCAUGUUUUCUAUGAUUGACACCUGAUACAGCCUAUGGGCGUUCAGGAAUUGCGUAGCUCACCCAGGGGAUACGCUGUUUGAGCCGAGCGUCAUCACAGCGACUCUCGGCGACUCUCCUGCCGAAUGUGCUACUGCGCAGCGCUGGUUUCAGGAAAUGAAGAAAAAUCACGGAAAUACAGAGAGCUUUUUGGCUUCAAAUCCGUAUACAGGCGGUAGGCAGAACCAAGUUGUCCAUAGUAUAUACAGUUUAUGAUCAGUUCAUAACUGAUGCAAAGUGGAAAAGUGUUCUGUGGUCUGACGAGUCCAUAUUUCAAAUUGUUUUUGGAAAUAGUGGACGUCGUGUCCUCCAGGCCAAAGAGGAAAAGAACCAUCCGGACUGUUAUUGACACAAAGUUCAAAAGCCAGCAUCUGUGAUGGUAUGGGGGUGUAUUAGUGCCCAAGGCAUGAGUAACUCACACAUCUGUGAAGGCAACAUUAAUGCUGAAAGGUACAUACAGGUUUUGGAGCAACAUAUGCUGCCAUCCAAGCAACGUCUUCUUCAUCGAUGCCCCUGCUUAUUUCAGAGAGACAAUGCCAAGCCACAUUCUGCAUAUGUUACAACAGUGUGGGUUUUUAGUAAAAGAGUGCGGGUACUCGACUAGUCUGCCUGCAGUCCAGACCUGUCUGCCAUUGAAAAUGUGUGGCGCAUUAUAAAGCAUAAAAUACGACGACAGAAACCCCGGACUGUUGAACAACUGAAGCUGUACAUCAAGCAAGAAUGGGAAAGAAUUCCACCUUCAAAGCUUCAACAAUUAGUCUCCUCAGUUCUUAAACGUUUAUUGAGUGUUGCUAAAAAGAAAGGUGAUGUAACUCAGUGGUAAACAUGCCCCUGACCCAACUACUUUGGCACUUGUUGCAGCCAUGAUAUUAAUUAUUAUUUGCAAAAAAAAAAAAAAAAAAAAGAGAUUUAUGAGCUUGAAAAUUCAAUAUCUUGUCUUUGGAGUAUAUUCGAUUGAAUAUAGGUUGAAAAGGAUUUGAAAAUCAUUGUAUUCUAUUUCCAUUUCCAUCUAAUACAUUUACAUAUAUACAGUAUAUAUAUUGAUCGGUGAGAUAAGAACAAAACCAUUUAAAAACAGUACCAGAGAGGUCUACAAGGUGCCAAAGUCUAUUUACUAAAUGAGAUGGUCUACUGUGUGAGAAGCGGCGCUUACAUCCAGUAGAACCAACACUGUGAUCUUUUUGGUAUCUAAUGUUUUGCAUGACCAUGCGUAUUUGUGUCAGUUCGUCUCUGACUGAUCUAAUUGCCUUCAUGGUGUCCCUCUGUGUCUGAAGGACUCUAUUGGUGAGGACCCACCGCUAGGGGCAGGUGGGCCUGCAGUCAGUGUGCCAGACAUACUGGGAACCUCCUCCACCUACGCCUCACCCACCGCUCCCUCACUGACUGGCUAAACUCACAGGAUCCAGAACGGCUCCGCUCUGGACCAGCAGGGGGAUCGGCUCCGCAAGCAUACAGCGCCCAUCGGAUCCGAUCCACCACCGCCAUCAAAGGAGAAGUGCUCACGAGAUUACCAACAUUUCUCAUGGGACUGGACGAGAUCUCAUGAGCUUUCCCAUGUUUCCCUGGGAGUCAUAGAAUAAGAUCCGCUGAUUGGUGUAUAUAAAUGGUGAUGUAUAUAAACAACAGUGUUUAUAAUCACCCACAUCCCACAAUUUUGGCCUCUCCCUUUAUCAAGUUAAGAACAGUUCAAUGUAUUGACUUUAUUUUAUUUUGAAAAUUAACCGGAUAUUUUACUCUGUAACCGCAUAAAACUUCCACUGCUGCUUGUGCAGUGCUGCACUGAAUUGAUACGCCAAAAAUAGAAGCCCUGCAUAUCUGAUCCAGCCGCCAGAGCCAGUCCGCAGGGGAACUGAAUGCCAGACGGAUUCUGUGGAAUGACUCACAUUGAUUAUAAUGCUUGCGGAUUUGAUACGCUGGCCAUGGUGGAGCGGAGCGGAGCCGUUCAGGACCCUGUGAGUUCUGCCUGUGAAACCACACCGGACACACUGGCUGUUCCAAGGAUCGAGGCAAUUUUAGAGUUGAGUGGCGUUGGCUCUGCUGUGGCCUGCCCCCCACUGUGUGAAAAACUGGUAGACUUGUCGUGCAUAAGACAUAUGUCUUUAUGAAGUAGGGAAAAGUAACAGUAAGCCCUGGAGGUGGGGUUACAAAACCGCCACACAGCCACUACACCAUCAGUCUUCAGGAGGAGCUGAAUAGUGUGCUGACUUCAAUAGGGAUGCCCCUCAAGAAAUACUCCUAUCCAAAUGAGGAGAAAGUGCACUGUUAAUGUCACCACCAAGUGUAAGAUCAUGUGUUGGCAUAUCUGGUUAGUAAGACAAUAAUCAUUGGUGAAGAGUGUAGGGUCAUCCCACAUUAGGGCAUAAAUACAGGCUAAAAUAACUGGGAGUGUGUAUAAUCUUACUAUUACGAUGGUAUAUCGCCCUGCAGAGUCAGUUUGCACAUAAGAUACUGUGAACUGUAUGAUUUUUCUGAUCAUAACAGCAACGCCCUUAGCCUUUGAGCGAUCAAUCAGCCGCUCUUUGUCCAAUUGUAGCACUUCAGUUAGCCUCUUUCACCUAGUCAAUCUCAGGCUUUGGCGCUGUGGUGUUAUUACCGCCGUUUUCACCGCCUUCAGUUCAUUUUUGAGAAUUUGGAAAUCAUUGGCAAGGCCCUUCCUCAGUUUGGCCGUGUCACUGUUGAAAUGUCUGCUUUUACAGUAAGAAGAAUUUCUGACUUCAAGCCUGCAACAGCCAUCCCUCCCAUAGCAGGUGAAGGCGGGUCACUUCAGCUGAGAUCUUGGCAGUACUCUGGUCUGAGAAGGAGUUGUGACUUGUGUUGGAGGAUCCAGUAUAUCUGUUGCCAUCUGGGCACCGCUGCAGAUUUGUUCCACUAUCCCAUUGAGUUUAGAAAGAGUUAACUGUUGCAUGAAAUAACAUAUUUUUUUUUGUUGUUGUUUAAAAUAGAGGUUUAAGGGGGCCUAUGUUAAACACAGCUUACUUCAUUGACCGUAAAACGAAUAAGGUAUAGGAACCAAGGGUUAAACACAAUGUCCCUUUGAUCAGAUUGUGUUAUGUGGAAAUGGAAAAAAAUCUCUCAGUAAAGAUCUCAAUCACGCAAACAGCAGACUGCUGGCAGUUCGGAUCACAACACACACCUGCCAACUAAAUGAACAGAGCAGAUAUACAUCUAGAAUGAGCCGCCCUGUAAAUAUAAAAAAGGAGAAAUGACUGCUGCAGUGAGCAGAGGGAGAAAUCACUGCAACACAUUUACACCCUUUACGACAGACAUGAACGGCUUUCAAAGCGGUUUUUAAUAUGGAGAAAUUUUCCCCUUGCCCAUUUGAGGAUGUAAAACAUCAUGCAAGCUGAAGUUUUGGAUGGAUGACUAAAGCUGCAUCAUAAAACAAGCAAAAAUGAGAGGGAAAGACGGAGAAAGAAACACAAUGUCCCUCAGCCUGAAAAAGAAAAAUGCUCAAGAGGAACAGAAAAGCUUUAUGGACGGUGCUUUGGUGUGACAGAGACAUAUUGGACAGUCCACUCCAAUCGUACCAACCAGGAACUGAGAAUAGCAAAACCAUAACUCUUUGCUGACAAAUCACCACAUCCUACAGUUGCAUGAACAUCAUAGUGUCAGAGCAGGAAAGCUGUGAACCAGGAGAGGUAAAUGAAUAAAAAGCUGCAAAUGAGACAGACAUGAAGAUGAAAAAGGGAGAGGUGCUCCACUGGAUGGGGUUUCAUGAUUUUUUUUACCUAAAUGCCCUCAGGUCUUAGCUCUGUACCUCAUAUUUGCCAUCUGUCCUCUAUGCUCGGACUCUUUUUGUCUUUGUCCAUCAGUACAGACGAGAGGAGUAAGUACAUUUGACAGGUUUUUUGUUUUGUUUUGUUUUUUUAGUCUUUCCUCUCACUGGAUGGGGGCAAACAUGGCGCCAUGAACUUAGACAGACAGAAGGAAAGUAGUCUGGUUCAGGCUUCUGGGUAAAGCAAACAUGGAGGGAAUGAGGUGUAGAGGUUUUGACAGUGACACAUUCACCAGUCGGGUUUAGGUUCAGCAUUCAUAGUUCUCUCUGUUUCCACCUCUUUGACUCCUACACCUCAUAUGUUUUUCUUCAAUUGAAAAAUGAUAUCUUUCCAGUUUGCACUGACUGAAAAUGUUGUACUGGGUAUCUGCAGCUCUGUCUCUAUUUCCUAAUCACUAAAAGUUUAGUCUAAUGAUGUUCAUCAAGACUCACCAGUAAGUAAAAUACCCCUGAAUGUUUUAUUUUUUCUUUUCUGUAAGGCUGAUUUACACAGAGACAGAGGUGAAAUUAACUCUAAAUAAAGACAUAAGGAACCAUUUAAAUCAAUGCUAACAUCACUGGCACAAAAGAUCCUUCGUGUCUUAGAACAAUGAAAUGUCUGUAUUGGCUGGAGUUACUAAAUAAGACCUUCAUUUUGUGUAAAACGUGAGCAGUUAUAAUUCUCAGACUGACUUUGAUAUAAAAACCCACCUCGUUUAAACAGUAAAAAACAAACUAAAGACACUAAGAGCAGGCACUAAGGCCAAUAUCUGAGGAGUCAUUUCUGUUCUUAGUAUUUUUACCGUUGACUUUAUAAUACAGGAGUGUAGUGUUGGUGACUCCAGUCAUUUGUUUGUGAGGCUGAUUUUUGAAGCCUGUUGGCAACUGUCACCUUUUGCAGCCAGCCUCAAGUGGUCACUCAGAGAACUGAACUUUUAUUCCUUGUUGGCUUCAUUUCUCAAGACCUAAAGUUGCUGCUUGGUUCUGGCCUUUUGCCUAAAGCUAAUUUGAAUUUUAGGCAAAGUCUUGUGUACAGUGCAAAGUUUUAGGAAACCCUAAUGCUGUAGAUGUCUUUGAUGUUUGCAAGAAAACUGAGCUUUACUUAAUUUAUAUACUUCAGUGCAAGGGGGGAUUAACAUUUCACGCUUAGUAGUUUUAAUUUUCCACUCUGCAUCCAACAAAAAGAAAGCUGAUUAUGAUGACCACUUGCUCAAGAAGACAUUCAAUAAUCAUGGACACAGUUCCUCUGUCAAGCCUGUGUAAUCAUUUUGAACCAUCUGUAUGUUGUUAUGUGGACAGAGUUAGUCAAAAAUAAUUCUGGUUUUGAGAACUGAGAAAAAAAACAUGUUUUUGAAUGUGUCUGUAAGUGUUUGGAAUUAACCUGACUUAGCCUGUGAAUGUGCAACCAUGUGCGUACAGCAUACAGUUCCUCAUCCACUGACACACUCAGUAAACUGUGGGUAAGUGUGUUUCAUGCAUGUCUGAGAGCUAAUCCAAUGUGUAUCAUGCGCAGUUGAAGCAGUCAGAUGGCCUGGGCUGCCUCUGAUUGUAUAAUUGUGUGUUGGUGUGUGACUGUAUGUGGGCGUGUGCUGGCAGUCUGAUGCUCAGGCUUUACCUACCUGUAAUUCAUCUAUAUGACAGGGUGAGCAGGUGUUGCUCCUCUGCAGAUGGCUGAGUGGGAUGUGAAGGCUGACUAAUGGUUGCAACAUGCAUGAUGCAUGCAGUCACUUUAAACCACAGGGAGGAGAAGAAAGACAAGAAACGUGCUGUUAGUUUUUUUUUCAACACAACACUUAAUCUUGCUAAUUUCAGUCCUUCUAAGUGUUUUGUCCCUUUUCCUUGACUAACUCAUCAACCCAAGGCUGCUAUCAGGUAACACUCUCCUCCUUUCUGCAAUGGAUUUGCAGACAUUGAUUAAGGUGCUGCUGUUUAAUGAGUCAAAAUUAUGGAGGUCUUCAGUUUGGUCUGCCACUGUUGGCAACCAUUGACACUCCUGUUUUCUGCUUAACAGUUAUACUUGUGAUCAGUGACCCUGCAAGAUCUUCAGUCUUUGCAAAAUCUCUGUCUGAUGAAAACCUUUGUGACUUGGUAGCAGCACCAUGUCUGAAGAUUUCAGAGGGUGUCAGAGAAUAGUCAUUUGUAUUUUCUUCCUAAUCUUUUGGUUUAUGGGCAGCAUGAACCAUUGCUUGAUUAUUAUAUAGAUGUUUGAUGUGUCAGCAAAACCUCUCCCAGAUAGAAUAGUUUGUUCAGAAGUUUCUAAAUUACGUUCCAAAAUGUGAACAUUUGCUUUUAGAUUUUUGAGUGACUUGAGAGCAGGGUGCUUACUAGCUUACAUGCUACUUACUUCAAUCCUGCUGCCCAUGUGAUUUUCUGGUAACACACACACACACACACACACACACACACACACACACACACACACACACACACACACACACACACACACACACACACACACACACACACACACUUAACCUCGUGCUGUUAAAUACUUGACUCUGAUUGGUCAAAACUUCAUAACAAGAAUCAGUUUUGAAUAACAAGAGAAAUACCAGUGAAAAAUAGUUCACACAUACAUUGCACAAGGCAUGUUUAAACUCUUCCUGUUGACACUUUGGUAAAAACCUUAGUGCUUGACAGCACUGGAAAAAACACAAUGGAUCUUUUGACAUUUAUCAUGUGUACACUGAGAAAUAUGGUUUCUCACAGAGCUCUAGGGUGGUGAUUUAUAACUGACCAGUUGACAACAGAGAGAAGAUAAUGAGCAAAACUGUAAAAAUAUGCCAAGGAUGUUAAAUGCACAAGAAGCAGAGUAACAGAGACCACAAACAAAUGGAGGAAAGCAGACUGGAGCAGCCACUGAGUGAUGCUGCAGUUACACAGGUAUGCUCUGUGUCCCAGGUGUGUGUCUACAUUUUUGCAGAAUCUGUCUGAGGGACAAUCAGUGUUUGCUGUGUUACUAGAGCCCAGUGUGUGCAUGCUUACAGUUUAGUUUGUUCCCUUUCCUUCUCAGUCAGCAGCUCAUGACUUUUAAUGUGUGCCAAAUUCUCCUUUCUAAAGUACAUUUGUCUCAUUGCUACCCUUUUUUCUUUACAGGCGCUGCAGGUCCACACCGUAACUUACAUUAAACUGGCCAUCUAUUUCUGCUCUGAAAAAAAUAUCACCAGCAAGUAAGUAUAAAUUAUAUUUAGAUGGGCCGAACUGCUUAAAGAAUGGCCGGGGGUGCCGAUAAAUCUGCAGCACAGAGAGUUUGAAGCUGUUUUCUAGCAGAAAAGGCAGAAAUUGAUUACUCUCCCUUAGCAGAGAGUAGAUAACUUCUGUGCUGGCAACAAUACUGAUAAAUUUUGCAGAGCUAUUUCUCUCUCUCCAUCUCUCCUCUCAACAUCCAAUCAUUUAUGGACGGAGGACUUUACCUUGAUGCCUUCAGGUAAGAACACGGAAAUAAAUAGAAAACAAAGAAGUUGAGAAGGGUAACAAUUCGAUAUUCAAGGGUUUUGUGGGCCAAGUGCCAAGUUGUGCAUAGAUAUCUGAUUUCUUAUUCAAAAGCUACAAAUACUUUUCUUGAAGAAGUUCUCAGAAACAAUAAUGCUCUCUAACAAUCACCUAUUCAUAUGAAUGUGUUGAUUUCUCCACAAGAAUUUAACUCUAACACAUAACUAAAGGACCUUUAAGGAAAUAGCUGUUAACCUGAUGGUGUACCACAUUUUAUUAUCUAAACAUUUAGAUUCCAACAGUUACAGAGAAAAAUGUUUUAAAACAAUUUGUAAGUUCCCUGAACAAGAUGCCAUAUGGUCAUUUUUGGUCCGUGUCUGCAUCAAAGGAUGUGAUCACAGUGCUCAGGUUGGGACUGUCUUUGUUUUAAAUAUACAAGGAAUACAUCUGACAGUUUGAAGACAGCUAGUCACAAAAAUACACUGAACAUGAUCAGUGCAAGAUUACUAAAAACAUACAAUUACCUCAUUCUACUUCACAGAUGACACCAAUAAAAACAUAAAUAGACUGUUUCUUACAGAGGAAAAAAAAGAAAAAAAGUCUGGUAUGUCAAACAGUGGUUAUUAUAUGCUGUCUAAUUUUUUUUAUUAGCUUAAAAUAUGUCAGUGUAAUAUAUUUUUUCUUUCUUUUGUAUUUUCUGUUCCAUUUUUGGUCUAGAGUUCCCCUGUGUUUCUGUCUCGUGUGUUUUCAGAGUUCAAUACUUGUGGUUGGUUUUGUGUGUGUGUUGUGUGUGUGUGUGUGUGUGUGUGUGUGUGUGUGUGUGUGUGUGUGCGCGCGCGCGCACAUGUGUAUUUUCUGGUUUAGUUUUUAAGUUCCUUCUUCUUGUAUGUCUCAUUUAGGCCUUAUACACUUGUAGACGGGUAUUUGUUUUUUGUUUUCUGGCCUUGAUUCACCCUAAAGUUAAUUUAAACCAGUUCCUUCAUUGUUGAUAUAAUAUUGAAAUAAAUAUCCCUGUAAAUUAACUUCUAACCCAUUUCUGGUUGUGGCUGCUUGGGAUUUAGGGAAAAAGGGUCUUACCCAUGUUGGGACUUGGGGAAAAGAGGCCUUACGCAUAUUGUGCCCUGGCCUUCUCUAGACGAGAAUGAUAAAUUAGUUUAUAUAUUUGGUGUAUCAGUGAACACAGGGCAGGGCUGACAAUCCUGAUAUUAAAAACAAGAGAUUAUUCAACUUCUUGUAUGCUUUUCAGUUCUAAAAGGCUUUUCAUAGAAGGAGUUCACCUUAUCUCUCUCUCUCUCUCUCUCUCUCUCUCUCUCUCUCUCUCUCUCUCUCUCUCCAUAUACAUAUAUAUAUAUGUAUAUAUAUAUAUAUAUAGAGAGAGAGAGAUAAGGUGAACUCCUUAUAUGAAAAGCCUUCUACAGAAGUUGACAUAAUCAGUAAAACAGUCAACCUGUUCAUCAAUGUUCAUAUUAUCCACAUCUGUUUCCAGCAGCACAUUCCAGUCUGUUGAUUUAAAACAGUCCCUUAGAGCUUCACUGGCUUGAGGUGUCUAUCUUCUGAUUUUGACUUUGGUCACAGGCUGCCUCAGCACACAAGGUCUGUAACAGGUCUGCAGAUAGACCAAGUUAUGAUCUGACUUGCCCAGAGGUGAUAAGACAGUGGCUCUGUAGGCUUCUUUGACGUUGGCAUACAGCAGAUCCAGGGUCAUGUUUUCUCUGGAUUCACACAGUUGGUGAACUGUACUACCAGUCAGGUGAGAGGAGAGGGAGUCUCCCGAUAUUAUUAUUAGUACCUCAGGGUGUUGAGUCUGUAGCCUGGCAACACAAUUUUGCAAAACAUUGCAACAUUCUUCAGUUGAUCUGGGUGGAAUGUAAAGAACUACUGUUAUGAUAUGACUAAAUUCUUUUGGAACAUAAUAUGGCCGAAGAGCAACUGCCAACAGUUCAAUAUCUGGACAACACAACUUCUCCUUGACAGUUAUGUGUGAAGGGUUACACCAUCUCUGGUUGACAAAUAAAGCCAGACCUCCUCCUUUCUUCUUGCCACUAGCUUGAGCAUCUCUGUCUGACCUUAUGAGAGUGAAACCAGGUAGAUCCACACUGGAGUCCGAGUUGUUUUGAUUCAACCAGGUUUCAGUAAAACACAGGAGACUGCACUCACGGUAUGCUUUCUCAGUUUUCAGCAAUAUCUCCAGCUCAUCACUUUAGUUGGGCAGAGAGUUGACGUUUCCCAUGAUGAUUGAUGGAAGAAAGGGUUUAUAUCGCCACCUCCUAGCAUUCAGCUUUGCCUUCACCUUUGCACCAGCACACCAUCCACAAUAACACCUCCUGAUGUCCUCUGGAAUUGUAUGUCGUUGCCCAGAUUUGCUUUUCCUCAAUGAAAGGAGCUCUUCUCUUGAGUGAACUCUGCGCCCAGCAGAAGUAUCCAUCGGCAGCCAACAAAAUGACAACAAAAAUAUGAAAAAAAAUCUAGCAAAAAUUUCAGAAAUUACAGAUAAUGCAGAGAGACCAGACUUGCAGCAACCUCUUGGUUUAAGCGCAUCAUUAUAUAUAUAUAUGUGUGUGUGUGUGUGUGUGUGUGUGUGUGUGUGUGUGUGUGUGUGUGUGUGUGUGUGUGUGUGUGUGUGUGUGUGUGUGUGUGUGUGUGUUUGUGUGUGUAUAUUACCAAGAACAGGACGGACAUCCUGUUCUUGGUGAUGUCACCAAUGUGCCGUAUUUUCUCUUGAUGAUGAUGGUCUUCACUUCAAUGGUAUCUGACUGAUAUCUUUGAAUAAUGAGAUCCCUCUGAUGCUUUGGAAGUUCUCUGCAGACCAUGGCUUGUGCUGGAAGAUGUGGCUACUAAAAUGUCAGGAAAAACUACUAGAACAGCUGAACUUUAUUUGGAGUUGAUCAGAGGCUCUUUAAUUGGUGACAGGUGUGUGCUGACUCCAAUUAACCCUGGGUUUUUAUGUUAUUGGCUAAAUCUGAACACAGCCACAUCCCCACUUAUUAAAGGGUGUGCACACUUAUGCAACCACAUGAUCUCAGUUCUUUAUUUUUAUCUCACCUCCCUGAAAGAUUUCUGUUUGCUUUUCAAUUGCAUUGUACAGAUUAUAGGUCACAUUAAAGGUGGAAAAAGUUGUGAAAUUAUUUAUCUUGAUCCUGUAUCCUGUAUGUGUUCACCAGAUAUAAUACACUUGAAUUUUUCAAAAACCAAACACAAGGAGACGUGAACAGUUAGAAGUUAGAAGAAAAUUAUCAAAGCUUGUUAUACCCGACAGCGUAUAAGAAAAUUGACACAUCGCAAAUUUAUUGUGAUGGCUGCUUGUGCAUCUGAUGUACGCAGACCUUCUGGGGUCACACUAUCAAGCCCAUGAAUUUUCUGCUUUGAAUUGCCAAAUAUUCACAUUUUUUAAUGCAACUUAAUGUCUUGUGCUUUUUGACUGAAAUCUUAUGAUUGUGUUGAGAAACAUUUUUAAUUCAGAUUUAAAAAUGAAUGGAAAAAGGUUUAUAUAUAUAUAUAUUUUUUUCAAUUUAUGGAAACAGAAGCUUUGUACUUUCCUUUCAUGCAUUGAUACUUGACAUAUAAUCAGGAAAAAAAAAAUUGGAGCCCAAAAGCGCACUUAAAUUUUUAGGACAUUCUUUACAGAGUAAUUGCAUUUCAGGUUGCCUGGUUUGAGAACAAGGCAUGUAACAUCUUAUAAGUUAUCAUGUUUCACCCUUUCCCCUGACUUAAAGGUAGGGUAGGUAGUGAUGUUCAGAGACACUUUUUGUCAUAGUGGAUGAAAUAGUUCUUCCACUCUGAGAGCAGUCAAUUCAUUAUGUAUUCAGAAAGAGAAAGGAAGAGAAUCCGAGAUCUGUGGCAGCCGCAAUACUGUAAAAACUUUGACCAAUCAUUGCAUUCGAUCCGAAUGUAAAGAACCAAUCAGAUGCCUUCAAGUCUUGCCCCGCGCCCGCGCCCGCCCAGCUCCCCUCAGCUUGGAAAGAUUACAGAUAAAUAACUACUGCAGAUAUUUUAGACAGAGUACUGUCUUCAUACCACACUCUCCUUCUCCUCAUUUUAGGUACCGCAAGCUGUAUAACAGAAAGUCCAGAGCAACGAGUUUGUUCACCAGAAAGGCCCCACAAGAUGUACAUCUGACCAAGAGGACUUAUUUAUGUUAUAUUUUAUCUUAUGUGUCAUCUUGUAUGCACCAUUACUACUGCUGACUCUGUUGUGACAAAAGUUGUUCAAGUCUUUGCUGAUGUUAUUGUCAAUGAUAAUUAUAAUUUACUAGUCUGCUAGUAAAUUGCCUAGGGAGUCGGAACGAGUGUCUGUUUGUGGUUGGGGCCUGCUGGAGCAGCAAGGGAGGGGAGAGGAGGAGCUGAGGGGAGAACUGGUGGGGAGGGGUAGUGUUUACAUUCAAAAUAACUCCCCAAUACUGUCACUUCUGAGACCCUGUCUACCCUAACUUUAAGGUGAAAACAAAGAGGGUUAGCAUUUCAUCAUUACUGACUACAGGUUAUAAGUUUGAGAAAAUGCAUCUCUGGCAAAAACAACAUUUAUGGGAAAGAUAAUAGGCUCAAACUCUAUGUGUCUCUAUGAAUGAACUGUAAAACAACCUUUCAGAAAACUACAGAGUAUAAAAACAGCCUUCUGGCGCAUCUCAGUCACAGACGCGUACCUCAAGGCCACCUGCCUGCAGAUCAAACCAGCUGCACAGCAGUAAAGGUGGGAUAAUCACAUAUCUCCUCUCAUACAUUGACCUGGAAGAUGAUUCUCGUGUUACUUGCCCAUAUAUUAUCCUUCUCUUUGUCUUUCCUUUUCCACAUGAAUUGGCUAAUCAUCUUGGUGCUCAGCUUUAAAUUGACCAUCAUCAUCAUGUGAAAUGAGUCAUGAUGGUCCUCCUAACAGUCCACUGCAUAACCAGCCAUCACACUCUGUUGUGUCGGAUUGUAUUGAACAACAAUUAUGGGCUGAAAUUGCUUCUUGAUUGCUAUGAAAUUAGUAUGACCUGCACAGGCAAAUAUGUAAACAAACAACAGAUGAAUUAGAAGGUGAUAAAUGCGUCACUUAUCUGUCAGUUUUAAGCAUUUGGUUGUGUUUGAUUUUGUUUUGAAAACCCAGUCAUUCCUUAAUCCCUCUGUUGCCACAAAACCUGGUACCAUGGGAAGCAUAUGCCACAAUAAACUUAUUCAGACCCCACAGAAGCACCAUCUGCUGAGCCUGUUAGGGUAUUGUUUUUUUUUUUUUUUCUUAUUUUCCCUGGGACUAUUAAUGCUCGUCUCAAUGUCACCUCACAUCUCUGUUCACCUGGCCUUACAGUUUUCUCUUUCCACAGUCGCUGUAUUUACCUAUGUGGACUCGUUAAAUGAGGCCACACAUUACUCUUAUUACACUUUUUUUGGUACCACAUAUUCCGCAGAACUGUCCCCUUACAGAAUAAAAUACAUGCAAAGGAAACUGGGCUUGUAAAUGGGCAGUUUGUCUAUUGCUUUCUUACAUUUAGGUUAAAAGUGGGUAAAAACGCAGCAAAAAUUUAAAGAGGAGACCUGCAGAACUGGAGAAGCCUUUUGGAAGAGAGGUAAGACAUCCUCAAAAAACUCCAGACGACCAUGACCUGAAUGAAUGAGAACCUACACAGCCGUUUGAAGAGGGGGUAGGAUGCACUUCUUUUCGACUCUAUACUUCCUCUCUGACUCCUCUUCACUAAAUAAUAAUAAAAAUAAUAAUUUGUAUUUAUAACGUGCUUUUACAAGUGCUCAGAAACGCUUUAUAAGGAACACAAUUUAAAUACAGAAAAAUUUGGAGUAAUACACCAACAAUGUAAAAGGUUAAAAAGGACAUAACAUGAAAAGAGAAUAAAAGAACAGUUUACAGGUUAAAAGCCCAUUUUAAAAGGUGUGUUUUAAGGAGUGAUUUAAAAGUAUGGGGGUCUGUACAGUCUUGGAUGGGUUUGGGGAGUGAGUUCAAGAGGUUGGGGGCAGCAACGGAGAGGGCUCUGUCCCCUCAAGUUUGGUGCUUGGUCCGAGGGGGUAGGGCAAGAAGAGUUCCCUCUGAGGAUCAGAGGGCACGGGAGGGGUGUAGUGGUGGAGGUCUGAGGUAGGUCAGGGCCAGGUUGUUGAGUGAGUUGUGGGUGAGCAGGAGGAUUUUGAAUUGUAAGUGGUGUGAGAUGGGGAGCCAGGGCAGGGGUGAUGUGUUCUCGGGAGUUGGUGAGGGUGAGCAGGCGGGCAACAGAGUUCUGAAUAUAUUGGAGUUUAUUGAGGACUGUUACAAUAAUCUAGUCUGGAUGUUAUGAAGGCAUGGAUCAAGGUAUAGACAAUAUCUUUAAUAUCUUUACAUGACUUUCAGAUUAACUUGGACUUGGACUGUAAAAUGAUACAGAAUUGACAGGACUGAAUGGGCUAUGCUAGGACAUAGUAUUAUACAGUAUGAUGUGAUCUUGUAUAUAAUACAAAGACAUAAGCCUCAUUGUCCUCUUUAAAAAAGAGUGGUGCAACCAUUUUCUACCGCUUAUUCCUGUUCCUGGGGACUUUUCCAGCAUCUUCGGACAAAAGCAGGGGACACCCUGGACAAGUCGCCAGUUCAUCACAGGGCUGACAUUAAGAGAUGAACAACCAUCCACGCUCACAUUCAAACCUACAGGCAAUUUGACAGUGGCCAAUCAACCUAACCCCACUUCUGCCUGUUUUUGGGAUGUGAGAGGAAACCGGAAUAAACCCACGCAGACACAGGGAGAACAUGCAAACUCCACAAAGAAACGCCCUGACCCAGAUUCGAACCCCUGACCUUCUUGCUGUGAGGCGAUUGUGCUAACCACUACAACACUGUGCCGCCCUAAAAGAGUAGUCUUGGAUUGAAAUGCUGCUAAGAUUUACUUUCAUUCACUCAAAUAAUUCAGAAGGCAGGAAGUAAUGAGAUAAUAAUGGCAGAAAGCAGAGGUGACCAUGUACUAUUUAAGUUUAAACCAGGUCAAAGCAAAGCUCUUCUUGACAUAAACCAUGUGUUUUAUGUGUAAGAUCUUGCAGGUUAAUCAAUCUAAAUUGCACCGCGCCAUUUCAUGACAAAUGUUAUCCCGAGACGUUUAAAAAAAAACAAUACCUGUUACCUGCCGUCAGCAGAGGCAGUUGUUUAUUGCUCCCAAGUGUUCCUGUAGGUUGUAUUAGCUGGUGGGAAUAAAUGACCUCUGUGGUUGUUUGGCUUGGAGGACUUGUUGGAUAAAUGACAAGUAAUCCCAAAGCCCCCACAGCUGAUGAAGAGUCAUGGGACCUGCUGUUCUCACAACAUCUGCUCCAGCUGUUGUGGAAAGUGCUCCACUCAUUAUAAAUCCAUGAUAAAGCAGCAAUGGCAGAUACAUGCUGUUUAGAAAUGUCACACAAACCCUCCUCUGAGGUCAAGUUGAACAGUAGUGGUGUGUUGUUGCCAGCUGAUGAUACCUUCCUCAUGCUGUGACACCCACAUUUCAUGUUAGGCUGGAGAAAGACUGAACCAUUGUGAUCCUCCUAAAGGUAAAAGUGCGCUCCAUGGCCUGGCUUUUUCUUCCACUAAUGUUUGCAUGUAAAAUGAACUUGACUCAUGCAAGUGAAUAUUAUAAUAACGGCAUGAAAGUGUCUUUUUUUUAUUGUUUUGUUAACAUUUUCAAAAUCCAAAUCAAUGACUCACUUAAUCACUAAAAUAAAUAAAUGUGCAGUCUUUACAGAAGGUUCACAGGGCCUGUCUGCUCCCUGUGGCCUCUGCUGUUACUCUGAAGCCGAUGCUUCUGUAAUCCUGUGCCAUCCACCACCCCUGCCUGUCCUAGGUGGCCAUCAAGGCUCCCUUGACAGCACGUAGUGUCCGGCUACCAUUUUUUACUUUUUACUGAAAUUUGUGUUAUUAAAACCUCUUCAUUUGCUUAUAAAAUCAGAUAUUCCAAAUUACAGCUGCAUAAAUACAAAAAGAAAAAAAAAAGGAUAAGAAACUUAGGGCCUGAUCUACUAAGAUCCCAAAUAUCGAGCGCUAAGUUGCGUGUGCAUGUUGCGGGUGAUCUACUAUCAUUGCGUGCGCGAUUGAUAACAGGUGCAAAAGUGGUGCAGACUGCCCUCUUUUGACGAGGAUUUUGUGUGCGCUAUCUGCUGUCACCAUGGAAAGUUUGUGAGAGCAGAGUGGUUGUAGAUGAAAAAUGAAGUUUGAAGCCAUGGAGUUUCACCUAUCGUUUGGGGGAACUGCAGAAAAAGUUUAUUUGUAAAACACCAUUUAUACACAAGGCAAUUCAAAGUGCUUUACAGAUGUAAGAAAAUGUAUUUGAAAUGAAAAAAAAAAGAUUCAAAUAAUUUAAAAUCAAUAACACAAAGAGAUAAAUUUUGUGACUGCUCCAUGUUUGACCUAAUCAUUUAUCAAAACCGUCACUAGAAAAACACUUUUGCCUCUUUCUCCAUGCAAUGACUGCAGCCAUUUGUGCGAAACACUGUACUAGUUAGCACGUGCCUUUCAAACGUGCUACAUGAAGAUGCAAAAUAGCGACCACAACUGGUUUCCUGGUUUGGUAAAUCUCGUUGUGGAUGCUAAAUGAUUCCAUUUGCAUCUGCUCCUCCCAGAAUUUUGUGCGGUCUGAUGGUCUACAUACAUUCUGCAUAUUCAUGAAGGCAAAUAUGCUAAAUGGAUUGCGCAUGCUGCGUUCCUCAUUUGACAGACGCACGCAAACCUUUAGUAGCUCAUGCCCUUUGAGUUAAAAAAGAAAUAUACUCAAGUGUUAUUUUCUAUAUACAUGUGUAAAGCAUAUACAUAUAAAUAUAGUUUAUUGCACACUGAAGUUUCUGUUGUGGAGUCUGACAGCUGCAGGAAGGAAUAACCUGCGAUAACUCUCCAUCACACACUUUGACUGGAGCAUCCUGUCCUUUAAGGAGCUCCUCAGCGCAAUGAGUGUGUGUUAUAAUCUCUCUCUCUCUCGCUCUCUCUCUCAUUUUUUGCUUCUUGUGAUAUCCCUGUAAAUACACACAAAAGAUUUCAGUCUGUCCAAUCCAUAAGUAAGAUUGUUCAGUUCUACUCUUUUCUAAAUCAACACCAAAAUGGCUAUGGCGAGGUCACCAUUAAUUCAGUGAUGGUACAAUAGUCUUCUAAGUCAGCUGAUGAGACCUACAUAGCCACACUGACAUGUUAAAACAAACACACUGGCUCUCGCGCACUUAGGCACAGCAGAAGCUUGCGGCGCUGAAGCAGAUGAGCUUACAGUAAGUCAUAGUGACAGCUGCUUCUUUCUGUGAGUCACAAUAAAUAUACUAAUAUCUGCACUCUCAUUCUUACUGUCUCCUUCUCCUACCUCCAGUCGCCUCUCACUGUUUCUGAGAGAAAGCAGACUGAAAUUUACCGUCUCAUUUCUGGUCUGCCUGUUUCUCAUUCUCUGCUUUGGCUUGCUCGCCUUCUGUCCUUUUCUUUAUUUCUUUUAUAAAUCAGACUAACGAAAAAAAAAACCCAACAACUCUUUAGUACUGGCAUUGGCAGUAGAUUUAUGGUGAUGUACAUACAUGCAUGCUGCUAUUCACUGCUCAGCAGAAACCCUCAGGGCUGAAUCUAGUAGUAACCUCAUCAGUGAAGAAAAAGCUAUGGUUCCUUGUUUACAGCCACUACCAAAAGCAGUUUUGGUGACAGAUGGGAGCCCCUAGCUGUGCGCUCAGUGUCAACUUAGUUAAUUCCAGUCAGUGAACUUAAACUCGGCCAUGUUUGUGUUGUUGGUGCAUUUUAGAGGAUGUGUCAUCUAAGAACUAUGGCAAUGUUGUAUGUUUGUUAAAAAAAUAACUACAGACUGUUUUUGUGGAGGUCUUUUACAGCUGUUUGUCCCAGAAUAUGCCCUGCUCUGCAUGUGUUUUAAUAAGAAAAACACACAUUAACAUUAUGUUGUGUCUCUAUCCUGUUACCUGUAUCCUGACUCAAAAAACACCCGUUCAUCAAGAAUAACCUGCAGCUCAUUACAUACAGGCUGUUUAGAAACCGAUGAGAGAUUGUGAUCUGUUUCCAGGUAGCGCUCUGUUCAUAAACCUCAGUGAGUGUGUGUUUCCUUUGAAACACUUCUGUGGAGGGUGUUCAGGUAUCUCCUCACUUAUCGUCUUAGAGAUUUCCCUGCUCUCUCUUUUUUGUGUUCUCUCUCUUCCACGCAGCAGUCAGAGCUUUGCAAAACUCUUUCACAUGGUGACAGGGGCGCCGCCAGGAAUUUUGGGCCCCAUGACAAAAAAUCAAUUGGUCCUCAUUUGUCAUCACCUCUGGAGGACCUAACUGUCCCAUCAAACAUUUUACAUAACUGAAAUUAAAGGCUUUUAACUUGCUUCUUGUAGUUUAUUACUACUACUAGCACAAUAUUUACUGCUUGUGAUUUGUACAUCCAAGUCUACAGGAUGCAGUUUACUAUUUGACACAAUUGCAUAGUCAACUUCCGGCCAUGUUCAUAAUUAAAAUAAUAAGCCUGUAUCUAAAGAUGUCAUUUAACAGUCAUAAUCUAAAUGAAUGUAUCAAUAUUAAUAUCACUUGCAUGCAGGUUGAGGUAAGCUACUCACUUUUUCCAACUGUCCAGCAACCAGUACAGACAGUAGGCUGUUUCUAAUCUUUUAUUAUUUCAUAAUGAUCAUUAAGUGAGAAAUAAUUUGUGUUUAAAUUUAUGUAAUGAAUAAAUAUUUCUCUUUUUUUGAACUGUAAAAAAAAGCAAGAGAGACAGAGAGAUCCACAGACUCCCUGCAAUGAUGCUAACUGUCAUGUCAUAGAACACAGUGUUGCUCACCUUCUUCACUGGGAUAGGAGUGGGUGAGGGUAUGGGGAGACUUGGGUGCUGCUGAAUCAUCUGUUGUUUAGUCUGGUAAUAGGGACAAGGACAAUGAUUUGAUAUGAAUAUCUUGCUAAAUGUUUUCCUGCAAUGAUUACACGUUGAUGAAAUAGGCUAACGCUAGUCCGUAGCUUGCUAGCUUACUUCGCAAUAGACAGAAAUAGGCAACCUAUCUUUCUUAGUAAAGAGGUGUUAAGCUCUUUUGUCUCUCUCUCUUGCUUUCCUGUCUUUUCUUUUCUGAAAAAAAUAACUGGUUUUACCUUCUUGGGCAACAUUGUGGUCACUCAUUAUAGUAACUUAAAUCUCCUGUCCCCACUGCAAUAAAACACGUUUCUGAUGCGCUAAGGCAGCUACAGGACCAAACCAUUUCAUACAAUGGGGUGGUCGGUCAACAGGGAUGUUUAUUUUGCAGUCAAUUGGAAUUUUUAACAUUAACUGCCAAAAACAAGUAAAAACAAAGAGGUCAAUAAUUCUAAGAAUUUUAUAUUUAACAUAUAUAUAUAUGUGUGUGUGUGUGUGUGUGUGUGUGUGUGUGUGUGUAUGUGUGUACAGUUCCUAAUUAUACGGCACCGCUGCAUGGUGGAUCUGCAAAUACUUCUGUUUCAACUGAGGACCAUGUAACUUUAAUGGAAGAGCUUUGGGAUCUGGCCUUUUCUCUCCCCGCAGUAUAGUCCAGCUGCACAGGUACUGAUCCCACACAGGGCACCAAGGUCAAUAUUUCAAUAAAACAUUUUCCUGCUCUGCUCACAAGGGAGUUUAAGCCCCAAGAACUUGCAGUUUAACACUAAUUGGAACAGGUGCAUGAGCAGCCUUGACACUGACAGAUACCUCUUCCAACAGAACCAACAUUAUGGACAAAACCAACACAACAUUACUAAUCUGCACUCACAACCUUCAAACAAGGCUGACGUCUGAAAUCUGAAGACUAUCUCUCUACUACUGAUAAAAUCAGUUGUUCCACUUUCACAAGGGUGCACCCCACUUGCCCAACCAAUUUACACCCCACUACAUGCCUAUAUGUGGUUAAGAAACAUACAACAAGCAGGCCUGUAUGCGAAUCUGUUUCAGAUCCCACAUAUUACUAAAACACUAAAUUAACAGUCUUAGAAUCAACUGGCCGAAAACCUGCAAUGCCUCUUUCGUGAAUGUGUUUCACACGGAGAAAAAGAAACAUGAAGACUGUUUGAUUAGUAUUCAGAUGCUAAUGUCACACACAUGUUCAUUUAGUACUGGCAGGCUCAUGUUUAUUCAUGCAUAAUCCUCCAUGUGUUGUAGCAUUUACAGGAUCAUUUAGCUGAGCAUGAUUGUUCAAAGCUGGAGGAGAAUGAAAAGACCUUCAGGUCCCUGCAAAGAGAACAUGCUUGAUGGUCCCGGAUAUGGCUCUGUUAUCCAUAAUGUGUAACAUGUUGUCAAUAGUAUAAAUAAUUACCUACAUUUAAACUCUUUGUUACUGUCAAUACUAAAGAACAAAUAUUGCAAUUAGAUGCUGCUGUUGCAUGCAGAUUGUUGAAGACUGUUUGGCUGAUCAGACAUUAAGUGAUUGUACUACAAUGGAAUCUCAGCUGAGAAUUUUAGUCAUGAUCUUUUAUAUUUCUGUGACUUCUUGUGAGCUGCAGAUGGUUGCUAGGCUACAGAACCCCGUGUAAAGCAUGUUUGUCUUUUUGUUUGACUGUCAUAACCCAUUGUAACACUGCAUCGGCUUCCUGUCACAAUAAAAAAUAAACCCAUAUUUUUCUGUCACACUGUGAAAAUGAGCGUGUUCUAUCAGAGCCUGUAGGUGGAUGGCCCUGCUCCAGCAACACAAAGGUAUGCUGUGGUUCAGAAAUGAGUUAGUGUGGGUCUCUCAAUGCAGAAAAAGCUUGUUUUGCUGUUUGUUUUAUUUUUGAUGCAGACAGGCAAUGACAAAUUUAUACUUUCACAACAGCAUGCACGGAAACCAUUCUAAAAACCCACAAGACUCAAGGUCUUCUGUUCACACUGAGUAUUAAGGCCACAUUGAAAAAAAAAAUAAUCACAGACUGAGAGAAAAGUCAUAAUUUACAUGAAUAAAGUCACAAUAUUAAGAGAAUAAUGUCAGCAGCCAUUCAUAGCAAUGCCAUAGGGUUUUCCAUAUCAAUCCAUAUGCAAUAAGGUGUUGGGGCUUUUGCAGGUGUACUACUGAUGCUGUGUUCAUCGGAGCUCCUUUUGGAUCCAAAAUCUUGAUGAUCAGUUGGAUUCUUUAUUAAAAUCUGGUUCUUUUCCCGGAAAAGAUCCAUUUCUUGCAUAUUCUUUUAAAAAUCCUUAUACUUAUGACAACACACAGCUGAUUAAGUAUCCCCUUGUUUGUACUAAAGUACAAUUCAUCUAAAUGCUCCACUGCUCGAAUUCUAACAACUCUCCUCUAAAACAACAGGUCAAAAAUUCAAUCUCGUAAGUUUGACUUUACUCUUGUAAAUUAAUGACUUUAUUCUUUUAAUAUGAUGACUUCAUUCCUGUAAAUUAAUGACUCUAUUUUCAAGGUCUGUGAAAAAAACAAAAAAAUCAAACUCAAUAUGGUCCUAAUCCCCGUCGCUUUUAUGCAAUCAUUUUUCAAACUGUCUUUCUUGAAACAGACAAGUGUCCUGGCGAUGUCUGAGAACAACUCUGUAUCCAUCAUCACGAGCUUGAAAACACAUCUGUUAUCUGGCUCAAGUUGUCAGUCUAGACAAAUUUCUUCUCAGUGUGUCUUUGUUUAUUAACGGUGCCUGCUAUUCCCAGUACUGCAGCAUCACAUAAACACUUGUGUCAUCCUGGCACGCACAUAGAAGUUUAAACAGGCAAAAUAGUUACUGAAUUCAUGCAUCUGUUGUCCUUCGCAUCAAAACACAUUUUCGCUCAAGAAAUCACACAUAAAAUGAAAGAUGUGCUGCAAGCAGAGCCAGCAAUGCCUUAUAUCAGACUGCUAAAAGUCCAGACAGUGUCCUUUUUCUCUUCCAGAAAAGGCUCAUUAGAUUCAGGUCCAGAAAAGACGCAUCAGUGGCAGUGAAAUUCCCACAUUACAAACUCAUGUAUGCUCUCCAACAUUUUUCACAUUCUGUCAUCCACAUAUACUACUGCAGUAUAAUAUCCCUGUGGGUGCUUGGCAUAAAUAUAGCAAAUGUUAUGCUAUAGAUACAUUUAAGACAACAAUAGGAGCAGACAGUGUGUCACCAUCUUGCCCAAGAGUCAGUUUUGAUAAGUUCAACACAUUUUCAAGCACAUUUGAUAGUUCACUAGAGCUGUAGAUCCUUUAAGUCUUCAAAUGCCACAGCGUCGUUCCGGAUUACAUGACGGUAUGGGAGGGUGGGGAGUGGGGGGGGUAACAAACUGAAGGUUCAAGGUCCUCCUAUCUGGAAAAGAUUUAUAUUGACCAACCUGAAAGACUAGACAGGUCUGACUGCUGAACUCUUGUAGUUUGCCUGCCCUGCUUGCAUGUUGCUGGAUGAUGCAGUCAACAUUAGACAACACAACAACUUUCAACACAUUAUCUUCUUCCCAGAAAAAAAGGUGAGGAUUUAAUGUUCAACUCUUUCACUCCAGACAUAUUUUCAUAUCUCAUCUUAUUGUACCAUUUUGUCUUGUAAAACUGUAUCAUAUCAUAAUAUAUGUGUUAUAAAAUAGAUCAUAGGAUCAUCAGAUCAUAGGAUGUUAUAUCAGAUGGCAUUACAUAAUACUGUAUUUAUUCCUAUCCUACCGGACAACAUUGCACCAAAAAAAUUAAGAAAAGAAUCACCAGUCGGCAAAACAAUCUCAAGCAGAAUCAUUUGUAAUGACAAAACAAACAAAACAGUGAAAAAGGAAGGUGCAAUCAUGUGCGUGUAACACAGUUCAGUUUGUGUCAAACAGUUAAAGUGUACUCUUUGAGGGAAAAACAGAAAAAGAAAGUCUGUCUUCUUUUUUACAGUCCCAUUUCCACAGCUCAGACUGAUUUUUAAAUGCAAAUAAAAAUACACAACAUUAUCACAGGUAUUCUUGCAUCCCCUAUAAACACACACUGGAGUACAAAAAUGGAAUGACGCACAAGCGUCUCUUGCACUGAAGAAUCAAAAACACACUUUAAAACAUAUUGUACUCACUGUACCAGUCAGUCAGUCAGCAAUUAGGACAUGCCGUCCAGCUCCAGGUGGCAGCUUAAACCCCAUAAAAUUGCAAAUAAUUGCCCUCAGAGCCCCGCUAUGCAGGCCACACUCCGAGAAGUACAAAGGAUGAUUGUGGGACAAGUGUGUGAAUUAUUGAAACCUGCCACUUCUGCUGCAAUGUUAAUGUUAGGCUGCAAGCUAGCAUGAAGAGGAGUGUGCAGAGCAGCGCUGUCUCCGCCCACAACUCAGAGGCGAACUGCUCAUGAGCUAUUGACGCUCUACCUAAGAAAAGUCCUUGAAAAUGAUACAAGUCGUAUGAUUUUGGCAAAAAACUUCAUAUUCACAAUUGAAUGACCUCUGAGAACUAUAGACUUUAUAAACUAUGGACAACUUGGUUCCACCUUCCGUCAUUAAAUGCAUUUGAAGCCGAAUUGCUCUCUGUAUUUCAGGGAUUUUCUCCACUUCCUGGAACCACCACUUGCGUAGUAGUAUUGUAUGCAUCUUGCGGGAAGGUCGCUGUGAUGACGCUCUGCCCAAACAGCAUAUCGCCCGGAUGAUCUACGCAAUCUUCAUAUGCCCAUAGGCUGUAUCAAGUGUCAAUCAUUGUACAUGAACCCCCUAAAAACUUUAAAAAACGGAGCUGUACAGAAAAAAGUGGACUUGAACACAAACCAGUCUUAAUAUAACUACGUCAACAUCACAUUCAUAUUCUGUGUAGUAAAAUUUCCUGGAGGAGGCGUGGCUUAUGACCUAUUCUGCAGCUCGUCACUAGAGGGUGCUGUUCUCGUGGAGGCUUCACCCAGUGAGGAGGCAGAUAACAUCCAUUAUAUAUACAGUCUAUGCUAAGAACACUUAAAAACAAUUAAAAAAAAAAUACAAAUACAAUCGUGGUGGGACUUUAACAUUCUGCCAACCAACACAGUAACGAGGUAGGAUGACUCAUAAAACGCCACAACACAGAUUGUGAUAGCACGAGUGGCUGUGGUAAGCUAGCAAGUGUGACUGUGCUGAUCCUAUCAGAUGCUCUCUCUCUUCCUAAGCUGAAAACAAUUCCGGCUAAGUGAUUCAGACGAGCCGGGCGAAGUGUUAUGCUGCAACUGGUUGGCUCAGAGUUGGUGGCUGUGGAGCAUGGGGCAGGUCUGGUCUUGUCAUGAAAAAGAGCUAACAGGUAAGGGGGAACAGGUAGCACUGGGGAGCAUCCAUGACUGUGUAAACAUGGAUGUCAUCUUUGCCCUGACUUUUUGAGAAAUAAAAAGAUAAAUGCACAUAAAGCAGAGAAGAGCUGCAUGUCUCCUACAUUUACCAGAAUCUUAUUUUUCCCUCUGUAACACCUUGGGCUCUAUUUUCGUGUCCACAGGGGACGUGGCAGAGGGUGGCCUGUCUAGUCUUUCAGGUGGGUCUAGUGGUAUUUUGGUAGACCAGCGCGUAUCGGUAUACGUCACCGAUGCCUCACAGGCAGGUUUCCACAGUGUCAGGCACAUUUCAGUGCAAUAAAUAAUCAUCAACAACUAAUAAUCUGAGUCAGCACAUACAUUUAGAUCUAUAUAGAUAUAUUCUGAUCUAUAUUUGAUCUGAUGAGUGCGUUUGGCACGCGUUUGGACACACAACCUGACCAAAUCAACACAGCUGGAGCCGCAUUAAAUAAAAUAAAAUAUCUAGUAAAUAAACACACAUGAUGAACUUAACAGGAUAUGUAAUUUGUCUCCCUCCCUUUCUUUCUUCCUCUUCCUCUUAUUCCUCAGCUAGACCUGAACAUGUCUCUGUGUCCUCUCUCCAUCCUGCUGCAGCUGCUGCUGCUGUGGCUGAACAGAUGAUUUAUUGAGAGAGUGUGGAGGACGCCCUCUGCAGCGCUUACAGCGACACUUGUUGAGAGGCUGCCUUCUGUAGCCAUCGCCUGGCAUUGCUGUCUUCAGACAUCUCUUUAUCUCUUUGACUACUUCAUGAAAACUGCAGUACGCCUCGCCAGUGGCAGAUUUAAAGGUGAGGAGAGGAGCUGAUGUUAUUGGUCAAUACAGGUCUCAGCUGUGUUAAAUCCACUCCACGCCCUCUCUCCUCCCUCGCUACGACUUACACCGCUGGGAGGAGCUGAGUUAGGGAGAGGGGAUACUUACGCCGGGCCGCGCCCCCCACCAAAAUACCAAAUUGUGCUUGGGAACACCUUGUCGGACCUGUUGGACCUACGCCACGUCUCCGGCGAAGCACGGAAAUAGAGUCCCUUAAGUUUGCAGCUCUUGGCUCAUCAAUAAUCACCCAGUAUGUAGAACAACUGGACCAGAACUGAGAGCUCAUCUCUGUCCUUUUUAUUUUUAGUCUGGCACAGACUUAAUGAUCCGAAUUACAGGUACGUAGAAAAGCAUCCUGAGAUUUGAGAAUUUAUUGGCAGCUGAAAAGGGACUGAAAUCAUCCUCUUUGUAUUCAAGUAAAAGGAUUUACUCGGUUUUUCCUAUAGUCAGUAAAUGGCUAUAUCUGUCAAAAUGCUCUGACUUCACAAAACCAUCAGUGGUAUGGUGGACCAACCAGCUAAUUCACAGACCUAAUUUUUAGGAUUAUCUGUACUCUGGGGCUCAUACAAGCAUGCAGAGAUGCCUAUUUAAGGUCACAUCACUUAUUUUCCCUGUCUGAGUGUAAGGUCAAACCUGAGGCAACUCUCAGGGAUUUCUCUCAAAGAGGCUUAGCAUUGAAUGAUUCACAGCCAGCAUGUUUGUGUGUUAAAACCGUUAAUGAAGGAUCUUGUGGGCAGACUUAGCGAGACGCUGCCUUUUCUUUAUUUAGCCUGGAUUUAAAUAGACUUUAGCCUUUAAGCUGCCUGCUUUGGUUUUGGAAUUUUUCCUGCUGCAGCACAAUUUGACUUUGCUCUGAUUACUGUAUAACUCUGCACACUGAUGUUUGCUGACUCCUCACGCUUUUUGUUUUUAUUCCACUUUCUAAACCAGGUCUGGGCUAUUAAAGUCUAAUCCUAAUGGAUAAACUUUUCAGUGACUGAAAGUUUUAAGUGAAGUUUUAAAGUGAAGUUUUAAGUUUUUUCAUAUAACUCACAUGCUAUGAACAAAACAACAGAGAUACAACUCACGGUUAUAUGCAAACAACCCGGGUAUUUUGGCCUUUUUUGAUGGUUCUCUUAAACUUUUGCAGUUGGAGAAGACAUGCAUGACAUUUGCAAAUACGGGAAUGUCAAUACGAUGUUUGCAACAUUGCAGAGAGGAAAUAUUUCAUGCCUUUUCACAACCAUGAUGACAAUCAAUCUGCUGUUGCUGUUGGAUAGUAUCCACAAAAGCAACUAGACCCUGAAAGGCUGUAUUUUCUGACAUUACAAUUCUAGGCGAGUCAUGAUCUCGUAACCCUCCAGAUAAAUGUGACGUAGCAGAAAUGAUGAAAAGUGGAAUAAACAAGAAAAAGAAGGCAGUGUGUUUACGGCUGGUAUUUUGGAGGUGAAAACUGAAAAGAUUUGUACCAGUCAGGGUGCCAACUGGAGGACCAUUUGCUGGCAAAUACAAGGCAGUGACUAUCAAAAACCAGAUGAUUGAACAGGCUGAUUACUGAAAAUAAAACAAACAUGUCUCAUCCAAAUGAUUUGCAAAAAUAACCAUUAGUCAGGCUUUAAAAUUGGGGAGCAUGUCUGUAUCAACAUGGGUGAAAUUCCCUUUAAAAUCUUUUUUUUUUUUUUUAAGUUUUAGGGCGCACUCAGACCAGGCGCAGUUGCCCGAAUCAUAUUAAACUGUACUUCCUGCAGCCUGCGCUCGUGCUGCUUCAGGCUUAGACAGGCCUCACCUAGAUUACAUCUUUAAAAGUCCCAUGCAUGGAUAUACUUCAUCUGGUCAUGUUCUCCUUUUUUUUUGUUUUUUUUUUUUUGUUUACAAGAAUAGCUGUUCAGUGGACAAAACCACAGACAACAUGACUGCAACUUUAGCCAUAGAGGACAAGAUUCUCUGCUCUAGAUUCUGCUCUAGAUUCUCUGCUCUCCCCCUAGUGCUGCUGGACUAGGGGGAGAGCAGAGAAUCAUUGUCUAGUAUUUAAGGCAAGCUUUCUGAUAAUUUAAUGUAUGUUCAUCAAUUUUCAAGUUUUAAAGCAAAGUUGAGCCAACAAAGAUCCUUAGUUGAAGUAACUCACGAUUCCUGAGUAAUACAACUUGGAAUUUGAAGUCUUACAAACUAAAACUUUCAUACCCUGAAAGUUGUCCCAACUAAUUAUUGUUUGUUCAGAAAUAAAUACAUAGAUGUACUUGAUAAAUAUAAAUACUUGCUGCAGUGAUAUAACAAACAAUAUAAUGUAAUACAAAAGUCCUGGAAUUAAGUGUUGGGCAGUUAUACUGUUUUUACUUUCAACUCAAACACUGCCAUCUCAUCAACAUAAAGACUGAUUGUUAUGCUCUGCAAUUCUUUUGUCAGGUGUUGUAUACAUGCCGUUUUUUAUGUCGAGGAUGCAACAACGACUUAAACAGUUAACCUAUUAGUAUAUAUAUACAGUAUAUAUAUAUAUAUAUAUAUAUAUAUAUAUAUAUAUAUAGGGGGGGGGGGGGGGUAUUUCCUAUGUUUAUAUUGUUUACCAAUUGUUCAGUUUGAUUAAUUCUUUGCUUUUCAAAUUUUUAAACUGUUCAGAAUGUUGAAGUGAGGAAAUCCUGGAUGGGCAACCUCUGUAUCUUAGAGGGCUUCAUUAUUUUCAUUCUUACUACAACAUGGACAUAUUGUUACAAAAUGGGGAUACUGUUACUUUAGUGUAACAAAAGGAAGAUAUAAUGUUGGAUUAAUUGUGCAAAUCAGAAAAGAAAUAUUCAAUUAAAUCAUCCCAAACCAACAUUUUUGGCCAAAUUGUUUUUUUUUUUAUAAUGCAAAAAAAGAUAACAGCUAAGGUUAUUUAAUCUAUGAUAGUCACCUAUCUCAGUUUCAUCCAAACACAUAAAUGGUGUAUUUAAAAGAUUUUUACAGCAGCACUUACAGCAGUAUCUAUUUUCUUGCAAAUGUAUUCUGUUACUCCAACAUUUUUAUGUUCAUCUGUAUAAGGCUAUGCUGACUGUUGUAACUAAUAUUUACUCUGUUUCUAUCCAAAAUUAAAUACAUAUUAUUCAAAUAGUUGACAGAAUAACACACUACAGUUCAAAUGGUCAAGAAGUUAAUUGAAAUUCAUUCAUGCUAUAUGCAAAAUUGAUGAAAGUCAUCAAGCAUCCCUCACACACUGAUAUAGUAAUCACAUAAGUUCACUGUAUGUUAAUCAUAAAGGGAGGAUUUAUUCCCAGUCUCAUCUCAUCUCGGUGUGCCUUGUAAAUAAGAAAUGAUACAUUAUAAAAGUAAGUAUGUGCAUGUGCAUGGAGCCUUGUAAACUUCCCUCCUUAUAGUCCAUUGCAGAGGGCUAAAGCGCUACUGUAUUUUUCCUCAGGACACUUAAGGCAAAGCUCGUGUUAAGGGUAUACUACAGUGAGAAUAGGGAGGUCACAUUAAUUAACAUCUAUCAUUAGUUAACAUCUAAUAAUAAUAUUUGUUUUUCAUUCCAGUUAGUCUACAGGUAAACUUAAAUAUCUGCUAUUAUCUUCAACACAGUGUAGCUCACCCUCAGAGAGCUAUUGGGACCGCAGUCUGUGGUGCAGAGCCUUUGGUUAGCUCACUGUGGAUUAUGCUGUUUUAAAUUCUUCAAAAUAAGACUUAGACAAUUUAUGUCUAAUUUAACUGCAGAAAAAUCAUAAUAUAACAACCAUAAAUGCAGAAACUAAAAGACCCUGUUAAAGUGUAAAGUAACACCAGGUUUUCCCCAUUUAGUUUAACUCAAAUUGGGUUUGCAUAUCUGUUACCAAUUGGUUGCAGCAACAUAUAGAUAAAAUAUAUGUUUUGUACUUUUACAUCUAUACCUACCUGUGCUAACAGACAUACAGGUAAACAGAGAUAUUCAGUCCACUGCACUCUGAACCAUCUCUGAACCAUUCCAUCUCUGAUGAUUUUCAGUUGAUCAAAACUGUGCCAUGUUGCAGAUUGAGCUUUAAACAGCAGCUAAACAAAAGGUAAAUGGGAAGUAUGAAACUGGUGUUACUUCAGUGGCCGGUGUUGGCUUUGUCACAGACACAUUUCAGGAAAUAAAAAAAACCUCAAUGAGAAUGAGAGGGUUAGGGUUAGGCAGUCAGAUAUUACACCUGCUUAAUACUUGCUAUGAGCAGAUGAGCGACAGAAUCAACACUGCCCCCCUCUUCUUACUAUAAGCCUGGUACAGUUAUGCAUUGAUAGUGUUUGGACAAAUGAGAUUCAAAGUCAGAUAAUAAUAUAUAAUGGAUUUUUAGAAUCUGAAGGUCAAGUGGUAACAUUUUGUACUGUCUCAUUAGCAGAAACAGAACAUCUGUCCAUCAAAGUUUCUAUGACAAGAAGUCUUAUUUAUUUGAGGUCUUAUUAAGGAUCGCCACAGUCACGCCGUUAACUCCACUUAAGUGUCCACCUUCCCCAAACCAGAACAUACACUCUGACACAUCACUCAUGGUGUUUAUAAUUAUUCAACAUUUCAGCUCACGCCUGUAGGAUCUGACCCAUGUAUGUUGUAUUUACAGUAAAGGUUCUCAAUCCUUCAGUGUCUUUUUUUUUUUUUCACCCACUGCAGUGUUAUUGGACCCCAGAAGUCAGACAUAAGGUGAGUAUUGUGACAAUGCUGCAGCUCAGCAUCAGGAACAUGUCCUCUCUGUUUUGUACACACAGUAAAUUGGCUCUUUCUACAAAAUGGCCUUAGACAGAUGGUUAGGGGAGAAAAUGGGCUGGUUGUGGUCUGAGCAUGGCUGUGCACAUAGUGCUCAUAUUAUAGGAGCGUGUUCUAUUGUUUACCGUCCCCUGCUGUCAGGGUGUAGGAUAUUUUCAGAGCGGUGAGUCUAUCUGUGCAGCAUGAUGCAAUUUAAAAAAAUCCAGCUGCUAAGAAAAAGAGCUGGUAGAGCAGAGCACCCUUGCUGCACUCCUUAUUUCCUCCUCAUCUUAUUGCCUUUUGGUUUCUCUAUCAUUCACAUCUCUUCCUCAUUCCCUUUCUCUCUCCUCCUCCUGCUUUUUAUCUUCACCUUUUAUCCCCUGCUAUCAUUACUGUUCCCCUCAUUGCUCUGGUUCUCUCUUUUUUUUACUCAUCUCUCGAAGGAAGCAGAUGUGUUCCUUGUAUGAUUUAUUCAGAAGCAGAGAUUGGGGCCGAGAGAGUGUGCUGCAGGGGGAUGCACUCUGCAUGAGUUGAAACGGUUGAGUGCGCUUCCUACCGUUAUUCUUAAUGCAAAUGAAAUUUCUUCAUUUAUGUGAAUCACGAGACUUUUUACCAUUCUGGCUGCACAAGUUGUAUCAUCAGUGUGGACAUAUCUUCAAUUUUCCAUAUUUGCAAGGUUACUAUUUAAAAAAGGAAAAAUAAAAAGAUUUUAAAAAAUCAGGUAAUGGUGAGCAUGAGACAUUACCUCUGAUGGUAGACUAAGCACUGCAACACUUGACUAAGCAGAAUCCAGCCAAUCAUCUCAUUGAAGCAGCUCAACUCUCAGCUGACUGUCAGACUGUAGGCACUACUGCUUCACAUUGCUUGAAUGGAAACAACCCUUUUGCUGUUCAUGUCACCCAUAUACUCCAAGAGUAAAAUAAAUUAGGAUGUAAAGCACAGACUUGAUAGAAGCGUAAUGUUACCUUUACAGUUGAACUGUACAGAGAGACUCUUUAAGGCCUAGAAGGGUUCAGGAAAAAGAAAACUGUCCAUAGACAUAAAAGCUUCAUGAAGCUUUCAAAAGCUAAAAAGCCCUUGACUGUGAUUUGUCAGUAAAAUGAAUUUGGGUUCAUAAUGUUUAUAGUGCAUCCGGAAAGUAUUCAUACCACUUCACUUUUUCCACAUUUUGUUAUGUUACAGCCUUAUUCCAAAAUGGAUGAAAUUCCUUUUUUCUCUCAAAAAUUCUACACAAAAUACCCCAUAAUAACAAAGCGAAAACCCUUUUUAGAACAUUUUGCAAAUUUAUUAAAAAUAAGACACUCAAAUGUUUCAUAUACAUAAGUAUUCACACCCUUUGCUAUAAAACUCAAAAUUGAGCUCAGGUGAAUCCUGUUUCCACUGAUCAUCCCUGAAAUGUUCCUCCAACUUGAUUGCAGUCCAAAUUCAGCUGACUGGACAUGAUUUGGAAAGCCACACCUGUCUAUAUAAGAUCCCACAGCUGACAGAGCACGUCAGAGCACAAACCAAGCCAUGAAGUCGAAAGAAUUGUCUGUAGACCUCUGAAACAGGGUUGUAUCGGUGCACAGUUCUGGGGAAGGUUACAGAAAAAUAUCUGCUGCAUUGAAGAUCCCAAAAAGCACAGUGGUCUCCAUCAUUAAGAAAUGGAAGACGUUUGGAACCACCAGGACUCUUCCUAGAGCUGGCCACCCAGCUAAAAUGAGCAAGCGGGGGAGAAGGGCCUUCGUCAGGGAGGUGACCAAGAACCCGAUGGUCACUCUGACAGAGCUCCAGCGUUCCUCUGAGGAGAUGGGAGAACCCUACAGAAGGACCACCAUCUCUGCAGCACUCCACCAGUCAGGCAUUUAUGGUAGAGUGGCCAGACAGAAGCCACUCUCCAGUAAAAAGCACAUGACAGCCCACUUGGACUUUGCUAGAAGGUACCUGAAGGACUCACAAACCAGGAGAAACAAAAUUCUCUGGUCUGAUGAAAUGAAGAUCAAACUCUUUGGCCUGAAUGCCAAGCGUCAUGUCUGGAGGAAACCAGGCACCGCUCACCACCUCGCCAAUACCAUCCCUACAGUGAAGCAUGGUCGUGGCAGCAUCAUGCUGUGGGGAUGUUUUUCAGCGGCAGGAACUGGGAGACUUGUCAGGAUUGAGGGAAAAAUGAAUGCAGCUAAGUACAUCGAAAUCCAAGACCUUCGACUGGGGCGACGCUUCAUCUUCCAGCAAGACAAAGGAGUGGCUUCAGGACAAGUCUUGAGUGGCCCAACCAGAGCCCAGACUUGAACCCGAUUGAACAUCUUUGGAAAGACCUGAAAGUAGCUGUCCAACCUCACUGAGCUUGAGAGGAUGUGCGAGGAAGAGUGGGAAAAACUCCCCAAAUCCAGGUGUGCCAAGCUUGUUGCAUCACACACAAGAAGACUGGAGGCUGUAAUCACUGCCGAAGGUGCUUCGACCAUGUAUUGAGUAAAAGGUGUGAAUAUUUAUGUAUAUGCAACAUUUGAGUGUUCUUAUUUGUAAUAAAUUUGCAAAAUGUUCUAAAAAAAGUUUUUCGCUCUGUCAUCAUGGGGUAUUUUGUGUAGAAUUUUUGAGGGAAAAAAGGAAUUUAAUCCAUAUUGGAAUAAGGCUGUAACAUAACAAAAUGUGGAAAAAGUGAAGUGGUAUGAAUACUUUCCGGAUGCACUGUAUGUUCAAACACAUCAAAGUAAACUGGGCCAUUUGAGGAGCUGUGGUUACGCUAGAGCUCCCGUAAAAGCCCACUUGAAUAACAUUGAAGAGAUAUGGAAAGAAAAACGAGACAAAUACCCACACAGGAUUUACAUUAAGGACACAGCCCCAUUUCACCUUCAGACUUGAGAGAGACCUGGCUUUCAUCAAGAAGACAUAGGUAAGAACAAGUACCUACAUUUCUUGAACAAUUUCAAUAUAGAAGGUAGAUCUUUUCUAAGAAGGAGACUUUUUGUUCUUUUACCAUUGGCUUAUGGAUCUACCCUAAAGAGGAGCAAAAAAACAAACAAACAAAAAAAAAACAUUUGAACUGAUUUGGACCGGGACUAAUUGUCUCUCAUUCAUUCCAGAAGAUUGAGAAAUCUCAACACUAGUGGUCCUUCUUGACAGUGUCAUGCAAAUUGUUUCUAACUUGGAUUUGUGAUGCUGAUUGGACUGUUGGUUGUACUCCCUUGCAGUUAUCUUUUAAUUAAAGUGAAAACAUUUUAAGUAGAUUACAGAGAAUUGAAUUCAGCCCACGUGUUCUGUUUACAAGGACUGUCUUCUGUAUAGAGCCUUCUGAUAAAUGAUCAGUCUAGACAGCUUACACUUCAGAAUACCAACAGAGAACUACAUACCCCCUUAUUGAAGCCCAGAUCUCCAAAGACCAGUCUGCAUUUUAUGAAGACUCUGUAAAAAGAAAUUACGAGUUGGAAAACAAUGAAUAGGUGAGUUCAGUUUUGUAAAAUAGUACUUUCAUAAUCCUGAGCCAUUAACUGAAAUUUGCAGUUUAGCUAAGCAGCUUAGCAUUCUGGCACCUGAACUACUGUAAUUGUUGAUGCGUUGCAUCAGUUGAAUUUGGCAGGAUAGAAUAGCUGUUAGAGUAGGGACUUGGAGGUGCUGCAGCCACUUUGAUGUUAUAUAUACAGUAUAUAGCACAUUACAUGUCUGAUGUUUGUCUCUUUGUCGGAUGUUUGUGUGGUGUAAUAGUGUGGUUGCAAGAAAAUUUUUCAGAGAAGAUUGUGACAAUUAAGUAUUGGUUCUAAAAUACAUCUUCUGAUGCAACCUGAACACAUCAUCAGUAAUGUAUCCUGGGUUCAUAGGUUGUUUCAGGUCUUGCAACAUUAUACACCCUCGCCCAGGCGACCCAGCCGUGGUUGAUCAAGCCGCGGCUUGUGUUCAGGUGGCAUUCACUUGUCCCCAUGGUUCUCCUCUUCGGAUCCAGAGCCAUCUCGAGGCUUUAUCAGCUGCCUCAGUGGUGUUCUUGAUGGCUCUGCUCCUUGCUGUUCCCGUAGUGCCCAACACGCUCAGGGCUUUGUAAAGUGAGCGUCCCACAAAUCCCCUGCUGCCAACUUCGAUGGGCAUACAUCGUGCCUUCCAGCCCUGUUGAUGACAUUCGAUUACCAGAUGUUCAUACUUGAUCCUCUUCCUUUCAUGGGCCUCCCCCAAGCGGUCCUCCCAUGGCAGCGUCAGCUCCAUGAUCACGAUGUUCUUGGUGCUCUCUGAGACCAGGAGGAUGUCUGGCCUCAGGGUGGUGCUGACGACGUGCUGGGGGAACUGUAGCUGCUUCUCUACAUCUACCGAGAGCUGCCAAUCUUGGGUAGUUGCCAGGAUCCCUGCUGGUGCCUUCUUUCCACCUGCCUUUGGCUGAACUCCUGCUUUGACAAAAGUGAUGGUGUUGCGCACCUGGCAACAGCUGCUGAUACCCCUGCUGAUGGCUUCAGCACCUGGUUGUGGUGCCAGGUGUAUCAGCCCUGGCCGAGUGCUGUUAGGCAGGAGCUCAGGACGUGUUCCAGUGUUCCUCUCCCUGAGCACAGCUGGCAGCUCGGGUCUCUGCCUUCCCCCAGGUGAAUAGGUUUGCUGGGCUAGGUAGGAUGUCAUAGACUGCCCGGAUUAGGAAGCUGAUACGGUGUGGGUCAGCCUGCCACAGGUACGUCCAGGUGACUUUCCUGUCCAUGGCGUGCUCCCAUCUGGUCCAGGCCCCCGGCUGCCUGAGACCAGCCGCUCUGCUUGCUCUCCCUUCCUCCACUGCAGUCCUGACCUCCUCCUGAAUCUGCCUUCGCUGUUCCUUCCUCUUGCACUCCCUGUGUCGAGGUGGUGUUGGGAACAUCCCCAGACCUGCUCUGCCGUGGGCCACUACACCCACCAGAUCUCUGUGGCGCAGCCUUGCCUCUGAAUCCAGCACAGCAGAUUGGGCACUCCACUUCCUCCCGGUCUUCACCCUGACUCCUGCCUGGGCAACCUUUGGGUCCUUUGAGUCUCGGUACAGCAGCACCUCUCUGGUCCGAGUCACCUUGAACUCCUCCUCCAGACACUUCAAGGGCAACUUUGUGGUGUUCCCAUAGAGGGCAAUGUUACUGAGGCUCCUGGGCAACCCCAACCAUCUUCUGAGACAGGUGCUGACCUUCCUCUCCAAGGUCUCCACCGUGGAGACGGGGACCUCAUAGACAAAUAGUGGCCAGAGUAUCCGUGGUAAGAUCCCAUGCUGGUAUAUCAAUGCCUUCAACUUGCCUGGGAGGCUAGAUCUGUCUACUGCUCUCAGCCAGCUGUCCAGUUCCUGGCAGCUUGACUGGACUGAUGUGAAGUCUUUGAGGCCGCUGUCAAACACCUUGCCCAAGCUCUUCACAGGCUUACCGAGAUGUUGCAGCCUGUAAUUAUCCCCACCUCCAACCAGUGCCACUCUGAUGUUACUUCCCCUGCUGUGACUCUCAUCCUGAACUGAUCAUAAUAAUCCAGGAUGAGUUCUGCAACGUGGUGUGGCACAUGGUGUUUGGUCAUGGUGGUCUGAACCAGUUUGUGUGGGAUGGAGCCAUAUGCAUUGGCUAAGUCUAAACACAGAACUGUGAGGUCUCCCUUGUUCUCCCGGAUGAGCUGAGUCACCACUCCAGUGUGUUCUUGACACCCCGGUACUCAGACGAUCCCUCCCUUUUGCACCGACGUGUCUAUGUAGUUGUUACUGGAGAGGAAGUCCGCCAGCCUCCUUGCUACUAUGCUGAACUUUAACCAACUAACUAACUAACUAACUAACUAACUGCACAUUUUGGUUGUUGGCUGUGAGUUGAUCAAUAAUCCCAAACUAGACUUUUUUCUUUUUGACAGUUUAACUGAACUAUUGAAUUUCCCCUCAUAGAUAAAUAAAGUUCUUCUUAUCCUGUCUGUGGUGCAAAACAGAUGCUGAAAAGAAAGUCAAGCUGACUUAACCUACAUUUAAGUCAACCUACCAAGGCUUUUAGACAACUUACUAUCAGUUACAGAGCACCUGUCAGCAGUGUUGGGUAGUAAUGUGUUAUGAGUAAAGCUGUUACUUUCUUUAGUUGUGUUACUCUGUUCCUUUUGGUGAGGUUUUAUAACUGCACACAGAUCCCAUGAAAUUGUUGUUAUCAAUUAAGUUGAGUUGACUUGGAAACACAAAGCACUUGUCACCCUCCAGCAUCAUACAUUUAAUUAAACACGCUCCAUGAAGGCAUGAUGGGGAGCGAGAAGGGGAAGAUAAGUUUCUCCUCAUGGAGAUACAUUAUUUUUAACUGGAGAGCAAAGGGAAAAACAAUAUUUCGGUGACAUGUAAACUGUGUCCUGGGUCAAAAAAUUUUUCUAUGGUGAACAACAGCAACAGCAAUCUACUGAAGCACCUAGAGAAGUGGCAUGCUUCAACAAAGUAAGCAGCUAAGGUAGCUAACAUAGCAUCCAAGACUUGAGAGUCACAGCUGCAAGCACACACCACCCCGCCCAAGCAACAGAGGUUGGAGUUGGAAAGAAGGACCCAUAGCCUGACCCAACUUGAUAAAACAAUAGCAGGGUAUGUUUAAUAGUUUAUAUGGAUCUCUUUUGGUACUAUCAGAAUAUUAUUUCAAGGGUCCAAAGGUAAAAUUCUGGUGUUAGUGUCAAGGUUUGUGUUGGUGCACAAUAGAUCAUAUUACUUAGAUGAUUAGAUUCAGUGAUGUGGAUGAAAAUGAAUUGAAACAGUUGUUUUAAUCAACAGUUUGUUUAAUUUUAGCAUCAAUACAGAACUGAAAUGAUGGCUAGAGGGGAACUUAAUCAAUCCACCAUUAUGUAAUGGGAACAUUGGAAGAACAUUUGACAGUAACUAAAAAGGAACGCAUUACUUUUUGGUUUAAGUAACUGAGUCACAAACUGAUUUACUUUUUUUUACAAAGUAACAAGUAACUGUAACUAGUUACUAUUUUUCAUUUACAAGCACAACACUGCCUGUCAGUCACUCCAGUCAGCUGUGCCCCUAAUUAUGCAAAAUUCAUUACCUCAAAAUUCCAAAACAAUAAGAGCCUAAAGUGGACAGUUAGGGAACAGCAGUAUGAAGCCCUUUCAUCGGAGGGUCAUCUGAACCAAACUGGUGUGUUGUAAGACUGCUGAGGCUUUUUUUAAUGGGAGCUCUGGCAAAAGAAGCCUGAAGCAGAGCAGCAGAUAUCUCGUUUACUCUCCUCUUUAAACUCCAAAGACCACCGAUGCUUUAUUUUCACCUCAGAUCAUUUAGAUCUGAGUUUACUAAACUCCCUGUGUACUCCCCUUUAAAUGUGUCCUGCAGGGCACCAUUAAGUCUACCCUUUAACCAGGCAUCUUGGUGCAAUUCUAUAGGGCAACUUUUAACAGCAAUAUAUAUAUAUACUAUAUAUAUAUAAAUAUAUAUAUAUAUAUAUAUAUAUAUAUAUAUAUAUAUAUAUAUAUAUUUGUAGAGAGAGAGACAGAGAGAGAGAGAGAGAGAUUUGUGUUCGGCCUGAAAUAAUCCAGUGCUUUACUUCUUUUAUUCGAUUUGCUGAAUGAAUGAAUGGGAAUAGAUUUAGUCUGAAGUCUCUUAUCAGUCUCAAUGUUGCAUGUCAUUUCCAGCGCACUUGAAGGUAGCAUACAUCAGGGGUUAUUUUCUGUAGAAGCUUUGAGGCAUGCUGACUUUCUCUGUCCUCAUUUUCCUCAAGCACUCAUGGAGAGUGCAUUACAAUAGCUUUAAAGAAACCUGCUCUUCAGUUUCUCAGAUAAUUAUUAGUUUCUCCUGACAGAUAUCAAUAAAAUAUCAUUCAUAUAAACUAGUGCAAUCAAAUGAUCAUUUUUUAAAAAUCAGAUUAAUCACAGGGUUGCUGUAGAUUAAUUUCGACUAAUCAUGAUUAAAUUUUAUUCAUUUUUAAUCUAUAAAAAUUGUGUUUGAUUUUUUAUUUUUUUUUGAGUAAGGAGACUCCAGAAAGAAGGGAAUAUAUAUACUUAACGUGUUAAUUUAACACUGAUGCUUCUCAUUAAUGUGGUAUUUUAAGCUGGAAGUGCUUCAGUGAGAAGAAAACUUCUUCCUGCAGAGUGUGUGCAAUACUUGUGUCAGUCGACUGUUUCGUCAUGGGUUUUUGAACUCAAAUUCAAAUCAGGUGAGAGAGCCAAUGUGCUGUUUAAUGUGUUUCAUAUUGACAGGGUUUGAGACCACCACCAAGACUUUUAGGAUAGAAGAGAGCUGUAUUCUGUUUAGACUGAUGAAAAUUCUGUCAUUUUGAGCCACUGAGCUAUUACCGACCUAAAACAAUUAAAUUAAUGACAUUACCACUUAUUUCAGUCUCAAAAAAUUAUAUAGUUUAGGCAUCAUUGUUGGACACCUGGUCAUGAAAGUGCAAGCUUGUAAAUUUUCAAUUUUUCAAUUUCAAUUUUGACAAAUUUUCCAGUUGUUUUAACAGCAGUUUUCAUUUGACCAGCUUAUCUACACUACAGGCCAAAAGUUUGGAAACAAGGCCAUUACAGGCCGAACAGUUGGGAGUAACUUCAAGUUUUUGUUCACAAUGCUUUUUUUAAAUCCAGCAUGAGUUUUAUGUAUUUUGGGAUGUAUUUACUCCAUGAUCAGAUGUUGCUUUCAUGGAAAUGCACCAUUUUACUCCAUUUACCUUUAGAUAUACAUUGAUGUUAACAGACCAUUGCUAAAUAUAUGUCAGCAAAAGAAAAUAAGGGCUUAGUUUUAGGGUUGAAAACAUUUGCAAGAGUCACAACUUCAGUGUAAAAGGAAAAAAAAAAAAAAAUCACAGUUGGAUUAUUCACUUCAACUUUUUGGCUUUUGAGAGUCUGCAUACAAAAAUCCUAAUAAAUCUCAACUGCGUUCAAACUACUGCAAAAACUGCUAGAAAGAAGUAACUGAGUAAAGAAACAAAAGUACAUAUUUGUACAUUGAGGAAAGAAGGAUACACAGAAAGAGAAAUUGCAAAACAUCUUAAGGUGUUUAACAAAGGAGUCCACUACACUCUGAAGAGACUAGAGGAACCUGGAAGUUAUGAUGAUAGAAAAAGACCUGGACGAAAGAGAGUUACUACAAAAGCAGAGGAUAAACAUAGUAUUGUCACCUGGAAGAGAGAUCGGAGAAAGACAGCACCAAAAAUAAGGGAGGAAAUCAACAUGACAAGGUCAAAACCCAUAUCUCUGACAACUGUGAAAAGACGUUUGAGAAAGGCUGGUCUGAAGGGUUGUGUAUCUGCAAAAAAAAAGACUACUUCGUCAACAGAACAAGAAAAAGAGAUAUGAGUGGGCAAAAGCUCACAAAAAUUAUACUUAUGAUGACCAGAAACAAGUUUGAACUGUUUGGUUCAAAACGCAGAGUCUAUGUUCGCUGACAAACUGGUGAAUGUCUGAAAGCACCAUGUGUUACACCCAUAAUUCAGCAUGGAGGUGGUAGUUCCAUGGUAUGGGGAUGUUUUGCAGGUGAUGGAGUAGGAGAUUUGUUUGAAGUAAAGGGUAUCAUGAAGAAGGAACAGUACCACUCCAUCCUCCAGCACCAUGCUGUUCCAUCUGGACUCAGAAUUGUGGCUCAUACGUUUGUUUUGCAGCAAGACAAUGAUCCUAAGCAUUCUGCCAAGCUCUGUCAGGGUUACCUAGACAAAAAAAAGAAGAGGAAGGUGUUCUUCAAAAGAUGGUUUGGCCCCCCCAGUCUCCAGACCUUUCUCCAAUUGAGCUUGUGCGGGAUGAAUUGGAUUGAUCGGUCAGAAAAACGCGUCCCACGAAUCUGCAGUCUCUUUUCAAUGAACUUAAGAAAGCUUGGAAUGCAAUCCCUGGAACAUACCUUAAAAAACUUGUGGAACGAAUGCCUGGUAUAUGCCAAGCUGUUGUCAAAGCCAGAGGAGGUUACUUAAAAGAAAGCGCAGUCUAAGCAACAAUAACUCUAAUACCUAAUAAUUAUAGUCAAAAUGUCUUCUGAUAAGUUACUCUUUACACAAUAGUCAUGUUUAUUGUGUUGCAAAUAAUAUAUAUAUGAAACUAAGAUUUUUUUUUGUACAAAUCUGAUCUUGCUUCCAAACUUUUGGCCUGUAGUGUAAAUGUCAGAAACAUUCAGAAAAUAUUGGAACCACAGGAAGCCAGGGUUAGCGGAUAUAGCAUCAUCAGUUUCAAGUCCAUCUUGCAGGACAAAUCUGCAUGCUUUUGCUGGUUGGGUUAGUUCAUUCAUUAACACUCAUACCAAUAGUUCUGAUUAACAUACACUUGGAUAAUUGUGUGAAGGAGAGGUGCAAAAUACCCUCCAAGGGUCUGAUCUGGGUAGAAUCAUGUACAGUAAUUACAUUAAUCUAAAAGAGAAAAGACAAAUUAUUUGGAGGAAAAAAGGAUAUACAAGUACACAUAAUGUGAUAUAAUACAGAUAAAUCAGUUGUUUGUAAAGGUGACCCAAAAGGAUAAUAUUGCAGAGACAGCCAGCCAUUCCACAUCUUUAAUAAACUUUACCAGUUACAUAUUUGAAAAAUGAUAAAGCAAACCUAAUCACUAAAUCUCUGUAAAUUAGACCAAACUGUACAUGAGAGGCUUGAGAAAUGAGAGAUAAUACGAGCCAAAGACAAGUAGGUAAUUGCUUGAUUCAAUAGAGUGAGGAUACCUGAUCUCAAAAACAAAGGGUGAGAUGAAAGGGUUUUACAUACAAUGGAAGAUCCUUGGUGCAUACUUCUGAAGACAGAAACAUGUAACAAGAUGAGUGCCCCUUUAGCAGAAUUACAGCAAUAUACCUUACGUGAAGAUAAACCACUGAGUAAUAUAAAGGUUCGGAAGCUUCUGGGUUUAUCAAGGGUCAAGUUUUUCCUUGGAUCCCAAUGCUUUUCCCAAAAGCAUACAGCUCAGCGUACAGCCAGUUUGGUAUUUUUGUGGACUGAGGCGCACCAAGGUCCACCAAGCUGGGCGUGGUGGUGCCGGUGGCAUAUAAAGUACGCUGAAAGCUCGCCGAUUCAAACCUGGUCAGCUUUCAGCACACGCGGAGCACAGCUGGUCUAAUGGUAUUUUGGUAGACCGGCACUGUAUCGGCAUACGUCACUGAUGCCUCACUGGCAGGUUUCCACAGUGUCAGGCACAUUUUAGUGCAAUAAAUAAUCAUCAUCAACUAAUAAUCUGAGUCAGCACAUACAUUUAGAUCUAUAUCGAUAUAUUCUGAUCUAUAUCUGAUCUGAUGAGCGCGUUUGGCACGCAUUUGGACACACAACCUGACCGAAUUAACACAGCUGAAACUGCAUUAAAUUAAAUAUCCAGUAAAUACACACACAUGAUGAAGUUAACAAGAUAUUUAAUUCGUCUCCCUCCUUUUCUUUCUUCCUCUUCCUCUUUUUUCUCGCGCAGCUCGACCUGGACAUGUCUCCGUGUCCUCUCCCUGUCCUGCUGCAGCUGCUGUGGCUGAACAGAUGAUUUGUUUUAGUGAUCAGAUGAGUUAUUUACUUUAAGCCUACAUACGAAUAUUAUAAUAUUCAGUUUUGUGAGCCAAAUUUAUUUUAUAUGCCAACAUCUAUGAAAGAAAGAGCCAGGCCAGGGAGCGUGAUGUGCCCUUUACGCACAGAUGGUUCUGAUUUUAAUGCCAUUGGAAUUUAUAAUGUGAUCUCUGUGCACAACCCACCUUUGUCACGUGAGUUUUGAAUAUGUGCAACUUUAUGUGAGUGUCUUUAUUUGUGGAAAAGGGUGUUUGUCUUACCAGUGGGUCCAACAUUACACACACCGAAUCCAUCUGUGCUUAUAUGAGACAGUGUGCAGGACGCCCUCCGCAGUGCUUACAGUGACACUUGUUGAGGGGCUGCCUUCUGUCGCCAUUGUGUGGCAUUGCUGUCUUCAGACAUCUUUUGAUCUCUUUGACUACUUCAGGAAAAUUGCCAGGGGCGGAUUUAAAAGUGAGGAGAGGAGUUUAUGUUAUUGGUCAAUACGGGUCUCGGCUGUGUUAAAACCACUCCACGCCCUCUCUCCUCCCUCCCUAUGACUUAAGCUGCUGGGAGGAGCUGAGUUAGGGAGGGGGGAUACUUACUCCGGGCUGCGCUGCUCACCAAAAUACCAAAUUGUGCUUGGGAACGCCUGACUUACGCCGUGCCUGUGCCACGUCUCCAGCAAAGCACGAAAAUAGAGCCCUUUGUGUCGAGGACCUGCCUUUUCCUUUUGCACCUUUUUUUCCCCUGUUCUUUUGACCUUGUCUCUUACCACAAUCAAAACUUAGCUUCUAUUUUGCAGAAGUUUUAAAGUGGUAACUCCUCUCCCCUAACAACUGCAAACAUUGUGCAAUAAAGCUGCUGUUGUAUCACUGCCCGGAGCUGAGGUAGUGUUAUCAGAAUGACAUAGCAGCUCCUCUCUCUGAGGGCAGUGAAGUUAAGCUUGUAAACAUAAGAGCUUGAAGGAUGACAUUAGGUGCAAAAAUCUGAUUUGGUGUGGUGUAAACCUGAGCUUGGUUCCUUUUUUCCUUCUGUUAUCCGCUUCCUGGCUUGUGUUAUCAGACGUGGCUCACCCUAUUUUAGGCUUCAGAGCCCUCGUGUCACUUCCCACAGGCUGUUGGAGCACAUAUGGCACUACAGAAACACUGCUGAGGGCCAGAUUAUCAAUUCAUCGCUUUGUUGUGAGGGCUUAUCUGCGGGACACUCCACUUGCUCUCCUUUCUUUUCAGGUGUGUUAAAAAAAGAAAUCAGUUGCAGUCUACAUGACUGGUUCGGGGGUGAGGUUAAUAAUUCACUGCUUUGUUGAAUCACCUACUAUGGGAUUGCAUGCACAUUGCAAAAAAAUAAAUAAAAAACUGCUGAAAAUAGACAGAGUCAGUGAGUGGGCACCUUUAGAAACCCCUUGGCAUUCAGCUGUGCCACUGAGCGAUACACACAUAUUUCAACAACAGUUAACAGCAGAGGUGCCGGUGGGUUUAUCAAAUGGGUGCUUUCCAUUAUGAAGGAGACACGACUAGGCUCAAUUAUAAAAUCAUUGAACCUCUGGGAAAGUGAGUCUCACAAUGUGACUCAUCCUGUGCGCUCAGAGGAGCUGGCUCUGAAACAUGGCUGGAGGGAAGAGCUGAUAGUGGAGGGCUAAGAUUGUUAAAGCUGCAUUAGGUACACUAAAUUACACACCGGCGGCUCCAAAAUGGCAGCAAGACAACUAUUUUCUCCAUGUUAGCCAAGUAUUCUACAUCCAAUUUCUCCUUAUAUCCAGAAUGUUUCAGGUUGGUUUAUUUUCUCCCGCAGGAUAAAGACGGGUUACUGUCUGUACUGGAGGUAUAAUCUGGUGGAUCAGGAGAAAUCCUGGUGGUGCUUGGAUGUUUCAGGCUGUUCUGAAAAGAAAAGGCACUUUCACACACACGGGAAAGUUCAAAUCAGAGUUCACCGAAAAGAAAUCAGUCAGCACAACAACAUUGCUGACUGAGAGAUGUAAGAAAAUAAGAGCUGUUCAUAAAAACUUUGUAAACCAUUGUUGCGAUUUUGAUUUUUUGCACAGACAUGGUGUUUGGGUGUAAUCUUUUGAAGACCUGGUUUCAGGGUCAGGUUUUUUGAAGAGAUCACUUCUUUUGUCACUGCUGAAAAACAAAAGUGACUUCCAAGUUAAGACAUGCAUGAGGUCUAACAGCUGCAGACCACAUUCAUUUCUCAUGCAAAAAUGUAAAAAGAAUCUGGUGCAUACACUAUAAAACAGUAACGUAUUUACAUCAAAACAACAUCAAAUUACAACAUGCAGUUCUCCUGUGGAGUUUCAUCACAAUCUAACUACCACUGAAAUCAAUAAAAAAAAAAGCACCUUGGACCAACAACAACCUGGUGUGAAAUUGAAAACCAAAGAUGCAAAGCUUUUCUGAUAUGUAAAGGGUGCUUACAUGAUAAAUUAAGAAGGUAUGAUGCACAUUCUUUUUUUUUAUUCACUUAUGGAGAUGAACAACUGGAUUUCCACUUCUUACAUUUUUUUUUUUUCUCUCUCUCUCUCUCUUUUUUUUUUUUUCGGAACAGUGUUUUUCAAUGGGAGCAAGGCCUAGGAAUGCUUGUACUUUUUCUGCCUGACCUGACUACCUCCAAGCUCUACAGCAUGUGUGCUUUCAAAUACAUGUAGACAAAAAAAAAAUUAAAGUUUUUUGUGUUUGUUUGUUUUUUGUAAUCCUUAUCUGCUCAGGAUACAUGUGGGCAACAUUCACAGAUAUUAACUGAAACUACACAGUAUUUGUGACGUUUUUAACAGGCAGUCUAAAGUAAAUCUGGGGCCUCAUGUAUCAACGCUUGCGGCGCAAGAAAACCUUGCGUACGCCAAAAUCGGCGCACACGUCCAGAUUUAUCAUCGCGAAACGAGCGUCGGUUCCAGCGCUAAUCAACGCAAAGUCAGGAGGUGGUGUAGAAAUUGGCGUUGAGCCGAUAUUUGCGUUGACUGUGAUUCGCACUUUGGCGACGCUGUGUGGCGGUGUUUGGUGACUCACUAUGUGACAAGCGUGCACCACAUCCCCGUGGCCGAGCAGCACGUCGCCCCACAUGACCAACCAGCAGCAGACGGAGGGAUGCGAGCUGAUCCCUGCCGGGCCGCCGUCCUCGCGCGGGAGAAUCUCAUCGCCACAGUGUGAAUGGGUAAGAAGUGAAUACACAGUUCAAUGAGCCAAAUUAAUUUAUUUUCUCCACCAGACGCUCGAGGACAUUUACGAGCCGGUCCAGCCGCUCGUUGAUCCCCGCGAUCCCCCUGAUGAUUUCUUCCUGCGAUUGCAGGACCCCCUCCGCGAGGACCCUUCCACUGCAUCCGGGUGGUCCAGCAGAAGUGCCGCGGCUGGUGGACGCUCCACCGCUUGUCGGCGCGCUGGUGCUGGUGCUGGGGCCGGGGGGCCGGGGGGCCGGGGUGGCCCGAAUGCCGCUGGUCCUGGCCGAUGACUCCGAGCCGGCGGACGGGCUGCCGCGGGCCGGGGUUCCGCAAGCCGGCGACACGGCCGACAUAUUGAUUUCUGUGACACAAUAAAGAUAUUUGUUCAUUUCAAUUCCUGCUUCUGUGUAUCUGUUGCGUUUACAUCUCUCUCCACGGUAUCAUAGGUAAUGUAAUCCAGUAUUUCGAGGUCAGUUAUGCACAUUACAGUUGUUUAUUGCAUAAAAAGUUAUCGAAAAAUGAAGUUAAGGGCGAAGUAUAAAUCACGUCUAAAAAUAGACUGGAUCCCGACGUUGAAAUGAAGUAUAAACUUAGACUAGACGUCUAAUAUACGUCUUUUGCUCAGUGGGAUGACAAAGCAUGUGGACAUUUGUGUGACACGCCACUUACCCUAUAAUAAUAAUCGCCACCACCCGCUGCUCAAACGGUGUGAGGGUCUCCUCCCCCGGACCCCCACCUGUCUGGCCGGUACUCCUCCGGAGGGCAGCUGUACGCCGCUUGACCUCCACCUUGAGGUCCGACCACUUUUUUUUAAUCUUCGCGGGGGUGCGUGUCUCGGAACCCACCGCAUUCACCCUCUCGCAAACUUUCUCCCACUCCAAGCGUUUUCGUUUUGCACUGACGCCACUGGACAGGCUGCCAAACAAAACACGCUGUCGCUCCUCCACCUCCGCCACCAGCACCUCCACCUCGCACGCCGUAAAUUUAGUUUUUCUUGUCAUUUUGUCUGCGUGCGAGGACAGGGAGACCAUAUUUAAAUAAAUCUGAAUAUUUAUAGGAGGGCGUAACGGGGACGGGCCCAGUCACUCCGACAUCUGCGCUCAAUUCCACGCUGAUUGGGAUUUAUCAAGGAAACACACGUGGAUUUCGGCGCCCGCACACAUUGAUACAUACGGAUUUUUUUCAGCGUGACGGACCUUGCGUGCGCUCGUUUCUGGUAUGAGUUCCAUGCAAGUAUUGAUACAUGAGGCCCCUGGUCUGCAAGACCUCAAUGAUAAACGAAUGCAUGUCUCAACUUGUUUCUGCUCUUCAGUAUGAAAGUUUCAGUAGAUUGAACAUCUGUCCAUGUGUCAACAUUAGUCAUACAAUGACCUUUGGGCAUUUUAAAAGUGAAUGACAACAGACACAGUGAUUUGUUAGGUUCAUGUCAUGUCCUAAACGCAACUGGAGGACUCAGUUAAAACUUUUGGCACCCUGUGCCUCACAUAGAGCCCAGUAUGUACUGAGAAAACAUACAGGAUCCAUAAUGAGCUUGUUUCGUCAGCGUUGCAUAUCUGCUCCGUUGGGCAUCACUCUUCAUCACCACAGGAUGCGUAUUUGGAAUGUGGCAGCAGCGCACUGCAGCCCCGGUUAGCUGGGCUCAGUCUAGAGGAAACAACAUAUUCACAAUGGGUUGUUUUUCCUUCCUGUGGUCUAUUUCCUGCUAAUUUGGAUAUAAUUCAGUGACUGUUGAGCUUCUGCUGUAUGUGAAAAAACAACAUGAUUUUACAGUUUUGGCUUUUGCAGAUUUACUCGUGUUUCCUGUCCUGUUGGGGUCCACAUGGAUCAGGGAUUGACCAUCGGAUUGUUCUGUGUUACUGAUAAAUCCAGAACCAGGUAGUAUUUCUGGAACAAUCCUCUCUGUGUUGAUUGACGCGUGUUGGAACCGCAAGAGCAGAAAAAAUAGACUCUGCGUGAAUCUUUAGCAGAGCCGAGCUUAACAUGCUUCUGAGACGGAGCUGAGACGCGUCCUGUGUGCGAUGCUGCAUUGAUUAGAAUGGCAACCUAUUUGCUGCAUGAUACCCAACACUGACGGAGCGCACUCAAUACGGAUCCUGUGUGUUUUAGCCUUGACUUUUAGUAAUACACAUGCCCUAAUUCAUUUGGUGCCAUGCACCUCAGACUGAGCAUACGGACCAUUGGGAUAAGGCCCACAGACUCAAAGUGAACCCUUGCUUUGAUAUUGUUAGGCUUUUCAACCUAACUACUUCCCUUGCCAAGCCAUCACAACAUGUCUAAGAGAGUCAUUAAAUCUGUAUGUUGGAUUCAGGGUCUGAUCAUUGCGAGACUAACAUGUGCUUCUGUGUCAGACACACGAGUGGUAGUGAAAAUAACAGUCUCUGAGGCUCUGAAGUAGUAAAACAGUCCCCAGUGGCACCUGAUCUGAGACAUCAAGGGAGUACAGGAGAUAUGCAUGUAUUAAAACAAGAAAGGUCGAUCAAAAAUGAUGUUCCCUGUGUCUAAGGAGCCCUGUUAGACUGUUUGGGCUAUAAAGAGAGGCUCUGCUAUCGCAGAGACAGCAGCUCUCCUCUCACAUCCUCCCUCAGGAAUUGAACCUGGACACAGUGACAUUAUCCUUCACACAUGAACCGUGUCUUUUAUCUGCAGAGGGACAGCACAGCCAGGAGUAAAGGGGGUCGUAAUCAGGCAUGAUUGUGUAGUUAACUCAAAAGCCUCAGACAGAUGUUGAAGGAAAUGAGGUUAAGAGCAGGUACAUCUCAGGCAUAAUCAAGCAGGCAGCUUCCCACAGACACAGCACCAGAAGCAAAGAAAUCCACCUCUGCUUCCAUCACACUCCUCUGGGGCACUUUCUGCUCUUUUAAAGCAAUGAAUUGGGCAACAGAGAGACAGAAAUAAAAGCACUGAGCAGCGGGAUGGAUAGAUGGUACACAGGCUGAGGUUAUUAAUUCAGAGCUUUGUUGAAGCUCUCUCCCUCAGGACCACCUGGCUGCUUCUCAAAAUGGCUCAGCUGCGGUACAGUCAGACAUUUUAACUUGUUGAAGGAUUAAUGUAAAACAGCCCAGAGGAUGGGCCCUCAAAGUGUGCAUAUUCACAAACCUGUUCCAAGAUUCCAGGGUCAAAUGCAGCGGUGCAGUCAGGGGUUGUCAAACGGGCAACCUCCAUUAUACAGAUUGCAUCAGGGGGCUGGAUCAUCAAUUCAUCACUCUGUGGGAAAAGUUUCCCCCUGGGCACUCCUGCUCUUCUCUUACAAGAUGCUUUCCCUCUGCAGCAGGAAACAGCAGUGAUAGAGAGGGCACAACCCCCCUCAGGAAUCAUUGGCUGCAUUUCAAAACAAAAGAACUGGGUAAACACACACAGACUGGGCUGCUGUCUAACCCUGCUGUGUUUUGGGAUAUGAAUUGGAGAUAAGAUUUAUUCACACCUGAACGUGUGUGCAGCAUCAAUGCAGCACACAACAUCAUUUAGAUUUUUUGUUGCGCUAACAAAACUUCUAAAAUGAUGUUUUUAUUGUCCAGAAAGUUUGAUUUGAAAGUCUGGGCCGUCUGAAGUUAGUAUUUAUUUUGUUUUAUUUCUUUUUUAUCGUAAACUUAACUGCUUUAAAUGAAGCCUUAAUGAAAUGCUGUAUCUCAUUGGCAGUUUGAAUGUAAAGCCCUGUUUGGGUCAAAGACGUCCAAGACGUGUGAAAUGUACAUUUAUUAUUAUGAGGUUAUAAACUAAAUGACUAAUAACUAAUUUAUGGGAAAGGAAAUUUCAAAUUUUGGUGGAUAGGAAAGCUUGCAUUUGGUGCUAUGCUGAUUAAUGUGGUUCUGUUCAUCUGGUUUCACUUUACAAUGAGUGUAAUUUUUUUAACAUGAGUAAAAACAGCUAAGUUAGCGAUAGAGUUCAGUGAAUACAGCUCUGACUGUGAGCAUAUUGUAAAAAAUUUUUGUCCUAAAGAAAAAAAAAUAAUUAUUUAAAUUAAUGCAAUCAACUCCAAAGUAAUGGUUGGUGUGGAAUCAUUCAGAGCAAAGUUGUUAUAGUUCAAGGAAAGUAAGAGACUGUUACCCUAAUUCUGUCAAAGGAUUAGAGUCAUCUGGAUGAAUGGAUGAAGCUGUGGUGGUCUCAUUAGACAUGAGCUUGACUAACCAAUGACUCUAACACUGAGGUGACAUGUUACGAAGACAGCAACCUGCAUUUGGAAACAGGAGAAUGACUACUUACUAAAACUGACAUUAACAUAAAAAGACAAUAAAAUGCAGGGCUUAGAGGGGUAAAGAGUCACACAUCUCAGUUUGAAUCGUAUUUAUUAUUUAUUUAAAAAGAAUAUCUAUCUAUCUAUCUAUCUAUCUAUCUAUCUAUCUAUCUAUCUAUCUAUCUAUCUAUCUAUCUAUCUAUCUAUAUAUAUAUAUAUAUAUAUAUAUAUAUAUAUACACACACAGAAACACAAUACAAUCCAAAAGUUUGGACACACCUUCUCAUUCAAUGCAUUUUCUUUAUUCUCAUUACUAUUUAAAUUGUAGAUUCUCAGUGAAGGCAUCAAAACUAUGAAUGAACACAUGUGGAAUCAUGUGCUUAAGAAAAAAGUGUGAAAUAACUGAAAACAUGUUUUAUACUUUAGAUUCCUCAAAGUAGCCACCCUUUGCUUUUUUUGAUAGCGCUGCAAACUUUUGCUGUUCUCUCAAUGAGCUUCAUGAGGUAGUCACCUGAAAUGGUUUUUACUUCACAGGUGUGCCUUGUCAGGGUUACUUUGUACUUCUGUCAUCAAGAGCAAAGGGUGGCUAUUUAAAAAAAAAACUAUGAAAUAAAACAUGUCAGUUAUUCCCCCUUUUUUUAUCAGUACAAAAUUCCACGUGUUCAUUCAUAGUUUUGAUGCCUUCAGUGAUAAUCUACAAUGUAAAUAGUCAUAUAAAAAAAUAAAUAAAGAAAAGACAUUUAAUGAGAAGGUGUGUCCAAACCUUUAGCUUGUACUGUAUAUAUAUAUAUAUAUAUAUAUAUAUAUAUAUAUAUAUAUAUAUUUAUACAUAUAUACCUGAGGCGUAAGCUUGUUUAAAGAGGGAGGAAAGCACCUGAUACAACUCCAGUCUCACUGCUUCAAGGGCGGGAUUAUGAAUAAUUUGUAAAGUUUCAAGUAAACAAGAAAAAGUUGUCCCCGAUUAUUAUUUCAAACAUAUGGGCAGAUGAAAGCUCUUGUAAAGAUUAGUCUUUAUCUUCCUGGUAUUCCAAUGAGGAUAUAAAUAAAGCUUUUUUCCAUUGCCCAGCAAGGAAAGCCUGCACUUCCUCCGCUUAUGUAAGAGUGGGUGUUGGGUCUGGCUGCUUGACCAUGAAUGGGCCUUUGUGCUCACCCAGCAGUCUGUGGCAUUGAUUUAACACAUGCCUACGGCUGUAAUAGUGUCUGAAAACAAAUCAAUUAUAUUUUCUUAAAAAGGAUUUAUUGAAUGGAUUAGCUGACAGCCAUAACAUAUUUCAAUGCCGAAAUCACAAUAUCCCUUUAAGGUUAUUUCUUCCUGCAACAAAAGGUGUUUUUGUUUAUCGCCAAGCCAAGGGCUCUAGCUUUUUAUUCAGCACGUUUAUUUUGUGUUCAACAGAACGUGGGAAGGAAAAAGUGCCUGUUUUUUUGUCUCUUUGACAAAAAUAGAAAAAAAAAGUGCUUCAUCUGGCUGUAAAAGUGACUAAAGCUGUUUCACUUUGGUGUCGAGCUUCUUGUGCUAGCAUCUGAGAACCUGCAGGAGAAAGUCCAGUAAAAGCUGAAGAGAAGAUAUUUAGAUUUACCUGUGGAUUGUUUUAAUAUUAACCCUUUCUUAUUCUGGAACCACAAAAAAAUAAAAUUAAGUGACAACAGCAGCAAAACAACAACAACAACAAAAAAACACUAAUUAGCUUUUUGUUUUUUUUUGUGUUUUGUUUUGUUAUUUUGUUUGUUUUUUUCAGAGUCUGAAUUGUAGUCAGGACCACAUCUGAUCAUAAAUAAAAUGUUGUUAAAAACUGCAAUGAAACCAGGUCCAAUUCCAUAGAGGAGAGACAUGCAGCCUUUUUUAUAUUAAUGCUCUUAUUACACAGCCACCAAUUUAAUCUGCAAAAAGUAUGAUGAAAAGUAUUGGACUAAUUAUUUCACUACCUCAUUUAGGUCACACAGUGUUUGGCUUAAAGACAAGGAAAAUAAAGGUCAAGUAUUACAUUAACCAACUUUGAGGUUGGACAGGAAUCGGCCUCUUUUGGCCAGGUAAGUGGGUUGACAAUCAUGACACAAAUGAUUUUAUUUAUUUCGACAAACUUUUAGCAGACAGUUUCACAGGCUUAUAUUUAAACUAUGAUACAUGAUGAGAAAAAGAAAAGAAAAAAAAAAUGGCACCAAUAACCUACUUUAUUCAUGUCUAUAUCAGGACUUAAUUGUCACAUGAUAAGUCAUUCACAGGGACAGUUCUUUGAAUUAAUGUACUGUAAUAGUUAUUGAGUGGGCAACAAGGUGUGGGUAGCACUAGAAUCAAGAUGGGGUGGAGCAGGCACGGUGGAACAGAGAGAGAGCGUGUGAAAGAGAGGGAUGGGGAGUGUGUGUGCUUGUGUGUAUAUGUGAAACUAGGUGUUCACAAUGACGAUGUAAAGUCACCCACAGAGAAGCUAGUAUCACACCACAGCAGAAUCAAUACAAAAGUGUGAUGAUGGUGAGUGUGUUUUUCAGUUUGUUUGUAGUUGUCCAUUGCUGUGUGCUGCACUGCAUGUUCACGUGUGCUCACACCCUCUAUAAUCAGGCAAAUCUUGGCCUGUCCCUGAGCCUGCCAUGCCUUAUUAGCCAAACUCAUAUAAAGCUUGUCUUGGGACACUGGCACUUGAUGUCACAGCUUCACACCUCAGAGGAGCACUAAUGACUCCUCUGAUUCAAUUUAACGUCCCUCCUCAGCCAGAGUGACAAUACAUGGGAGCGGAAGAGCAAAAGGACUUUUAUUUAAUAGAGGGCAAAGGGACAGGAAGAAGAGGAGACUGAUGGGGAAGGAGAGAGGAAAGAAGAUGGAGAGAUUGAGGAAGCAGAGCAUGUGAGGGGAAAGUGGAAUUUUAAACACGUUCAGGGUAAAGGGGAAGGAUAUGUAGACGGCAGAGGACUUUAAUUCAAUAGGGGGCAUGGUGGUCGCAGAAGGAGGAGAUAGAAUAUAUGAGCGUUAAAGGAAGCACAUAAAUCUACUGCAAACAGGACAGAAAAAAAGGGAACAGGGUAAAGGUGAGGAGGAUUCAGCAAAGAAAACAAACUACCUUCAAGAGCAGGGUAAGCCAAUAGUAUAAAGAUCAUGUUUUUAUAUGUACUUUGGUAACUGAACUGGGUUUAGCACCUCACUCAAUGAAUAGCUGUGAAGUAAAAAAGGACAUCAUAACAGAUGGGUUUGCUGGGAUGAUUUUACAUUCUCUCUGAUUCCCUAAAGGUCAGACAAUUAACAGCAGUCAGAUUCAAAGGGACUCUCCAGAGAAACACUGGAAAGGUUUUCAGAUGUAAUAUAAAGACCACUUUGGUUGGGGGGAUUUUUCUUUCUCAGUCUAAAACCAUAUUUCAUCUAAGACAUACAUGUCUGCCUCUGGGUACCCUUGAGCAUUUUUUUGAAGCUACAUUCUCAUUUCUGUUUCCAGGUAUCUUUUUAGCAUCUUUCUAAAGGCAUCCUUUCUUUCUUUAUUUGUUUAUUUGUGUGUUUAUAUAAUGGUUUGUUUGUUUGUUUGUUUGUUUGUUUGUUUGUUUGUUUGUUUGUUUGUUUGUUUGUAGGUGUCCUUGAGGGUCUUUUUGUGUUCCUUUUGUCGUAUGUUGGCUGUACGUUUAAAAUGCACGUGAAUGAAUGUAGGUAUGUAAAUGUGCCAGACUUUAGCGUAUUCCAGUCUGUAGUCCCUCACAGGUUGCUUGUAAACAUAUUAAUUUACAUAUGUGAACAUCAAAAACAAUAAAAUUACAAGUACGUAGAAGCAGACAACAUGAAUGACCAAACUUUACAAAGACGCACAUACUGUGUAACAUUCCAAAAGGUGGCUGUAAAAGUCCUCUUCAGAAAAACUGGAACUCAAGUUAAACUUAAAGCUAAUAGCAACAGGUGAUUUGAGUGCAGAGGUGAGUGGUAAAGUACCAGCGUGUUUAAGUGCCAAAAUUGGUGUGCUGCAGGGGUGUUGGUGUAAACUGCACCUUUGCUGUGGGCCUGUUAGUUAAAAGUGCAGGUUCACUUACACAUAGCCAUAUUGCUCAAAUUUGGCACGAACAAACAAGUUUAUACAUGGACUUUUGCACAGAGAUAGCAUACCUAGAAAUGAUACUGUAUGGAAAAUUAAACUAAAGAUUCAUACACAGAAAGAUUUAAAGGGUAAACUGUUGUUUCUGUUUAAUGAGUUCUAUGUCAACAGCUCAGAGUAACCCAGUUUACCGAAAGAAGACUGACUUUGUGUACCCUGCAGCUGAUUCAGGGUACCUCUUCUUUCAAGGAUCUCUGACCCUGCUAUUUGUUGACUAUUAUAUACCAAAUUGACUUGAAUGUAAAGGACACUCUCUUCUAACCCCCCUUCAAAGACUAACGUUUUGGAAAAGACUUUUUGAAGAUAAAAAUUUAAUUGUAUAGUAUAGUCAACAUACAAAGAGCAUAGAUCUACUGAUGCUACAUUAAGCUGAACAGAAUAAAACCAUUCAAAAAUGUUCUGUCUCUCCCAUUUCUAUACUGUGAGCAGACCGUUGUCUCAUGCUGCCCUUGUUUCUUAUUGGACCUUGAUAGAUCAGCUGACUAGAGAUACAGCAUCUGAUCAGCGGACCAAGACGAAGCCUGUUUCGCACAAUCAACUAACAACUGAAAUAACACUUUCACACUAAAAAAUAUACAGAAAAGAUCACAGAUUGUCUCUGAAAUUACACUGAUCUUCUCUGUGGGAUAGGAAAGCUCCUGGAUGUUGUAAAAACAGACUUCAUCUUAAAUGCUGUCAGUCUCACAAAGCGAGUAGAUUUCACAGUUAUUCACUUUGUGCUACAGCACUAAUGUUUGAGCUGAUAUUGUAAACACUGCAAUAACAUACAAUAAAUGACCAUAAAUAACAGCCUAAUUAUCUGAAUAAUAAUAAAAUGGUGUUGAUAGAAUUAACCACUCAGUGCUGAUUAUUGUUCAUCCCUAGGAUCACUCCUGACCUUACCUUGACGCCAAGGGAACCACAUCAUCACUCUAAGGCUGCUGUUGCUGGACUGCACCGUUGAUGGGUGUUAUGAAGGCCUGAGAGGUGCUUUGUGUGUUUGUAUGAGAGAGCAUGAUGGGAUCAGGUGUCAGUAUUUGUCACUUUGGAAAGAGAGUAGCAUGAAUAUCCAGAGAGCUGUUAGUUCAGAGGACAGGAGAUGAUGAGUGGUGGUUAUUAUACUGUACAUUCAACACAUACCAAGCUUCAAGGUUCUUUACUGUGAUAAAACAUCCAUGUAUUGUGUUUGACGGCUCAGUAACUCAGUGAAAUGUCAGCUGCAUUUAUAGAUCUCCUCCCCACCUCAUUGUUAGUUACUUAGCCUGCUGCUCAGCAGUGUGUCAGUGUACUAAUACAUUAACAUUGUAAACAGUCUUUGAGACUGUUGCAUACAUUACAGUACAAACAGUCAUUCAGAUUUGCAUGUGUAGAGCCUUUCUGGUGCUGACAGUUUAGAGACAACAUAAAUCACCUUGUUUUUGUUUUUCAGUUUGUGGUGAAGUCACAGGAGGCAGAGUCAGUUCUGGGGGUCAUUGUGAGUUAUAAUUAUCUGACUCCAUAAUCUGCGGCUUCCUUGGUAGCAAAGGGCUGGAUAUAUCAGCAUACUCACAACUCACAACUGCCUUUUUUUUUUUUUGCUACUUUUGGCCUUUGGCUCUGCAGUGAUUUCUGCAAAAAGCAACGAUUGAGCAAAGAACCAACCAGUGAAGUUCAUGCAUCCAAGCCAGUGUCAAGGAUAGAGAGUAAUAGUGUGCAAGAUAAUUCUUUAAGUAGAAGUGUUGCUGGAGUUUCGACCUUUUCAACUUCUGGUCUUUUUCUGUGCACCAUGGAGGUCGAUGAAGUUAUAGCAGGAUCCCCCUCUUUCUGCUCCAAGCUAAAGUCACCAAGAGCUGGGGACUUUUGUCUCUGAGUUGUUUGUCUGACCGUCUUUCAAAUUUCCACCUGAACCCAAAACUGGACAGAUUUCUAGAGAAGGGUGUGAAAUGUCAAAGUCACUGAGAGCUUGUACUCCUAAUUUACCUGGUGAAUACACUCAGAAAGGGACUUGUUUUCUUUUCAUGUUAAUCAAUCUGGUGUAUAAUUUAGUUUUUAUCCUAUAGAACUCCAUCAGAGAUCGAUGGACUGCAACCCCCCCAUGAACCUAAGAGUAAAAGCCUCCCAGGUUGUAUUCUACGUCUUUUUAAAACAAGAGAAGGACGGUACAAUUUAAGAGGGGUUUAUAUUUUUAAAACAGAAAAAAAGCAAGAACAAAUGUGAAAGCUAGAUGUGUUUCAGUUUGGGGAGUUAAGCAAUGGAAUAACCUUAACGAUGGGUUAAAAUUGUGUAACUCACAGGUAAUAUUUAAAAAAGCAUUAAAAAGCAAAAUAAUUCAGGAGUACAUACAGCUUUGAGUAAGACAUUUUCUUUCAUUCUUUCUGUUUUUGUUUUUUCCUUUCGUAGUGCAACAUACUAUUUUAAUGUUUUCCUUUUAAUAUUAAAGUGUCUUUCUUUUUUUUUAUUUUAUUUCAACAUUAUCAACUGUUUUAAAUAUUAAAAUGAUGUUACAAGGAUUGUAAAGGAUAGGCAACUAUAAGCAUUGUGCUUCCGCCUAAUCCUUUUUUUGGUCAAGUUUAUAAUUCCGUUUGUUUCUCAUUUGUUGUUAUUGUGACCAAAAAUAAAACCAUUCAUUCAUUCAUUCAUUCAACCUAAUUGAGAAGUGUCUCUUUAGAAACACACUAAAUCAGAGGUUUUUUUGGUAUUACCAGCUGUAAUGGAAACUCCUGUCUAAAGCCUACUUGUGCUUCGUUGAAUUUUGAGGCAAAUUAAGUCUUACAAGAAUUAAUACUGCGUAAAACAAAAAUAUCUACAACCCAGCAGGAUGCAGCCUUUUUCUGAAGUGCUCAGCGCAUCCAGAAAUGCCUCCCACGCCAUUUGAGACAGCCCAAACUGCUAACACAGCAUUGAAUACAUGCUGAAAAUAUACAUUUGUUUAGGCUCUUAAACCACUGCAGAGCUCUUCUCAGAGGUCACAUUCUUUAGAAAAUACCAUAAAAAUUACUUAGGAAUAGAUGUUUUUAGAUAUAGGUAUAGCUUGAGGCAAAACAAAGCAAAAAUGGAGUGACACAUGAAUCACCACCACAGGGAGGAAGGUGUCAUAGUAGUCUUAAAAUGUCAUCUUGUUGUGUUGUUGGUGCCAGAAGAGAAAGAGUGGAAGUAAAGUCUCAAAACUAGAACUCUACCCAUUACCUGCUUUUGUGGUACCAUGCUAUGGCAGCACAUAGCAUGAAGUAUUCAGGACUUUUCCAUAAUUCUAACUUUAUAGGCACGUAGGGUAACGUCAAACAGUGGGAACUGUUUGUCAUCCUUGUCUGUACAAUGAGCUUCAUAAUCAACUACUUGAUAAAGGACCCAAGAGCUCUCCGUUUAUCAUUGUUUCACAUGCAUGUUUUUUCUGUCAUCAAAGUGUAAAUAUCUGAAAGCUUUACCUUUGGCAGUUCUGACAAAUCAUCCCUCCAAUUAACAAUCCGAGGGCUGGUCUGUCCUGUUUGUUAGGGUUAACCUACUGAUGUAAAACCAUUGGCUCCAGUCAGUAAAACUGGUUUGUACUGCAGUGAUCACCUGAUUACAUAGAUUUGCUGGUCUCAAAGUUCCUCAUUCUCGGUCAUGCAGCUGGCCAUUUGAGGUGAACCAAAACUACAACUUCAUCAUGAAAUUAUGACUUUACUUGACUUUACUUUUCAUAAUACAAUGAUUUUAUUCUUCUUACAUAACGGCUUAAUUAUCCAUAUCAGAACUUCACUUUGGAGGGUAGGAUGGAACAGGAGAUCGACAGGCGGAUCGGAGCAGCGUCAGCAGUGAUGCGGACGCUUAACCGACCAGUCGUGGUGGAGAAAGAGCUGAGCCGUAAGGCGAAACUCUCGAUUUACCGGUCGAUCUACGUGCCGACUCUCAUGGCCAUGAACUGUGGGUAAUGACCGAAAGAACAAGAUCGCGGAUACAAGCGGCCGAAAUGGGUUUCCUUCGCAGGGUGGCCGGGCUCAGCCUUAGAGAUUGGGUAAGGAGCUCGGACACUCGGGAGGCGCUCAGAGUAGAACCGCUGCUCCUCCACGUCGAGAGGAGUCAGCUGAGGUGGCGCGGGCAUCUGGUUAGGAUGCCUUCUGGACGCCUCCCGUUAGAGGUUUUCCAGACAUGUCCCAGGGAGGAGUGUUUCCACCGGGAGGAGACCUCGUGGCCGGCCUAGGACCAGGGAUUAUCUCUCGCCUGGCCUGGGAGCGCCUGGGAAUCCCCCCGGAGGAGCUGGUGGAAGUGGCCGGGGUGAGGGCCGUCUGGGCUUCCCUCCUGAAGCUGCUCCCCCCGAGACCCGGAUGAAGCGGAAGAAAACGAAACGAACUUCACAAAGUCUUUAUUCUCACAACAUGACUUUAAUCUUGUAACAUUUUUUAAUCUUGAUUUUCUGAGGACUUAUUCUCAAUACUUGCCAUAUCAUGAUUUUUUGGUGUCUACAUGUUUGUGCACAAGUAAGCAUGGUGACUCAGAGUGUAUUUAUCUGAGUGUGUUAUGUUAGUCAGGGCCGGUAAAUGUUGAGGAGACGUUGAAUAUAUGGAAAAACUGUCAAAAAGAGGAGAUGUUAUCUAUGGCUGGUAAAUGUCAAUAUCAGAAAUGCUGUAAAUACGAUGCUAACCAGUAGAUCAUUCACACAGCUUGCAGUCUACAUUACUUUGAUGUAUAAUCACAUUUAUGGAAGGUGAAAGUCAAGCUUUGUACGUCAGUUGUCUGUAUUGGUAAGGAGCUCCGCUGACCUUUAGCACAGAUUUGUCUACAAAAUAUCCCUUUUGUAGAUAUGUGUACUUGUCUGCUCUUCAGUUAUGUGAAGUCUGGCAUCCUAAUAUGAAGUCUGGCAUCCUAAUAAUCUGCAGAGGCAGACUGCAGAGAUGUUCUCUGAUGUUAUUUUCAAUCUGCAGCGGAAGCUCCCGCUUUAUGUAAGCCAAUUUAUCCUGUUUAUUCAAUUUUGAGGGAAAUUAAUUUGAACAAGUACAAAUAUAGAAACAUAAAUACCUAUAUUCCAGCUCCAGUCAUGCUGUCAGAGCGUGGGUAACACUGGAUGCAUUUCAGACUUGACUGGCUGGCAUACAGUGUAAAUGUGGGACGGCAGUCAUUUUGUUUUUGCCAGAGUGUAACACAAGCUGUUUCUGUGGUUUCUGUCUCACAGCAGGAUAACACUGUCCUGUCUGUGAACCACACAACCACCAGAUUACCCCACAUACAUUUUACGAACAUGACUUCAUUGAUGACUUGAAAGCACUCACUUUUCUGCAGAUCAAGAACCAUUUCCUUUUUUUCUCUUUUUAUAUUAGGGUCAGGAAUGUUUGAUUGAAGGAAUAAAAUGAUGUAGCAGUCAUAUUUCCUAGGUUAAAUGAAGCAUGUGAGCACCUGCAGAGCCCCAGUCUGGUGACCUCCAUUUCCUCUAUAAACCCAGAGGCGACUUGUCACACAGCAAACGCCCAGGCCCCAGAUGUACCCUUUUGUUUCAUUCAUCAACAACAUGUCAUGUUACAUGUAAACUGAGAAAUGAAUCCCCACCUCUGGAAGUUGCUCAUCCCGGCAGACUGAUCACCUGCUUUUCCCUGUGGGAGCUGGAUUCAGCAGUUAAAGAUGGGAGCUUUGAAACCGAGUUCAGCCUUACCACAAGUGUUUCCAACAGCUGCCUGGUGAAUUUGUUUCCUCUUUCAUUUAGCAGAACAGCUAGUUUGAGAGGCAGAGGGCGAGCAAAGAUAGCCACAUUAAGCCACUGUCUGGCUCUUGUACUGCUCUCAACAACACAUGCUGUGUACACCUACAGGAGCUGAGAGCGCCUGCUGUUCCAUGCCCUCGGGGUACCGACAGGAUGUUUGUGCGCUUUCAUUUUUCCUUUCCAGCUCCAAAAUGAAGCGAAGAAAAGGCUAUGUGCAUGCUGUACAGAAAAAUUAAAUCAUUGCCCUAACCAACUGCCUCUCCCUUUAAAAUGUUGGCUCUUCCUUCAGCUAAGGCAGUUUUCCAUGACUUUUUUUGUCAAACUCAAGUGUCUUGUUAUGACAAAAGAACAACUAAAUUCUUUAUACAAUUUGACAUUUAAAAAACUGAAACUACACAGACCAGAGCAUGAAUUAUGUAUCACAAGUAAGCAUUGACCUUGGGUGUUGAGGAAAAGCAGACAUAAAAGUCUUUACUGGCCACAGAGACUCCAUUUCUCCUAACAAACUCAUGAGUAAUUGUUCCUUUAUUGUCUUUUCUAACCUCAGUACAUUUUUUUUUAAAUAGUUCUUCCUGAUUUCUCUUUUUAGGGACAACAUGAAGCUCAUUUUGUACAUAGCUGUCCCAGUCAAGGUAAAAUUCAUAAAGUAGGGCACACCUCCUUUUGGUAACAAGCCACUACCGAGGUGUCCUAAUAAUGUCUUGUUUUGCUAAAAUUAGCAUCUAAUUCCUUGCUAAGUUAGCGCUAAUGUUUACUAAAUAGAAGUUCCCACUGAAUAGUUUGUGACUGCAAAUAUCACUAAAAAUUGAACAUCACUCUUCCUCACCAAGAAGAGUGCCAAUGGUGUAUACCAAGUUAGACACCCCCUCGAAAGAUGAAUGUUGCCGACCACUUGCUUUUCUAGUUGUACCAACUUUAGUAAUGACCGUACAAUAGCAAUACACAGCGGUCUACAUCUCCGCACACAAACCUCAACCAAAACACCGCUCUAUAGCCACAAAUAAUGCACAGAACAGCACCUAACUUCAUCAACAGUACAUAUAGGGUCUCAGCCAUAAUACUAGCCACCAAACAUCUUUUUAGCUGUGCCUGGUUUCUUAAGCAAAGAGACUAAACACAACUCACCCACUCUCCUCCAGCAGCUGCUUGUUUGUGGGAGAGCCCUGACAGGUCAAUCAGCAGAAAAUGUAUGUUUAUUACUUCAUGGAAAUGCAAUCAGACUGAGACGCUGAGACAGAAGAACUACCAUGUCUGCAGUGCACAUACAAGAUACACAAGAACUCUGAUGCAUAUAUAUAGACCGCUGUGUAUUGCUAUCGUACAGUGGUUACUAAAGAUGAUAUAACCAGAGAAGCAAGCGGUUGGCAAUCCAUCUCUUGAGGGGGUGUCUAACUCUCUGUUACAGUGUCUUUGACCAUGACCUAAACUUACACCAGAAUAUCCCUCUAUUCCUUGGCUAAAAGCAGUUCUGAAAAAGAUUCGUAGAGACAAAUGUCAUAUAUAAAGGCAUAGGGUCUUUGUGCAAAAGUAGAGCCACAACAUAAACAUACUUUACAUACAGAGGGAUUGUUGUGUCACCUGUAUGUUUUCAGAUUAUGCAUGUGUGAAAGCCUAUUGAGCCUGUGAUGAAAGAGAUGUUUGUUUUUAUUGUUGUUUCUCAGUAUGUUGAGGGUCCUCAGUGCAGUGAAGUGAUCUGGCUCAUUUGUGCCCUGAAUGCUGAUAAACCUUUGUAGACAGUGUCCAAAGAAGUCUUCAUCAUUUUAACCGUAAAAAGUGCAGAGGCAGCCACAGGGACCUGGAAUUACCCCAGAAAGGACAGACAUGGCCCCCUGGUAGCACUAAUCCCAUGUUUGAUGAGCUUUAGACUGUGUUUUUUUGGGCUCAUUUGCACAGGUUAAGCAGGCCCAAAAAGCUGCCCAGUCCUUUUGUAAAUCAGGCCCCUCAUAUCCCACACAACAGACCAAAAUUUGCAUAAGUGGAUGCUGUCCCUGGAAGCCAAAUGUAAGUGCUCUAAAUGAGCUUUUUUCCUUCCUUUUUCUUUUUUCUAUUGCCCAGAAGAGAUCCCACUGCUGUGACAACACAUAUGAUUGCAUGUUGCAAUUUUUGAUUUAAUCUUAGCAAAUAUUUUCUGAAUAAGUUUAUGUUUCAGCAUUCAUAUUUUCAAGAAUUUUGUACAAUUUUCAAGUAGUGAUCCCAUUCAAAUAAUAGCAGGGCAUGGUCACUUGGUAAAUACAUACACUACGAGUGUGUGACAAAAAGUAGCACCCAAAAGAGUCCCAAAUAGCAUCCUUUUGCUUUCGCAUCCAAGCUUGCACCAGUUAGACAGAAACUUAGCCUCCAAUAACUUACCCGUUACCUGUGCGCUUUAGCCCCAUCAUGGUGGUUGUCCAACUUUUAUGCAAAGUGAAUCAGGCUUGUGGGAAGAAGAAUUAAAAGGCACUCACCAACCAUCAGGUAUGAAUAUUAUUUUACUGCUCUGUGGAUCCAAGGAGAAGGACUGACUCUCUGAAGUUUCAUCAACACAAAGCAGAUGGGGGAUUAUCACAUUUAAAUCAUCGUAUAAGAUCAGGGGUGAAGACUUAAAGCUUUUCUUACUGUCUCUACUUCAUAUUCCAUUUUUACUUUUCAAUAAAGAAUUAAAAGGGCAGCCUUUUCCUGAAGCCCAGAAUGGAAACUGUCCAGAAAAGUCUCCCACGUAUGAGACAACCUGAACAUCAUUGAACCCAUGGUGAAAAUAUACAGUAGUCUGAGAUUUAGACUCUUAUACCACUGCAGAGUUGCUCUCAAAGGACACAUCCCUCAGAAAAUACCAUUUUAAUUGCUCAGAAAAGCAAACUCUGCAUGUUCCUGUUCAAAUAUUCUGUUUUCUUAUGUCUUAAUUAACAGGAGAGAGCUUUGGGAAACCUGUGGGACCCUACCUGCUCUGGCCAAAUUACUCUACUCGAGGAUUUUUGGUAUCUCUCAUCAUAGCAACAUAUGGGAGUUUUUUUUUUCUUUUUCUUUUUUUUUGGUUUCUUGUCAGAUUGGACAAGUUGGUGUUUCUUUUUUUAGGCCAUGGUUUCUUCUCAAAAUGUCUUGCUGGAUGAGUCAAGAUGCUGUUCCCGUGAUGAUGUUUUCCUCUCAUGUUCACAGCAGUGUUUUCCAACAGAUCUGAUGUGUCACUCAUGUUUUUAACCACAAAGAACGUCCUGAUGACACGUCACCAGGACAUCUGGUGACGUUUUUCACACAUAGGUUCAGAUUCAGUUCAAGUCCGCCUGUUGGGCACACCACAUGUGUCAUCCCUCCUGUUUUUGUUUCACUGACUUUGUACUGUGUGUCACAUGAGUCAGAAAAACAAGCGCCUAGUUUGUUAGGAACACUGUAAGAUGAGGACGAGACAACAUGCUGUGGCUUCAAUUAUUUAAGGUGAAGGGAUGAUUUGCACAUGUAAAAUUAACUACCAAACUAGUGGAAAUAUUUAAUGAAUGAUGCAACAUUAACAAAUUCAAGAAAGUGUUAUUCAGUUUAAAAGAAGGACCUGACUGGUUUAUUUAUUUUUUAAAAUUAAACUUUUUUUCCCCCAUUAUUAUCAAUUACUGGGCCUUUUCUGGAGCAACUAAAAUUUGUCAUAUUUUGCAUAUUUUGUCAAAAUCUUCUUGUGUUUUGACAGGCUGCUGUUUGGUCAAGCAAGUUUUUACCAUCAUGAAAACGUCUUGAGCACAAAUCCUCUUCUAAGAACAUUCACUCUUUCUGUCAGUGGAUUCCAGCUGAUGCAUUUAAGCAAAGCCACUCACUAUGUUGCUGCUCUGGUCUGGUCAGUUGUCUGGUCAGUGCAACUGCAGAAAUAAUGAGCUCAAUAACGGAAGUUUGGUUUGUUGAAUACUUUGAUCAGUUUGACGAAGAAAUAGCCAUUGUCUGGUAGAGAUGAAAUAAAACUUUUAAUCUGUUAAGAAACGAAUAGAUGCUUCUAUUCUCUCUGUCAGAGACAGGGUAGUAAAGAAGUUUUAGGCUUUUGCUUUUUCAGUGUAUUUGUCUUCAUAGUAUUAAUUAACAACUCAUUCUGGCUGACGUAUUAUUAUUAUUAUUAUUAUAUUAUACUCUCAGCUCUUAGACACAGGAAGGUGAAUUAUUUCAUUCAAAUGUAAGACUCUGGUGACCAGGUUUGUUGUGAUAACAAAUUUAGCAAGUUGUUGAUACUUUCUGUUUCUACAGAUUCAGAAACCCAUAAACAAAUAACAAAUUUGCUAAUCUGUCAGGAGAGGGUUUAUUUUUCCAAUUUUUUGGCGUGUCUACUCUGGAUUUUAGCAUUGAAUUGUUUGCAGCACUUUGAAGGAGUAUUUGGGGACAAAGGAAUUGGUAAACACGUUUCUUUCUUUCUUUCUUUCUUUCUUUCUUUCUUUCCUUCUUUCCCAUAGUGCCAUACAAAGCCACAUACAAAGUCACUGAACAUUUGUAGCGUCUACUUUGAAACAUAGUCUAUGCUCCUGAUCCAGCUGUGACCACAACUUUGUAGUUUGUGCAGGUUAUUUACAUUUGCAGUAAUUGUGAGCCUAACAUUACUGUGCUAACACAUUCACCAUCGUGAACAUUUUACUUUGAGUUUUACUUUUUUUCCCCUUUUUUCUGUUUUUCUGAAGUUUUACACACUUCCUUCUGCUUUAUUGAAGUUAACUAACCUGUUACCUUUCAGGUAUGACUGAGUUAUAGCCGUCAUAAAGUGAACACAGAUAAUUUCACUUCUCUGUGACCCAGUACCAGUGAUAGACCAGCCUUUUUCUUUGUUCAUUCAGACCUUUAAUAGAAAUCAUAAUAAUAAUGUUUGAGCACUCUCAUGCUUGUGUUAGUGGAUUGGCACCAGCUGUGUCACUCCAUCUUUGCAAUCACUGCCUUAUUCAUUCAACUUCAAUCACAUUCAACCACCAGAUAGCUUCUUUAUUGUACUUUUUGUAUAUUGUAGGUAAGGACGGAAGCCAAGUUAAAUCUCCUUAUCAAGCUAACUGUGCAUUUAAUGUACUGUUUAGAUCCUCCGAGUAACCCCUAUUUGGGAGGUGCUGGUCCAGCUCUCCUUCCUAGUCGUAGUUUAAACGUCUAGAAAAUAUCCUCUGGGAUUUGUAGAAGCUGGAAGUGUCUCAUUGAGCUGCUAUCUACUAACAUGUGAAACCCAGUGUACCUCUUGGACCACUUAUUAAGAGAAAUUAUUCCCAGAACUGAACUUUGAAUGCAGUUUACUUUUUUUUUUUUCAACUCGGCUAGUUCAAAAAGCUUAGAAGCCAAUUCAGAUUAAAAUUCAGAUUGAAAAGAUUAAAUGGAAAAAAAAGAAAAGGAAUGAUACUAAAUGGAUAGUUCAGAUCCAAUCCUUGAAUUUAGAAGCCUGAGGCCCGAUUCAGAGAUAAUUGGUCGUCUUUAACUGACAGGGGAUGUAGGAUUAUUCCAAUUAGCCAGCUUGUUCUCAAUAGAAAAAGUUUACUAUCAGGUUUUUGGUGUUUGCAGAGUCUCUCUCUUUUUACAGCUCCUAGACUCUAAUCUGCAUCAUGGCGCAUGCCGUAGAUCAGGUCCUGAGCAUGAACGUCUCAGAAACUGACCAAGAAAUGUCCUGACCUUUACUUACGAUCAUACAAAUAUUUGGAAGCACAAAUCUUUGAAAAUCAGCCCUCAUUCAGUCACCUCUUUAUCAUUACUGUGCUACACUGCUUCUUGAAUUGACCUUUUCUCUAUAAGAUCAUUUUACUCUACUUAAGUGCUUUGCUCCUCAAUCACUCAUCACUUUCAUAAUCAGGCUGCCUCCUGGGAAAGCCUGUAGACCUGUGCUGGUAUCUAGGUCAGGUUUUUUUGUUAGUCCUGGAAUGAUGCAAUACUAAACACAGCACACAAUCAUGAUUUUUCCAUGUGGGAAUGUUAAAGAGCAGACAUGGAGACACAAAGAAUGGGUGUCUGGGUGUUCAUGGGUGUCUGAGCCUUGUAAAAGUCUCCCUGAUACUCACCUUCAUGUUAAUCCAUCCUGAACUAGGCCUGCUCUGCUUCCUCUCAGAUCCAGCUCAUGUUCCAGCUCGUGUCUGUUUCCCUCUAUUUCUCCCCCAUCUUCAUUCUGUCUUUCAUCUCUCUCACCUCUUCCACCCUGCCGUCCUUCUCUCUCUCUCUCUAUUAAGAUCAAUGCGUCUCGGCUGAGAGGGAACGUCCGUCGGGUGCGAGCUGCUCCGCUUAACCUCCUGUAGUGGCUCACUGUACCCCUCUAUAUCACAGAGCAUGCACACACACACACACCCGCCCACUCGCACACACCAGUGUAAAAUCACGUGUUCAGUGUGACGGGUUGGCUGUGUGUGUUCAGAGAUUAAUCUCACACACACACACACUCACACACAAAGUGAAUCACAGAGGCAGGCAGAAAGGUUACAUUGAUCUUAGUCAUGGAUGAGAUUGCAAAAGCCUCCAUCCCUCAUCUCUGUCUCUCUUCACCUCUCUCUCUCUCUCUCUCUCUCUCUCUCUCUCUCUCUCUCUCUCUCUCUCACUCUGUCCACACCACGCUUGCCCAUGCUUUCUACUCUUUAUUUUGGCUCCCUUUAUUCACGCUUUUCUCUCCUCCUCUUCUCCUUCUCCCUAUCCGUCUUAGUUUCUCUUUCAUUUCUUCUCCCUCCAUCCCUUCCCUCUUCAUCCUCCUCCUCCUCCUCUCUGAGUGCCGGUAAUACUCUCUAUAAAUCAUGAUCACCCUUACACACACACUCUGCCAGACGGCAUACUAAAACACACACAGCCUCAGCCGGCUGUACGUUGAUGCAGCCUGCACAUGUCGUUAACCAUGCAUUAACUAUGCAUUGGCUUUGUGUGUGUGUGUGUGUGUGUGUGUGUGUGUGUGUGUGUGUGUGUGUGUGUGUGUGUGUGUGUGUGUGUGUGUUUGCAGUUAAGAUCUGAAUUAUGUAACUUCACAGUCAAACAGAUGCAUUAGUCUGCAGCAUAAAAAAAACACACCGACACAAGCAAAUGAAGCAGACCCACACUGAGAUAAUCAUCACAUCUGAGACAACACUGAAGUUCCUCUCAUAAUAACUUGCCACGAUUCAACCAGGCCAUCCAGUUGGAGGCAGACAGAUCUGUGUGAUGAGAUUCUGGGCUGCAGGACGUGUUCAGCGUUCAGAUUUCUUUCCCUCUCCUAAAGCAAAGACAAAAAGAAAUCUAAGGCUGGCAUUUAGCCUGGCAUUGCUCAAAGUGAUGCCAUGGUGAAUAAAGAUGAGGUCAAACUGGUGAUUUACUGGACCAGGCAAUUGAAAAAAGUGUCCAUUUAAAUAAUUUUACCCAUUUCUCAUCUUUUUCAUGUGUUUUUUUCCCUCUCAAAUUCAGACGCUCAGCCACCUCUUUAUCUUUAUUAAGCCAGAAAAACACAUUCAAGUUCUCUGUUACAUUAUUCAAAGGGGGACCUGUUAUCAUUUCCAGGCUGAUGUUAAAGAUGGCCUAGUAAACUCAUUUUUCACCUCUUAUGCAGAGUUACUCACUACAGGUGUCCCAGCCUGACAGGAUUUUCACCAUCCUCCUUUUCCGUUACUGGCGCACACUUCAUUCUGUCUCCUAUUACACUGGUAUAAAGUUUGACAGAGCUUGUAGGUGUUGCUGUGUACACAGCUUUGUCAUCAUUGUUUAACCCACAAUGACUUCUUUACAGAAAACAUCCAAAGUUAGAUGUUAACAUCAACCUCCAUUAUAUCUUAGUUGGUGAAGCAGCUCCAGGUUGCAGUGAUAAGACAUACAUCCACCUCAUACUGACCUUUGUCUCUGUUAGGGUGAUUUUUAACCAUUCAUGUAACUCUUUAGGGUGGUUAAACUACCUCAGGUUUUUUAGUGCUAGACUUAAGUCCCCUAGGUGGUGCCUUGUGUCCCAGGGAACAAUCCUAAACUAGGGCCUUCUACACCUGUUCAAAAUUACCCGAGCUCCUAAAACACGUUAUGUUCAUACCCUAUGGACCUUUUCUAUUGUCUAUAGCAGAGAUGUUGCACUUUUAUGAAAUUUGCUCCACUGUAUUUGGUGAAAACAAACUAAACAGUCACAUGUUGCAUUAUUAUGACAGCUGCUUGUUCAGGGCAGUAUAAUGAAGUAAAAGACAAACAUAAGAAGAGAACUGCUCAUCUAUUGGUCAUAGAGGGAGGUAAAUCCAUCCCCUUUGACCAGAUUAUUUGCCACAGAGACAAUAGAGCAACACCAAAUUUCUGCAGUCUUGUUGUUUCUCUUUUUCUCAAGUGUUCAUGUCACAAAUGUGUUUGACAAGAAAGUGUGUUUGACAGGUAUGAGCUGCAGGUGAGGCAGAGAGCUGUCAGCGUGAUGUUCUUCACAUGAGAGGAACAAAUCAGUGACAAAGACAUUGAGCUGAGACUGAAGCUUACUGGGAAGCAAAUUAAGACCGUCAUUUUUGAGCAGACCAGGGUUCACUAGUUUGAGCCAAUACAGUGUUCCUUUGAGUAAUGGCACCCCUCCAAGCAAACAGACCAGUGUUCAUUUGAAGCUGACCAAACAGCUCUGGUUUGACUGAGACUUUAAGAGCAACUUUCUGAGAAAUACUAGAUCAACAAAGUGCAGAAAGGAGCAGAAAGUCUGAGCAGUGAAAUGGAUUUUCUACACCAAGGAAAAAUUGAAGGAGCUUUUAGGUGUGAGUCUCCAUGAAAGAGCUGCUGGGCGGGCCUGUCCUGCAACUUUGUCCUGGUAGGUUCAGGUUUAGUCCUGGAAAGUUCUCCAAAUGAGCCGCUCAGUAAAGUCCUGAGUCAGGUCCAGGGGUAAAGCCAACAUCUGUGUAUCUUAUAACUUUGCCGAUGUUUUUUUCUGGACAUCCAGCAUUGCCAAAUGAUCAAUAUGGAUUUUGAAAAUACUGUAGGUCUCCAGUCAUGUAAUCCUUUGAUUAAUCUGGUGAGAAAUAACCAGAUAGGUAAGCACACUUAAUGCUUGGGCGAGGUUUAAAAGACAUACAAUGAGCACAAUUAUAACAUCUGUAUUAUAGACUGUAUAUAGAAUGGACAGCAUCUGCCUCCUCGCUGGGUGAAGCCACUCUGAAAACAGCAUCCUUUGUUGGUGGGCUGCAGUAUAGGUCAUAAAUCCCACCUCCACCAGCAAAGCUUAUGGGGCUGUGAACAAACUUUAGAAAUUUAUUACACAGAAUAUACAUUUUCUUCCCCCCUGCUUGCGAUGUUGACAUUUAGUUACUGUAAGACUGGUUUGUGUUUAAGUCCUCUUUUUUCUGUGCAGCUCCGUUUUUAAAUGUUAUGAGGAGGUUCAUGUUUUCUAUGAUUGACACCUGAUACAGCCUGCCGGUGUACAAAGAUUGUGUAGCUCACCGGGGGGGGGAUACGCUGUUUGAGCCGAGCGUCAUCACAGCGACUCUCGGUGACUCUCCAGCCGAAUGCAUUCAACACUACUGCGCAAUCCUGGUUCAGGAAAUGAAGAAAAAUCCCAGAAAUAACCGGGAGCUUUUUGGCUUUAAAUCCUAAACUGACAGGAGGCCGAACCAAGUUGUCCAUAGUAAAUACAGUUUUUGGUCUGUCUUUACUGAAUGUUAAAGUGUGAUCAUUUCAAAAAAGAAAGCAAGUCCAAAGGAGAACCUGUAAUGUCAGGCUACAUACCUGUCUCAUAGUUCACCUCUACCUUCAUCUCCAAAUCACCUUCUCUCUCCUGCAGGUUUGGUUGUGACCUUUCUGAACAUCACUAGGUUUCAGUGUGUCAUAUAGUGAGUUCAGAGCUGUCAGAACUGAUUACAGCUAAAACAAAGGGCUUUAUACGCCUGCAGCACAUAACACGCCACAAAACCUACAUAUCUUUGAGUUCUGUCACAGUCAACACCAGUCAACGGCAUGCUGAUGCAUCCAGUCCUCUUAGGAAACACUUUGUAGACAUUUUGAUUUGCUGCUGUAACUUGCAUCAACGCUCGCAAGGAGAAGACGUCUCAUCUCAUGAGCUUAGAAACACCUUGUCACCUCCACUUACUCUUUCAUAAUUCACUGAACAGACGCACUCAGCUAUAAAGUCAGAUGUUGUGGGUACUUUUGAAACGCUGUGUAGGUGCAGGGCUGUGCAGCUGAGUUUGAAGUAAAACAGACUUGGAGUUAAAUUCUAAAUCAAUACUGUUGUUAGAUAUUUCUGAUCACCUACAGAUUGGUAGAUCACGAGGUUGCUGGAGGGGAGAAUCUGGUGUCUCAUCACUCAAAGUCUGGCAUGUGCUCGGUGUUUUACUGUACAUGUUACUCAGCGUUUACCAUAGCUUUAUCGUUUCUGCAGGAUGGACUCAGACUUUCUGUCUGGUGUGAGCACAUUAAGAGGAAUAGGAGGGUCUCGCUUAGGCGCAGGUUGACUCUGGAGCUAAGGUUUUUUUUUUUUCCAUUUUCACAAUUUUCAGUUCCUGUUUAAGUGGUUAAAUGGUUGAAGAUUUCAAAGUGAGAGCAUAUCCUAUGCUGUUGAGUUGUUUACAUUUUGAUAAUAUGUCAGGAAACAAGGAUAGAUAUUGAUACUAUGAAUAUUAAUACAAACUUUUCAGUACGAUUUUGCAUUAUUUGAGCAGAAACUACAAUAUCUUGUCAUAUUUUAACCUUCUCUUGUUAGGUGACCUUGAAAGCUUUGACAAGCACCUGUAGAUUAAAUACAUUAUUAUUAAUAUUAAUACCACUGUAAAAUGUCAAAUACAGCAUGUUAGAAAAAGCAGAUGUAAUCUCCAAAUGUAAUUGGGUAUAUGGGUGCACAUACUGGUGCACUGGCAAGGAGAUUUCUUGGAGUAUUUUUAAAUGCUCAGAACAGAACAAGAGCCUGAACAUUGUGCUGCACUGUUGUUAUGAAGUACAGUUGGGUUUUUCCAGUGCUCAAAGAUGCCCCUACCAUCUCUUUAUCUACACAAACGUGUCGUAAAUGGUCUGCUUCAGUAGUACAAACAUGUUCCCAUUCCGUGUAAAUAAAGCCCCCCUCAACAUUUUCCCCUUCCCUUCAGAAGACCAGGAUCCUGUGCCUUUGCAGUGCCCCUGUUUGAGGCUCUACCUCCACAUAGAAGAGCCCCUGAUGCAUAUUUGAAGAGCAGUGGGUUAUAUAUCAGCAAUAAUUCAGAGAGAUGACUUCAGACCCAGUGUUAGAUUAUUAAAUGAUAUCUGUGGCAGAUGCUCCAGCAGUGAAGCGUGUGACAAUGAUUAACCAGCACAGUUACAAGUGCUUUGUCACACCAGCCAUCAUAAAGGAGUACAUGGACACACUGCAGCCAAUCAGAAUCCAGUCAGCUCUACAGCCACUGCCCCACAAAUGACCUCUACCACUAUAUGAGUGAUUUUUUUAUUCAGAGCUUCUCCUUAUAGCAUGACCCCAGUGUCUGUUUCGAUCGCAUCACAUUAUGUGUCUCUCACAGUUAACGUAGCCGGGAAGCAUCCCACUGUGCAUCGAUACAUGACAUGAUGUCCUGCAGUCACUAGAUGAAGUCCUUUGUAGGGCGGCUGCACACAUACACACAUACACACACAGAAAUUCCAGUCUGGCUGUAAUUAUGAGGACUUUGUGAAGAUACCCAGCCUCAGGCUGACUUUAACCCUCUCUUCUCUUGGGUUACAUAUAAAGUUGUAAGUCAGAAAUCUCCAAAUAACCGAGUUGUUGUUUUUUUGGGCCUGCUGUGGCUGUGUUUGGGAAAUAAAAAUCACCGGAGGAGAAAGAAGCACGGCUGUGAGAUUUAUGAUGUUUUGUCAUCUGUCUUUGAAGGUUUUCAAUUCUCAGGAGACGAUGACAAAAACAGUUUUUCUCCUUGGAAUUAUAAGCCCCUAUAAACUCUGUCACAUGUCGUCUUUAUGAGUGGAUUGUUGAAUUGCAGUGAAAAGGGCUCUAUUUCUGUCUGAAAAGGUGCCUUGUACACUCAGUACAAUGUGCAUCUAAGGUCUGAACAUGGAUUUACUCAGCAUAGAGCAACCGUGUGUUUUUACUUGAUGGAUAACUCUGAUUAACUGUAAAUACAAGUUCUGUCUGAGAGACCUGUGCUCCAAAAUUUUAGACAGACCAACACCUGGUUCUGUCUUCCAUUGUGAUCUUGUUGUAACGGGUAUUGACUGGACCCAAUUGCAGCACAAACAAGCAGGUUCACUUGAACAACGGUCUUUAUUUGACACCAAACCAAAUGAAGCAACAAAGUAUAGCAGGUGGGUAUGGCAGGAUUCGAACCCAUGUCUUCCAGGUGCCAGGUGAGCAGGUUAGCAGAGGACCACAGGGCAGGGAAGUAAUCUGGGACUCGUGAGCAGGGAAUUGUCCACAGUCUCAAUUUGCUUUACGAGUGUGGUGAAGGGGAAAACGCUCAAACUCACAGCUGGAGGAAGAUUUCUGGGAGAGUGGUUCAGGUGAGGACUGGGUGAGGAUCCAGAGCUUGCAAUGGAGCUGGCAGAACCGACGUCUGCAGAGGAGGUGAGUUGGCGAGGUGAAGCUGACGAGCAGGGGGAUCUUGACAGAGCAGGAACAGGCUGAGUGCCACCCAGCCGCAGGCAGACGAAUAGCAUGGGAUCAUUUUGUUUUAACAAAAAUGUAAAGCACUUUGAGUCACAUUCCUGUAGGAAAAGUGCUUUAUAAAUAAUUGAUUGAUUGAUUGAUUGAUUGAUUGAUUGAUCUGGGGGUGAAAAUUGACAUCGAUAGGAUGACUUAUGCAUAACCCUCUUUCUAUUACAAACUGUGCCUGUCAAAGUGUACUAUGCUAUGACUGAAUACAUUUUGAAUGCAUUCAGUAAUGACACCCAUUAGUUUUUGACGAUCUAUGCUGAAUUCAUCUGACUUUUGGCUAAUAUAGAUGGUACACCACAGUGUACCGUCUAUAAAGAUGGUAGACGGAGGUGGUAAGGUAAACCAUUGAGUAGCAUUUUUAGCUGUUUACGGCCUUUUUGUCUUAUUAAACAUUUUCAGCCUUUGUGGAGGAUCUGCAACCUCACAGCAAAUUCAAUAUCUGUGCAGUGAUCUGAGUAAAAUGGUGAUACUCGGAUAAGUUUCUCUGAGAGGGUGUGCAGAUGCGGAAUAACACCAAGGGCUCUAUUUUCGUGCCCCGCCAGAGACGUGCAAGGCGUUCCUAAGCACAAUUUGGUACUUUGGUAAGUGGCGCAGCCCGGCAUAAGUAUCCCCCCUCCCUAACUCAGCUCCUCCCAGCGGCGUAGGUCGUAGCGAGGGAGGAUAGAGGGCGUGGAGUGGGUUUAACACAGCCGAGACCUGUAUUGACCAAUAACAUCAGCUCCUCUCCUAUCCCACUGGCGAGGCGUAUUACUAUUUUCGUGAAGUAGUCAAAGAGAUCAAGAGAUGUCUGAAGACAGUAGUGCCACAUGAUGGCGACAGAAGGCAGCUCCUCAACAAGUGUUGCUGUAAGCGCUGCAUUGGGUAUCCUCCACACUCUCUCAUAUAAGCACAGAUGGAUUUGGUGUGUGUAAAGUUGUACCCACUGGUAAGACAAACAUCCCUUUUCACAAAUAAAGACACUCACUUAAAGUUGCACAUAUUCAAACCUCACGUGACAAAGGUGGGUUGUGUGCAGAGAUCACAUCAUAAAAAAAAAUGGCAUUAAAAUCGGAACCAUCUGUGCAUAAUGACACAUCGCGCUCCAUGGUCUGGCUCUUUACCGUAUUCGGCUUAAAGUAAAUAACUCAUUUGAUCUCUGAUACAAAUCAUCUGUUCAGCUGCCGCAGCAGCAGCUGCAGCAGGAUGGGGAGAAGACAUGGAGACCUGCCCAGGUCUGGCUGCACGAGAAAUAAGAAGAAGAGGAAGAAAGAACAGGAGGGAGAUGAAUUACAUAUCUUUUUAACUUCAUCAUGUGUGUCUAUUUACUAGAUAUUUAAUUUAAUUUAAUGUGGUUUCAGCUGUGUUGAUUCGGUCAGGUUGUGUGUCCAAACGCGCUCAUCAGAUCAGAUUAUAUCUAUAUAGAUCUAAAUGUAUGUGCUGACUCAGAUUAUUAGUUGUUGAUGAUUAUUUAUUGCACUGAAAUGUGCCUGAAACUGUGGAAACCUGCCGAUGAGGCAUCAGUAGCCACGUUUACAUGCAGACUUUUUUCUCAUUCGGAUUAUAAUCAUUCCGAUUGAAGCUCCCAGGCGAACUGUUUACAUGGAAGCAAUCUAUUCUGAUCUGGUGUUUACAUGUGCCACGGCAUUCAAUCG